This 89894-nucleotide long non-coding RNA is filed under the name Capsicum annuum. RNAcentral describes it as "long non-coding RNA (CANN_LNC012246)". The record is from RNAcentral. Lineage: Eukaryota; Viridiplantae; Streptophyta; Magnoliopsida; Solanales; Solanaceae.
UAAAUGAUAUUUUUGUACAUUUGACGUAACUUUAUUUUAAGACUACAAGAUUCAAAAGGCUUCUUUAUUUUUUCAAAUUCCAUGUCAAGUCAAUUUUUUUGUAAAUAGGGGGAGUAGAAGAAUGAGUUAAGAUUUGGUAUCAACAUGUGUGCUUCAUUGUGAUUACAAUAAAAUAAAUAAUGGCAUUUGAUAUUUUGCAUUCUGUCUUUCAUCACUAUCCCAACGAGCAACAACAAUUUACUUAGAUUAACUUGAGAAUUUGUGUUGCCGUUGUAGAAGCAUUACUAAUGACACGUUGUGCUCUUAAAUGCGAAAAGAUACUGCAAGCUUUAUUAUGCCGACACCUAAAUGGUAAGUCCGCAACACUUCCAAAGGUCAUUUUGAAUUAACUUUUAACAUUUGACUUAUGUCAAAAGUCAUUAGUUAGAAAAACAAUGUUCUUUUAUUUAUUUAUUUAUUUUUGUUUUUUGUCGUCCCAAAAUAAUGCUAUUUUACUAUAAUUAAAAAAGUUAAUUUUAAUUUUUUUUUACUCUUAAUAAAAUAAUUUUGAUAAUGAAUUUCAAAAGUAUUCUUUUAAACACCAUGUCACAUUAAAGUAUGUGACGUGAAAUAAGACGUCGAUAACACUAAUUAGAAUCUAAUGCAAUGUGAGUCCUUACACUCUUCCUCUUCUAGGUUUCUACUACUUUGCUAUUCUCAAUUCUACCCACAUUUUAUUGUCCUCUUCUAUUUUUAUUUGCUUUUUGUAUUUUAAUUCCGCUAUUGUACCUCAUUUUUCCCCCUUAGUACUAUGCGUUGAUAUCUUUCAUCUAAAUUCUCUCUACAGCCACUUGGAAAGAUGGAGGCUAUUUUUUCCUCUAUAUGUCGAAUUUUUACAAGGUAUUCUUUUGUUUACUUCUUUUUUUCUUUAAUUAUGAUUCUUUGUUUCUUUUUUAGUUCUAAUAUUGUUGCCUUUAAUUACUUAGGUGUUGUUUUGUUGGUUAACAAGCUAUUAAAGGAUUAAUUUUGUUUAGUUGGUCAACAAGUUACUCAAGGAUUAAUUAUCCCAGUAUUAGUUAUCCUACCCUCAAGUGUGAUAAAAAUAACUUAUAAUCCCGGAUUAACUAAUUAUUGUAUGAGUUAUACAUGCAUUUUAUCGCAACCCGAUAUGGAUAAGCUCAUCCUAAAGUUAAUUUUAGGAUUAGUUAUGGUGACACCCUAUCUCAGGAUAAGGAGUUCCACGUUAGCAAAACACAGGAGAGAUGCUGGAUAUAUAAGUAAAUAGGUCUUUCACUUUAGUGAUCUGUUUUAAAGUCGUGCGGAUCUAAGCCUAGAGCAGACAAUAUCAGUAUUGGGCUGGGCCGUUACAAAUAAGGAGUCCCACAUCGGCAAAAAAUGGGGGAAAUGCUGGGUAUAUAAGUAAACAAGCCUUUCACACUAAUAACGAAUUUUAAAGCGGUACGUGUCUAAGCCAAGAAGCCCAAAACGGACUAUAUCACUAGUGGGAUGGGCCAUUAUAGUUAUCCUUUAUUCCUUGUACCAAACGAGCCCCGAAGGUGGGAUUAAAAUAAUAAUACUAUUCGGGAUAACUAAUCUCGGUAUGACCUAUCCCAUGCAUUUAUCCCAACCAAACAUGCAAAAAGCUCAUCGCAAAUUAAUUCAAACAUUAGUUAUCCCUUAUCCUUGGUAUCAAACGAGCCCUGGUAGUUGCAUGUGUGUAAUUUUUCUUUCAUUCCUUCUAUUAAAUAUUAAUUUCAUGAGAAGUAAUAGUUAAAUUUAUGUUACCAUUUUAUUUGAUUUGUCGGAAUGGAUUACUCUUUGUCGUGGCAUCCUCUCCGACCUGAUUUUGUGAGUGAAUAUAAUAAUUGUUGAUUAUUCUUUUAACAUUUUUUUCAUAUUCUUUUGCUUAAAUCUUUUGUUAUAUUAGUUUUCUUGGUUUUGAAGUGUUACUUAGUCUUCAGUGGUAGGUUGUUUGACCUAUAUUGCUCAAACUUUUCAAAAAUGUCAACUGGUGCAGCAUUGAAAGUGAAAAGUUCUCGUAACAUAGUGUUGGAUAAUUUAUCCUAUCCAAGGAUAGCUAUAAUGUCCUGAAAUUCUUUGUAACGUAGUAAAGUUUGCUUAACUCGUUGGACGGUUUCGUAAUGUUCCUCACCAACAAUCCGAGGUUGAAAUGCAGGAGAGUUGCAGCCUGCAAUCUGAACUGAGGACGGGUUUUUGGGGCUAGCUCACCCUCGCAGGAUCACGACCCUUUGUCCCGGCCAUUGUAGCACGUGUGUCGCUCUAUUGGUGAUUAACUAAUUAAUAUCUUCUACUUUCUUAUUUCAAGUGAACUCUCAAACUAAUUUGUCAAUGGGGCAAUCAGUCUUUGGAUUUUUAGACCACUAACAGAAAAUUUUUGAUGUGGAAAUUUUAAUGGCUAAUACCUAGGGGCGAGAUGUAUAGUUUGGAAUCACCUUUGUACUCUUAAAUUUUUUGAAUCUGUGUGGAUAAUGAGUGCGAAUAAAAUCUAUAGGUGUGUUAAUGGAGGUAUGAGAUGCAUCUUACUUUGAAAUUUUGUGAAAGUAGGAGACUGGCUAUGAUACAAGGAUGGGCUAGUGUGAUUAAAUAAAUCAUCCUUAUUUAAUUUAGCAAGGUAAUACCAUAUUUACCAUUAGAAAGAAGGGAACAGUUAAAAAUAGUCAAUACACAACUUUAUUUUUUGAUAGCCAUGGUGUCCGGGUAAACUUACGUGCAUCUCGACUAAUUCCACAGGAUACCUGCACCAUAGUGAAUACACAACUAGCAUGUGUAUCGUUAAUCGCCAACUCUAAUCCUUUUUCUUUUCUUUUGCUGAAUUAGUGGUCAUGUUAGUCAAUACCUCUCCUAUUCUACUGAUUUUUGGCGUUCUUUUGAAAAACAAAGUAGUACAAAAUGGCUACGCUAAUAAUGUUACUUCUACUGCUUCACUGCCAGAUUGGAUAGCCAAACAAAACUAUGGAAAGAGAGAGAAGAAGAGAAGGAAGAGAAUGAGUGAUGCUUUUACUGCUUCCGUGCUAGAGUGCAUAAGAGCUUUAGUCAAAUAAAAGAGAAGAAGAGAUUUUGAUCAGCGUGUUAACAACAAUUGUCUCCUAAUCAUGACAUCCGAAUUUACAUUUUCAAGUUAGUAAUUUUUUUCACAAGUUUCGAAUUGAUCAAAAUGAAUUUACCUGUUGUCCAUCUAGAGUUGAAGGUAAUUUCUAAAUCAAUAAAGUGUUAAAGUACAUUCUUUAUAUCUUGCUGCCAUUUUGUCACUUGCUAUGAAACUGCAUUUGAUUCACAGUAUUCAUUAUGGAUUUGUAGUGUGUCAUCCUCAGGAGAUCCACUUUGGAGUGGGGGACUUCAUAGAAAUAACUAUUUUCUUUUUGCAAGGGCCUUUCAUUUUUCAAUUCAAUAUAUAUUUUAGAGAAGAACACAAACUGAUAUAAACACCAAAUAGAGGACAAGAGGUAGGCUUAUACAAUUGCUGGAUUAAGCUAUCGGUCUAGAAAUUGAAAUUUCAAUUUAGAGAAUUUUAGAUACCCUAUAAUAUAUCUUGAUAUUUUCGAUAAUUCUUUAGUUCAAAGCAUCAUCCUGUUUGUACAUCUUCUUUAGGUAAUUUUUAAUUACUUAAGAAUGAAAUUUGGCCCUUUCUCCAAUUGCACGAAGAAUGUCGUAAGACAGAUGGGAACAUUUGAGCAAACUCAAAUCUUCGAUCUGUUAACUGAGAAUGUUGAUAAUGAAGGAAUCAUUCUUCAUUUGGAGGCACCCGAUAUUAAAAUCUUGGCUCCUGGGACCCUACGCAGGACAUGUUUUAGAGCCUCUUAAUAUCCCUGUAAAUCAAAGCUACUAGUAUUAUAAGUUCAUCCCAGAAGUAAGAAUCGCAUUAGCAAAAUUAAAGAUGGUCAAAUGGAAAUUCAUUUAUGCCACAUUCUCCAUAUGCAUUCUAUUCAAUAAUCAGAAGAUUAAUCAGACUAUCUUACCACGAAUGUUUGGACCAGCUGCACUUGGCUGAUGCCUACAUAGGCAUUAGCAAAGUGAAGCUCAGGAAAUGCCUCUUAACGGUUUUAGCUAGUCUACUAGUAAACAACAUAUAAAUAGGUUAAUCCAAAUCAACUAGUAAUUAACUCGAAAAAGUUCUAGCUGCCAAAACAAUCUCAAGACACUCGAUCAAUCAAUCAUUCAGCUAGGUCUCAAUCCUAAGUCAAGUCCCAGAGUUCCACUCCACUCUAUUCACACUCAUUUUCAUUUCGUAAUGAUCAAGCAAGUAUCAGCCAAAUCUAACAAAAGCUUUAGAUUAUCUAAGAACAACAUAUUUCACUUUACAGGAACUCAAUAUAGUUGAAUUGGAAUUUUAAACAUACAACAACAUACCCAACCCACCAAGUGGGGUCUAGGGAGGGUAAGUGUACGCAGUCCAUACCACUACCACAUCUAUCAGAUGUGAGAUAGAGAGUGUUUUCGAUAGAAUUCCGUCUCAAAAUAAAACAAUCUAAACGACAAAUAGUACAAAAGAACAAGAUACAAUAGAUUUCAACAUAUCCAAUAAUACCAUAAACAAGAUACACCAAGUAAUACACCAAAAGAUACAAUAUCCUAAAUUCAUACUAACCUUGUACCCUAAUCCACCUCCUCCUCAACUUCCUAUCCAGGGUUAUGUCCUCAGUAAGCUGGAGCUGCUCCAUAUCAUGUGUAAUCACCUUCCUCCAAUGGUGAGGAAGGUUAUGACGACGUGCAUGGAGGUUUUGGUUUCGGCGAUAAAAAUGGUGAGGGGGCUUCUCUGUUGGAUUUUGCGAGGGACUUUAGGCUGGUGGUAGUGAAUUUGAGCUUUCCGAAGUAGGAGGAUCACCUGAUUACCAUCCAAAGCGCGUUAGCCAAGACUCAGAUUGACUUUCUGCUGCUUAGGAAAGGGGAUAAGGUUUUAUGUAAGCACUUUAAAGUCAUUCUGAGUGAGCACUUUUCGACCCAGCACAGGCUUUUGAUGAUGGACUUGAUUAUCAAGAAGAGCAAGAAGAGUAGGGAUAGUGAGGGUCAACCCAGAAUUAAGUGGGGUGGCUUGAUGCCAGUUAGUGCGCGGGACAUAGGGGAGAAGAUGGUGGGAUUGGGGGUGUGGGAGUGGAGGGGGGAAGUGGAUGAUAUGUGGGAUAAGGCUUCCAACUGCAAAAUGGAGACGGCUAGAGAGGUGUUAGGUGUUUCGAGGGGUCGGGCAGGUCGGUAUAAGGGGGACUGGUGGUGGAAUGAAGAAGUUAAAAAGAAAGUAAAGAUUAAGAAGGGGCAUAUGUUAAGUUGAUUGAGAGUAAAGAAGAAGAGGAGAAACGGGUGAAUAGAGAGGUUUAUAAAGUAGCAAGGAAGGAGGCUAAGUUAGCAGUUAUGAUUGCUAAGACAGCAGCAUUUCAGAGCUUGUAUGCGGGGUUAGAGGAGAAAGACGGGAAAAAAUGUUGUAUAGGCUGGCUAAGGCUAGGGAGAGGAAGGGUCAUGAACUCAAUCAAGUGAAGUGUAUUAAAGGGGAGGAUGACAGAGUUUUGGUGAUGGAUGUUCGUAUUAAGAAGAGGUGGCAGGAGUAUUUUCAUAGACUUUUGAACAAGAAGAGAGACAGAGGCAUUGAUUUAUGGGAGUCGGAGUGCUAGGCGGAGAGCCGUGAUUUCAGUUACUAUUGACUUUUUAACGUUGAGUAGGUCAGAGAGGCUAUUCGUAGGAUGCGAAGGGGUAGGGCGACGGAGCCUGACGAGAUUCUGAUGGAUUUUUUGAAGUAUACUGGUGAAGCAAGUUUAAGAUGGUUGACUGAUUUGUUUAAUGACAUUUAAGACUGUGAGGAUGCCUAAGGCUUAGAGAUGAAGUACGAUAAUUCCGUUAUAUAAAAACAAGGGUGGCAUUUAGAGCUGCAAAAAUUAUAGGGGUAUUAAGCUGUUGAAUCACACUAUGAAGAUUUAGGAGAGGGUGGUUGAGCAAAGAUUGAGGAGGGUCAUGUCCAUUUAGGAGAAUCAGUUUGGUUUUAUGCCUGGUCGCUCGAUGAUAGAGGCAAUCCACCUGGUAAGAAGAUUGGUGGAGCAGUAUAGGAAAAGGAAGAGGGAUUUGCACAUGGUGUUCAUCAAACUAGAGAAGGCGUAUGAAAAAGUCCCUAGAGAGGUUCUUUAGAGAUACUUAGAGGAGAGAGGGGUUUCGAUAGUGUACUUUAAAGCUAUUAAGGACAUGUACGAUGGAGGGAAGACUCGAGUGAGGAUGGCGGGAGGAGACUCAGGGCAUUUUUUGGACGAGACAGAGUUGCAUCAGGGAUCGACUCUUAGCCCGUUUCUGUUUGUGUUGGUGAUGGACGUGUUAACGCGGAGUAUUCAAGGCGAGGUGCCUUGGUGUAUUCUACUUGCGGAUGAUCUAAUGCUGAUUGAUGAGACACGGGAGGGUGUGAAUGAAAGAAUGAAGGUUUGGAGGAAAACUCUUAAAUCUAAGGGGUUUAGGUUGAGUAGGUCCGAGACGGAGUAUAUGGAAUGCAAGUUUAGUGACUCAAGUCAGGAGGACGAAGUAGUGGUGAGGUUAGAUUCCCGGGAUGUUUGUAAGAGGGAUAGUUGUAAGUAUCCUGGGUCUAUGAUUUAGGGGAAUGACAAGAUUGAUGAGGAUGUAUCUAAAUGUAUUGGAGCAGAUUGGAUGAAGUGGAGGCUCACCUCGGAAGUGUUGUGUGAUAAGAAGGUGCCCUUUAAGCUUAAAGGCAAAUUCUACAGAGUGGCAAUUCGUCCGGCUAUGUUGUAUAGAGCAGAGUGUUGGCCAGUCAAGAACUCCCACAUUCAGAGAUUAAAGGUGGUAGAAAUGAGCAUGUUGCGUUCGAGAGGAUAGAGUUAGGAAUGAGACUAUCAGGGAGAAGAUGGGAGUGACUUCGGUGGAGGAUAAGUUGUGAGAAGGAGGUCUGAGAUGGUUUAGGCAUUUGAUGAGGAGGGGCACGGAUACGACGGUUCGUAGGUGUGAGAGGAUAGCUUUGGAUGGCUUUAGGAGGAGUAGAGGUAGGCCGAAUAAAUACUGGAGGGAAGUGAUUAGACAUGACAUGGAGCAGCUACAACUUACUGAGGACAUGACCCUAGAUUGGAAGGUGUGGAGUUCGCAGAUAAGGGUAAAAGGAUAGUGUGAGUGAGUGGGUUGUACCAAGGUGUUAGGACAACUCUUGUGUAGCUGGUUAGUAAUCCUAGGACUGUGUCUAUUAGUAGGAGCCUCUAUUUCGGAAAGUUUGGGUGUGGUGGGUGUCUUUUAUCUGUGAGUGUAUGUUAAUACUAGGUGGGUGUCCUAUCUCUUAUUUCUUAUUUUGAAUUGCUUGUAUUUCUUUGAUAUCUAUUUUAUUAUUUUUUAUUCCUUAUUUCUAUUAUGUCAUCCAUCCUGCUUCAUGUUUCACUAUGACCUUGUGUACUAUUCUCUAUUCUGAGUUGGGGGUCUAUCGGAAACAACCUCUCUACUUCCUCGGAGGUAGCGGUAUGGACUGUGUAUAUUUUACCCUCCCUAGAGCUCACUUUGUGGGAAUACACUGGGUUUGUUGUUGUUGUACUUCUACCUCGCUUGAAACCAUCCCUAGCCAAAUGCUCACACCUCCUCAUCACAUGACCGAACCAUCUCAGGCUCGCUUCCUUCAUCUGGCUUCCACCAAAGCCACUCUCACCUUAUCUCGAAUUUUAAACAAAACAAAUUACUAAUUUCAUAUGCAUUAUGCCCAAUAAGGCUACGGAUGUGGGUGUCAAAUUUUAUUUUAUUUUUAUAAUCGUAGUGUACUAGCCAACUUUCGGAAAACUCGACUAAUUCCCUGAAAUACUUGCCACCUCUUACUCAUUAGUAGACAACCGGUAGCUGUUCACUAAGGCCAGGACAUUGGAAAGAAAUCACCCUGUAUUUAUUGUCCGAUAUCACAUUCAAUAUAACUCAUUUUAUCUAUUACAACAAUAAAAUUAGGGCAUUUAAUUAGAAAAAAAGAGCUAAGUCAACUUACAGAAAGAUCAGAAGGAAGAUGUGUGACGACAGAAUUGAAGAUUGGAGAGACACAAGCGACGGUGCAAAGAGAUUACAAUUCCAUUUUCUCCAACGCAUUAAUUUUUAUAUGCUCUGAAAAUCUAUCCAUUGAUGGUUCAAAAUCACCUUUGAAGCUUCCACCUCCUCCUUCAUCACCGCCGCUACUGCUACCAACUUCUUCUCUAGUACGGUGUCGCUUGGAAUUUUCGUCCAAAAUGGAAACAAAACCGAAUUCCUAUUUCCUGCAAUUUCUCCCACAAAAAAAGUACAAAAAUUAGUUUGUAAAUUACUAUUUGAAUGCAAUUCAUAAUUUGUACUUGCGGAACACAUUUUCCAUGGUGAAUCUAUAUAACAAUAAUAUAUACAGUGUAAUUUCAUGAGUGGAGUUCGAAAUGUCUAUUAUUAAUGAGCACUUAAUGAAUUUACACUUAUUAUCGAUAGUAAACAAUUAAAACAGUUUAAAAGAAGUACCCGGAUUUCACUUCAUUAUCUGUUUCUAUUAACAGACAAACUGUAAAGGUUAUUACUUAUUUGGUUGUAUAAACGACAAUAUAUCCUGUGUAAUUUCAUGGAUAUACAUCUCUUUAUAGAGUUGUAUAGAUUGUUGUGAAAAUAGUACUUUCUAUGGAAAAUGUAAAUAGAUUCAUGAUUGACUACUCCUUAGUAAAGCCACCUUGAUUUUGGUCAUGGAUGUAUUUAGACCUGUUAUUAUUUUGUAUAGUUAAUUAUGUACUUCGCCCAGUUGUAAUAGAAAUAUCUAGUUUAUGUAUCUAAAUAUCGUACACUGACCAGAUAGUUAUCAUUUUUCAUGAAGAAGAAAUAUUUCUCUCUAUACCUUUACCUUUCUAAGAUCAGUGAAUCUUCUAGAGUAAUUUAGAAAUAGAGAUUUAUCUCCCUUACAUUCUCGUUGUUAACAUGGUAUCAGUGCCUUGAGCUCAUCUUUCAUCUAUAUUUCGGAGCUGUGUGCUGAAUUUUCUCACGUUUCGGAGCUUUGAGUUGAAUUUUUUGGCAACAUUCUACACCUUUUAGGGUUCCACUGUCCUUACAUUCGGAAUCCACUUCAGUUUACGCCGCAAAUCUAUGUAAUUUGAGGUGGUUAUCAGCAUGAUUUGAAGUUUGGUUUUAGUCUUCGAAGUGCGGUCACGACGGCAUUUGUUUUUUAUUUUUCAUUUUGUCUUCUACAACGAGGUUUCGUUACUCUUUCAGCCAAGAAAAAAUCUGGUAUUUUUUCCUCAACAUUAUUAAACAUUUUCGUGUUUUGUCUUUGCUGUUUGGUACGCCUUGAUUUUGUGUAGUUAUGACUCCGAACGUUGCAAAUUCUACUACUUCUAGUGUAGAUGCUGAUGUGGAUUCCUCUGUUAAUCCUUCGUCUUCAUUAUACCUCCUUUCAUCUGAUUCUCCUGGCACAAUUUUGGUUACCACGCCCUUUAAUGGGACGGGUUAUGGAAGUUGGCAUCGAGGAAUGUUGUUAGGGUUAUCCUGUAAAAACAAACUAGGUAUGAUCCAUGGUUCCAUUCCUAAGCCUUCUGCUACUGAUCCACAUUUUCAAGCAUGGAUAGGUGUAAUGAUAUGGUGGUAGCACGGAUUCUAAACAGUCUAGAUAAGGAAAUUAGGGAAAUUGUGAUGUACACUGAAUCUGCGGAGAUUUUAUGGAAGGAAGUUGAAUGUAGAUUUGGUCAGGUUAGUGGUACCAAAAUUUUCCAAAUCAGGAAAGAACUUUCUUCAAUUUCCCAAGGAUCCUCGAGUGUUGCUUCCUACUUCAGUAGAAUUAAGAAACCCUAGGAUGAAUUGUCUUUCUCAAUUACCUAUCCUGAUUGUACUUGUGCGUUUAAGGAUGGUUUUCUCAAGUUAGAAGAGGAGCAGAGAGUUCAUAAGUUCCUCAUGGGAUUGAUUGAUUCAUAUUCGACCAUCAGAAGGAACAUCCUCAUGCUAAAACCCCUUUCUAACAUUGAUAGUGUGUCUUCAAUGUUGUAACUGAUGAGAGUCAAUCUGAGGUGCACAAUAAUCUCCCUUCCUUCAAUUCCAACUCUGUUGCUUUCUCCACUGGUAACCAAAGACCGUAUAAUCAAAAGCCAGGCUCAGAGUCUGGUGGUUUAUCUACUACUAUUCCCANNNNNNNNNNNNNNNNNNNNNNNNNNNNNNNNNNNNNNNNNNNNNNNNNNNNNNNNNNNNNNNNNNNNNNNNNNNNNNNNNNNNNNNNNNNNNNNNNNNNNNNNNNNNUUUUGCAGGUUUGCUUAAUAGUUCUGAUUCUAGACUUUGUAGUUUUCUUGCUUGUAACUUCUCUAAGGUAGACAAUAAUCCAUGGAUCAUAGACUCAGGUGCCACUAAUCAUAUCACACCACAAUCUUCAUUUCUUUCCAAUAUCACACCCCUCACAAUUACUUAUCUUGUGACUUUACCCAAUGGGUACAAAGUUAAAGUCACAAGUACUGGUACUCUAACUCUUUCUCCUGAUAUCUCCUUAACCAAUGUGUUAUUUGUCCCUUCAUUUCAGUGUAAUCUGAUUUCUCUUGUUCAGCUAAUUCUCCAAUUACAUUGUUCAGCUUACUUUACUUCCAUUGCAUGCAUUUUGUAGGGCCUUCUCUGAAGAGAGGCCAGUGGAUCUGGGUAGCCUUCAAGCUGGGCUUUACAUCCUCAAUCCUCUUUCACUUACAUCAACUACUUGUUCUUCUACUUCUUUACAUGAUUCAUUUGUAAAUACCAUUACUGCCACUCUCUUUAAUGACAUAAAUAAGAGCAAGUCUUCUACAUCUGAUUCUACUGUUACUGCUUCUUCUUCUGUUCUUAAUACUGUACUGACUACUUCUACUUUACCUACUUUUCAACAAAUAAUAUUUGGCAUUAGCAAUUAGGACAUGCCGUUUACCAAGAUGCUUAACUGUCCCAAUUUAUAACUGAACGAGUUUAUUGAAUUUUGAACAUAAGUCUAAUUAUCUUAUUCAUUAUUGACACACCUUAAGCUAAUUUCAUGUUAACAACGAGAAUAUAAGGGAGAUAAAUCUCCAUUUCUGAAUUACUCUAGAAGCUUCACUGAGCUUAGAAAGGUAAAGGUAGAGAGAGAAAUAUUUUUUCUUCUUGAAAAAUGAUAACUGUCCAGUCAAUGUACCAUACUGGGCCGGGUACAUAAUUAUCUGUACAAAACAAUAAUAUCUAUGACCCACCAUCAAAGGUCUGAAUUACUCUAGAAGCUUCACUGAGGUUAGAAAGGUAAAGGUAGAGAGAAAAAUUUCUUCUUGAAAAAUGAUAACCGUCCAGUCAAUGUACCAUACUGGACCGGGUACAUAAUUAUAUGUACAAAACAAUAACAUCUAUGACCCAAAAUCAAAGGUGUCUUUACUAAGGAGUAGUCAAUCUUGAAUCUAUUUACAUGAGGUUCAACAGCCCCCCUCAAGUUGGAAGGGCUUGCCAUUCCAAGCUUGGAAAUGAAGUGUUGAUAAGGAACACCAAGAAGGGACUUUGUAAAUAUAUCAGCAAGUUGAGCAUUGGUGGAGAUGGAAUGAAGCGAAAUGAGACCAUCAGUUAGAGCUUGCCCGAUGAAGUAGCAAUCCACUUCAAUAUGUUUGGUACGCUCGUGAAAAACAGGAUUCUUGGCAAUGUGGACAGCUGCAUGACUGUCACAGAACACAUGUACAGGAGUCAGAUCAUGAACACCCAAUUCAGCAAAUAAAAGAACCAGCCAGGUAAUUUCAGCAACUACGAGCCUUAAGGCUUUGUAUUCUGCCUCAGCUGUUGAUAAAGCAAUAGUGGGCUGCUUCUUGGACUUCCAAGAGAUAUGACAGCAUCCAAGGAAUAGAACAAAUCCUGAAACAGAUCUACGGGUAGCAGCACAGCUGGCCCAAUCAGAAUCACAACAGCCUUGGAGAGAAAAAUCGGAGGAGUUAUUGAGCAGAGGUCCCAAACGAGGAGUACCAGCCAAAUAUUCCAAAACACGAUGAGCAGCAGUGAGAUAAGUAGUUCGGGGAGAAGCCAUGAACUGGCUAAGAUGUUGAACUGUAAAAGACAAAUCUGGUCUCGUGUGUUGAAGGAAAUUUAGCUUUCCACCAAACUUUAUGUACAUAGAAGGAUCAGGUAACAAAUACCCAGAAUCAGAAGAUAGCUUCACGUGAGGGUCAAGUGGUGAAACAACAGGAUUAACAUUAGUAUAGUGAAAUUCGGACAAUAGAUCCAAUGCAAACUUAUGUUGGCUGACCAAGAACCUCGUCGAAGUAUGGAUAAUUUCCAGACCAAGGAAAUAAUGUAUAAAACCAAGGUGCUUAAUUCUGAACUUAUCAUCUAGGAAAAGCUUGAGAGAAGAAAUUUCAGAUUCAUCAUCACCAGCCAAGAGAAUAUCAUCCACAUAAACAACCACAAUAGUAAGACUAGUGCCAACUAAUUUUCUGAACAAAGAGUAGUCAUUCAUGCUAGGGAUGAAACCCCUAGACUGUAAAGCAGAAGAUAGUUUGGCAUACUAUAGUCUCGAGGCUUGUCUAAGACCAUAGAGGGACUUAUUAAGGCGACAUGCCAACACAGUAAAUGAAGAAGAGGAAACAAGGGAAUUUUUAUAAACACCUCCUCAUCCAAAUCACCAUGUAGGAAAGCAUUGUUCACAUCAAGUUGGUGAACAACCCAAUUUCUUUUGACAACCACAGACAACAAACAUUUAAUGGUGGUCAUUUUGACCACUUUAGAAAAAGUUUCAGUAAAAUCUAUACCCUCUUGCUGGGCAUCCCCUCGAAUGACCAACCUAGCCUUGUAUCUUUCAAUAGUGCCAUCAGACCUCUGUUUGAUUUUAUAAACUGUAACGCCCUGAAAAACGGGUCCCGGAGCGUUUCACAGUGCUUGAGGCUACGAGUAGCUCCAAGCUAACCCUUUGAGCCAUUUUCAUUCAUUUCAACACAAAUCAACGGGGUUUCCAUAAAUAACCCUCAAAUAUCAACAGAGUAAUCAUCAUCCAAGAAUAAAAGAAUUUCAGAAAGAUAACAAAAUACGACUUAUUAGUCAACUCCCAACAUCUAUACUAGUCUGACAAGCCUCUAAGAAAAUCAAUAAAACCAGUGAGCCACUGAGACAUGCCUCAACUGACUCAUACUCAGUUAUCAAAUUUAAACGAUUCCAUGAAACCAACAUCAGACAACACCUCCUUGGAACAUGAGGACUCACCACAACAGAGGAUGUAGAACAACAUGCCCGAAGAAUCACUGUCGAACCUGGAACUGAGCACUUGAACCUACAUUCCGAGAAAAUGUAGCCCACAUUCAAAGAUGUGGGUCAGUACCAUGAAAAGGAACCAAGUAUAUGGCGUGUAUGCAGUUGUAUAAACAUCAUCAUCACAAAUAUUUAUAAGAAAUAUGCAGGAUGUAUGAAAGACUCACAUAUCCUGAAGAAAAUCAUCAUAAUCAUGAGAGGAUGAAAUAAGUACAAUAACACAUGUGAGUCAUCAUAUAAUUUGUCAAUCAUUUUCAGUUCAUCAAGAAUAUCAAUUCUCAUAAUGUAAAUAUCAUUUAAAUCUUUCGAAAGAAUAACUUUCACAAUUCCACUUUCAAAUCACUUCACCAUUCACCAUAUACACAAGGAAACACACACACCGGGAGAUCCUAUAAUGGACAUAAACCAUGUGAGUACAUGGAUUUCAACGUACAACCCACGUUGGGGAAAGCCGUCUUAUCCUUGCCAUCGGAGUAGGACUAUCGAUAUCAAAUCCACACAAACUAGUGAUCACUGUAUAAAUCAGCCUCAGGCUUACUCCUACGGGGGCACGUAGUUCUAGGGAAGUAAGGUCGCUUUAUACCUCCUACUCGGUGCUAAAGAUUUCUCCCGGACUAAGCUUAUAUCAUUUCAAAGACAAUCCACAGUAAAAUAAUUUCAGUAAUAUAUAAAUAUACAUCGGGAGCCAUCAUGCUUCCCAUCUAUCAAAAUCAAUCACUUUGUAAAUUUCUUUCACACUCGAGUUUAAAAAAACUACAUUAAGACCAAAAGGUCAAAUCAUUCAAAAUAUCUCAAAUAUUCAACAUCAACGUGCUUAUAACACACACUUUCUCAAAAAAAUACAAUUUCCAAUGGGGAUUCACGACCCAAAUAUCAAAAUCAUGAUAAAUAUCGUUCAAGAUUCAUGCUUUAUAUCUCCACACAUGUAAAUUCAUCUUUCAAAAUCAUAAAUAUCAAGAUUUCAUAAUAAUCAUCAUAAGAUAUGGGUUCAUGCUUCAAAUUCAUAAAAAUCAAAUAAAAAUCAUGCCUUUGUAAAGAAAAUUACUUUUGGGCACAAGAACAAAAGAGAGUUCUUGUUGAAAAACCCCACAUAUCUUGAAUGAUGAACUUUAGAUCGAUACUCAUUUUUGAGAUGUUAAUCGUGCCUUUGAAUGAUGGUUCUUGGAGUUCUUGAAUAAAUUUGUAGAAUUAAUGGUUAACUUUGGAGGUUCUUGAAGUUGGAUGUAGGAGCUUAGGGUUUUCUUUUUCUUGAAGUUAGAUGUAGGAGCUUAGGGUUUUCUUUUUAAGGGAAUUUGAUGAAAUAUAACAUAUAAUUCUUCUAAUAGGCUUUAAUAUAGGGUUUGGGCGGAUUUUAGGUGAGGGGAAAUGACCAAAACGCCUCUAAAAAUCAAAUAAUUCUUGAAUCUGUCCUUUGGUGGACUGUUUUGAUAGUCUGAAGUAGAUCAACCAUAAUGUUUUACUCCGAUAUCCAAAUUGGAUGAAACCAAUUUCAUUAGAAAGAGGACUCUCAUGUAUUUCCGUUGACAUAUAGUAUCUCACCCAGAUCAUUGUGUACAAGGAUUUAUGAUUGUUUGAAGUUGACCCAAAAAUUUACUUUUGAUAGGCCAAAGUAGAUCAACUUUAACUUUUUGUUCCGAUAGAAAAAUUGGAUGAAACCAAUUUCGUUGGAAAGAGAACUCACAGAGAUUCCCAUUGAUAUAUAGUAGAUCAUCUAGAUCAUUAUGUAAAAGGAGUUUUGAUCGUUUAAAGUUGGAGAAAAAUACACCAGGCCUCAGUACUUUUUCCUGCAUGUUUUACUGUUCACUACUAUUCACGGUUCGAUCGAAAUAUUCAUAACUCAUCGCUCGGGUGUCCGUUUUGAAUGAUCCACAUAUCGUUGGAAAGAUUAUUCGAUACUAUACGCAAUGGUGGGUCAUAAUCUAAGACAUUCCAUACAAAAAAUUUAUAAUUCAUUCCAGAAGAUAGAACCCAACACGUUUACGCACAAAAUUUCAACGAAAAAUUUCCCGGGGUAUUACAUCAUUCCCCCCUUGGAAACAUUCAUCCUCGAAUGACUCUAGACAUGCCAAGAUUAGAUAGGAAAUAGAGCAUACAGCUGAAACCAUUCGUUAGACACAUCACCACUUCGUUUCUCACUCCAAAUGCAACAUAGAAUGCAUAAAUUCAAGAAACUACAGCUGAACAUAUAAUAAAUGACAGCUGAACUGCUGCAACUUUUAUCAAAAGUGCAUGAUUUAGGAAAGAAUGGUACCUUCGUCUUGAUCGGAGUUCGAGGAAAAUAGGUGCGGGUACUUGGAUCGCAUAUCCGCCUCAGCUUUCCAAGUUGCACCCUCAACAGAUUGGUUUUGCCACAACACCUUGACCAAGGGAACUUUUUUGUUCCUUAGUCUUCGUACACUGAAAUCAAGAAUAUCAACACGAAUCUCAUUAAAAGAAAGAUUUUCUUGAAUGUCAGCACUCACAGAGGAAUCCACUACAACAGCAUCGCUAAUAUGCUUUCUAAGCAUGGAGACAUAGAAUAUUGGAUGAACAGACGACAACUCAGAAGGCAACUCGACCUCAUAAGCUACCUUACCAACACGGCUAAGAAUUUUGUAAGGACCAAUAUAAAGGGGACUAAGCUUCCCGUUCUUUCCAAAUCUCUUCACCCCACUCAUGGGUGAAAUUUUCAGAUACACUAGGUCACCAACUUCAAACUCAAGGUCUCUCCUUCUAACAUCCGCAUAUGACUUCUGACGACUCUGUGCAGUUUUCAACCUUUCCCUAAUCAACUUAACUUUUUCCAUAGCCUCAAAUACCNNNNNNNNNNNNNNNNNNNNNNNNNNNNNNNNNNNNNNNNNNNNNNNNNNNNNNNNNNNNNNNNNNNNNNNNNNNNNNNNNNNNNNNNNNNNNNNNNNNNNNNNGUACCAAGACCCUUCUGAAAAGCUUUCCAAAAUUGUGAAGUGAACUGAGUACCCCUAUCCAAAAUAAUAGACAAGGGAACUCCAUGCAGUCUGACUAGCUCUCGGAUAUACAAUCUAGUAUAAUCCUCAACAGUAUUUGAAGUAUGAACAGGCAAGAAAUGAGCAGACUUAGUAAACCUAUCAACCACAACCUAAAUGGAAUCAUGAUGGCAUCGGGAAGGAGGUAAACCAAUCACAAAGUCCAUAUUUAUCUCUUCCCACUUCCAGGUGGGAAUACUAAACUCUUUCAUUAUACCACCAGGUCUUUGGUGUUCAACCUUAACCUGUUGGCAUACUGCACACUUAGCUACAAACGCUACUAUAUCUUUCUUCAUGCCACUCCACCAAUAGAUUUCCCGCAAGUCUCGGUACAUCUUGGUGGCACCAGGAUGAAAAGAAUAUCGUGCCCUGUGCGCUUCAGCCAUAAUCCUCUAUCUCAGGUCAUCAACAUUCGGGACACACAAUCUAUCCUGCAAUCUCAACGCACCAUCUCCCCCUUGGGAGAAAACCACUACUUUUUGGUCCUUAACUGACUCCUUCAGUCUGACCAAACUAGCAUCUAAGUAUUGCUUUUCCUUCACUUUCGAAACCAAGGAGGAUUCAGAACUACUCUGAACCCCUAUACUACCUUCAGUAGAGUCAAACUACCUAACCCCCAAUUUAGCCAAACGAUGUACAUCACGAACCAACUCUUUCUUACCUUUUACCACAUGCAAAAAACUACCCAUGGACACUCUACUUAGGGCAUCCGCCACAACAUUGGCCUUGCCCGGAUGGUACAACACACUCAUAUUAUAGUCCUUUAACAAUUCUAACCAUCGUCUCUGCCUAAGAUUCAAUUCUCUCUGGGUAAACACAUACUGUAGACUCUUAUGAUCAAUGAAAACAUCAACAUGUACACCAUACAAAUAGUGUCUCUAGAUUUUCAAAGCAAACACAACAGAAGCCAACUCAAGGUCAUAGGUGGGGUAAUUUUUCUCAUGGGGCUUCAACUAUCUAGAAGCAUCAGCUAUCACCUUACCCUUCUACAUCAAUACGCAACCCAAACAUACUCUCGAAGCAUCACAGUACACCACAAAACCAUCAACAUCAUUAGGCAAAGUCAAAACAGGGGCUGAAGUGAGUCGAGUCUUCAACUCUUGAAAACUCUUCUCACAAGAUUCGGACAACAAGAACUUCACUUUCUUUUGGGUCAACCGAGUCAUAGGAGACACUAUAGAGGAGAAACCCUCAACAUAACGGAGGUAAUAGCUAGCUAAACCCAAGAAACUUUGGAUAUCAGUCGGAGAAAUAGGUCUAGGCCAAUUUCUAACAGCUUCGGGCUUUUGGGGAUCAACUCUAAUAGCCUCGGAAGAAAUGUAUGACCCAGAAAAGCAACUGACCUUAGCCAAAACUCACACUUACUAAACUUGUCAAACAACUUGUGAUCUCUAAGCGUUUGCAAGACAGUUCAGAGAUGAUCAGAAUGUUCAUCCUCACUACAGGAGUACACCGGUAUAUCAUCGAUGAACACUAUGACAAACAUAUCCAGAUAUGGUCUGAACACUUGAUUCACCUUGAUACAUACGACCUGCUACCUUGCUCCUGCCUACCUCUAGGCAUGGGAGCACUAGCAGAUAACGGUACUGGCAUAGACGAACGAUCCUGAUACUGAGGGCGACUCUCUCCCUGCGAUCUAGUUUGACCCUGUCCGUGCUGCUCAGACCUAGCUCUCUUAUUCCCUCUCAUUCUAUCUCUCUCCUUAAUCUUAUCUGUCUUAAUCUAUUGGGCAUGAGUCUUCAUCCUAGAAAGAUUCAUCUCACUACUCAGCAUAGCAGACCUACACUCCUUAACCACAUAACUAGACACUCCAGUCACAAACUUACUUAUACUAGCCCGAUUAUCAGCCACUAAAUUAGGAGCAUACUUAGACAACUUAUUGAACUUUAGAUAGUACUCCCUAACAAUCAUAGAGCCCUGUCGCAGGUUUAUAAACUCUUCCACCUUCUCCUCCCUCAUCUCCAAAGGGAAAAACUUAUCCAGGAAUGCAUCCUGGAACUCUUUCCAAGUUGUAGGGAUAGCUCCCUCACCUCUACCUUUCCUCCAAGCAACAACCUAGUCAUAAAAAAGGUCUUUCAACCUAUACGCAGCCAACUCCACACUAUGUUCCUCAGAUAUACAUGCAUCACCUGAGUAAUCUUCCGUACCUCCUCUAAAACAACCAUGGAUCCUCAUCAGACUUGGACCCAUAGAAUUUCGGUGGAUUUAUCCGCAUGAAGUCACGAAUCCUGGCAGUAGCUGAAUCACCUCCCUACUGCUGUGGAGCCGGGGCUGGGUUGCCCUGAAUAUUUGUAUUAACAGCUUGGGCUAGCGCCUGAAAGGAUGCCUGAAAUUCAGCAUGAGACACAUUUUCAUUCAAUGGGUUAGCGAGUUGAGGUUGCUGACCAUCAUUAUUCUUCCAGAUCGACGUGGAGGCAUAUUUUUGAAAGAUAAGAGCACAAAUCAAUAGCAGAGAGAGACAUUUUAAGCACGAUAGACUUCUGAAAGAAAGAAUCACACUUUUUCCUAAAACGUCUUAUAGCAUCUUGCUCAUAGAUAUGGCGCGCUACACACCGAUAAUCAAGACUCUGCUUAACGCAGCUUUUCAGACUCCCUAGGACACCUUAAAACCUUAGGCUCUGAUACCAAGUUUGUAACGCCCUGGAAAACAGAUCCCGGAGCAUCACACGGUGCUUGAGGCUAUGAGUAGCCCCAAGCUAACCCUUUGAGCCAUUUUCAUUCAAUUUAACACAAAUCAAUGGGGUUUCCAUAAAUAACCCUCAAAUAUCAACAGAGUAAUCAUCAUCCAAGAAUAAAAGAAUUUCAGAAAGAUAACAAAAUACGACUUAUUAGUCAACACCNNNNNNNNNNNNNNNNNNNNNNNNNNNNNNNNNNNNNNNNNNNNNNNNNNNNNNNNNNNNNNNNNNNNNNNNNNNNNNNNNNNNNNNNNNNNNNNNNNNNNNNNNNNNNNNNNNNNNNNNNNNNNNNNNNNNNNNNNNNNNNNNNNNNNNNNNNNNNNNNNNNNNNNNNNNNNNNNNNNNNNNNNNNNNNNNNNNNNNNNNNNNNNNNNNNNNNNNNNNNNNNNNNNNNNNNNNNNNNNNNNNNNNNNNNNNNNNNNUGGAAAGGAGCCGAGUAUAUAGGGGUGUAUGUAGUUGUAUAAACAUCAUCAUCAUAAAUAUUUAUAAGAAAUAUGCAGGAUGUAUGAAAGACUCACAUAGCCUGAAGAAAAUCAUCAUAAUCAUGAGAGGAUGAAAUAAGGACAAUAACACAAGUGAGUCAUCAUAUAAUAUGUCAAUCACUUUCAGUUCAGCAAGAAUAUCAAUCCUCAUAAUAUAAAUAUCAUUUAAAUCUUUCGAAAGAAUAACUUUCACAAUUCCACUUUCAAAUCACUUCACCAUGCACCAUAGAUACAAGGAAACACACACACACUGGGAGAUCCUAUAACCAACAUAAACUAUGUGAGCUACAUGGAGUCGAACGUACAAUCCACGUUGGGGAGAGCCAUCCUAUCCUUGCCAUCGGAGUAGGACUAUUGAUAUCAAAUNNNNNNNNNNNNNNNNNNNNNNNNNNNNNNNNNNNNNNNNNNNNNNNNNNNNNNNNNNNNNNNNNNNNNNNNNNNNNNNNNNNNNNNNNNNNNNNNNNNNNNNNNNNNNNNNNNNNNNNNNNNNNNNNNNNNNNNNNNNNNNNNNNNNNNNNNNNNNNNNNNNNNNNNNNNNNNNNNNNNNNNNNNNNNNNNNNNNNNNNNNNNNNNNNNNNNNNNNNNNNNNNNNNNNNNNNNNNNNNNNNNNNNNNNNNNNNNNNNNNNNNNNNNNNNNNNNNNNNNNNNNNNNNNNNNNNNNNNNNNNNNNNNNNNNNNNNNNNNNNNNNNNNNNNNNNNNNNNNNNNNNNNNNNNNNNNNNNNNNNNNNNNNNNNNNNNNNNNNNNNNNNNNNNNNNNNNNNNNNNNNNNNNNNNNNNNNNNNNNNNNNNNNNNNNNNNNNNNNNNNNNNNNNNNNNNNNNNNNNNNNNNNNNNNNNNNNNNNNNNNNNNNNNNNNNNNNNNNNNNNNNNNNNNNNNNNNNNNNNNNNNNNNNNNNNNNNNNNNNNNNNNNNNNNNNNNNNNNNNNNNNNNNNNNNNNNNNNNNNNNNNNNNNNNNNNNNNNNNNNNNNNNNNNNNNNNNNNNNNNNNNNNNNNNNNNNNNNNNNNNNNNNNNNNNNNNNNNNNNNNNNNNNNNNNNNNNNNNNNNNNNNNNNNNNNNNNNNNNNNNNNNNNNNNAGGGAAUUUGAUGAAAUAUAACAUAUAAUUCUUCUAAUAGGCUUUAAUAUAGGGUUUGGGCGGAUUUUAGGUGAGGGGAAAUGACCAAAACGCCUCUAAAAAUCAAAUAAUUCUUGAAUCUGUCCUUUGGUGGACUGUUUUGAUAGUCUGAAGUAGAUCAACCAUAAUGUUUUACUCCGAUAUCCAAAUUGGAUGAAACCAAUUUCAUUAGAAAGAGGACUCUCAUGUAUUUCCGUUGAUAUAUAGUAUCUCACCCAGAUCAUUGUGUACAAGGAUUUAUGAUCAUUUGAAGUUGACCCAAAAAUUUGCUUUUAUUGGCUGAAGUAGAUCGACCAUAACUUUUUGCUCCGAUAGACAAAUUGGAUGAAACCAAUUUCAUUGGAAAGAAGACUCGUAGAGCUUUCCGUUGAUAUAUAGUAUAUCACCCAUACCAUUAUGUACAAGGAUUUAUGAUCUUUUAAAUUUGGAGCAGAAAUACGCCAGGCCUCAGUACUUUUCCUGCACGUUUUGCUGUUCACUACUAUUCAUAGUUCGAUCGGAAUGUUCAUAACUCGUGGCUCGGGUGUCCGUUUUGGAUGAUCCACAUAUUUUUGGAAAGAUUAUUUGAUACUAUAUGCAAUGGUGGUUCAUAAUAUAAGAUAUUUUUCACGGAAAAUUUAUAAUUCAUUCUAGAAGACAGAACCCAACACGUUUACGCACAAAAUUUCAACGAAAAAUUUCCCGGGGUAUUACAUAAACCCAUUUACAUGGAAUGGACUUCUUACCAGCAGGAAAAGGGAAAAUAUCCCAUGUAUGAGUGUCUUUCAAAACCUUAAAUUCUUUCAUCAUGGAUUUCUGCCAGGCAAGAUUGGAAACACCUGUAACGCCCCGCAUUUCGGGCUAUAAUAUAGACCAUAAUUUUGAUGCGUUGAUAAUCCCGAAGCCAUAAAAUCCUAUGCCAAUACGGCAUGUUAAUUUUUUGUGUAGCAUAGGAAUCCAUUCAAACUUGAAUUUAGACCAUAGAGGUCCUUCAACCCAUGGACGAGUUGAAACUAUUUCGAUCGACUAAGUUUUAGUGGAUGUUGUGAAGUGUGUCAGAUUUCAUAUACCAUAACUCUCUGUAUAUGUCAAAUUAGGAAGCAUACUAUGUGUCAAAUUAUAGGUAUUCGAGUUAGUUUUCCAAUGAUGUCAAUUUUACUAAAAUCUGACACCCGAGUAAGAAGUUAUGGCCUUUCAAAGUGACAUGCGUCGCCUAACCAAUCGCCCAUGGCCACUGGAAAGCAUAGGUGAUAGCCUAUGUAAACAUAGACAAUAGCCUAGGUGGCGCCUAUAUAAACAUAGGCUAUGGGAUGGGCGGCGCCUAUGUACAGAAUUCAAGUAACUUAAACACUUUGUUUUGGGGACAAAGUGGUCCUUUUCCACCCUUACUUAGUCCUAAAACACGAAAUUCAGUUCCAAGGACCCCAAAAUAUACCUUUAUUCAUCAAAAGUAAUCAAAUAUUCUCCUCGGCAUUUCAAAAUAAAAACCCAAAUAGUUCAAGAUUCAACCGUAGGUUUUCAAAGAUAAUUACAUAUUUGGGAUCACCAAUCCGCAAGCUUCAAGAAACAUCUAUUAUCCUUGAAAUAGAGGUACGUGGGGUUAUCCUAAAAUCUUAUAGGUGUAUUUUUUAUGAACAUGCAUUCUUUUAAAUGGGGAUUUUCAAUCAAAUGCUAAUAACUUGCUUUCAAUAUGAUUUCUAAGUCAUUUUUCUUUGUCAUGGGAAUUGUUUGCCUAUAUACUUCAAUGGUUAAAACCAUGCAUAUGUGAUUUGAGAUUUUCCAUGGAAGUUUGAUAAACAUGAAUGAUAAAUUGCUUUCAAAUUCCCAUGAUAAUGUCUUGAUACCCCAUAUUAUAUUGUGAUCGACAAAAGAGAGCAUGAAUUUGAAAUAAAUAUUGUUCACCACUUAUAAAUGAUGAAUCACCUUGUUUUUUUACAUGAUUAUGCAUAUGUGGAAGUGAUAUUGAGGACUUUCAAGUCGGGUAUGACGAUACCCUACAGAAUAUGAUAUAUGAUUGAAAUCAGAUGAAAUUUGAAUACAUCAAUUUUACAUGAGAUAGGUGGUGCCCGAAGAAGGCGUUUGAGUGUAAGGGCUCAUUGCUGGAAAACGUGUUUGCCGACAUGGAGAUUUGGUACCAGGCUAAGUGAUCUUGUGUACUUGACUUUAUGUCAUUCCCAAAUUGGGACUAUAGGUAGGAGCCCUGGCUAAGUGAUCUUGGGCACUACCAUUGGGUCGAGACACCAUGCUAUGUGAUCUUGUGUGUCUCUCGCUCACUUAUCCUCUAAUUUUGGCGGAAACCGAGGUUAGACAGUUGGUGUAAAUUAUGUAUGGUAUUCCACCUAGCUCAAUUGCAUUUCAUUAUUGUUGAGAAUCUAUUGCAUUACGCCCAUGUGUUUUCAAAUGAUUUGAUACGAAAUUUCUUUAUAAUGGCUCUCAACUAUAUUUUGUAAAAAUAUUAUGUUUUGUUUUGAUAUCUCUGCAUGCCAGUAAUUUUGUGCUGACCCCCUCCCCUUUCCAACCUCUCAGGUUCAGAGGCCCAGUCUAGGGGUCAAGAGAAUCAGUAGAUCAUUUAGACAGAGUUGCAGAGACAAGUGGUGAGCCUUCUAUGUUUCGGAAGGUCUUAUGUCCUGCAGUCCUUUUAUCUUAUAUUCCGUUUUGGGGUCUACCGGGGCCUUGUCCCAGUUUAUAUAUGGUUAUUUGACUCAGUCAUUUGUUAGAGAUUUUUGCAGACAGUUGUUUAGAGGUUGAUUGAUAUUGGGGGAACCUUAUCUCCCCGUUAUUGUUUCUUUUCAUAUUUAUGACCAUUUUUCUGAAUUAUUGUGUUUCUUCCACAUUACUUUGAUCAUAUGAAUUAGGUGUAUGAUUACUAGAUAGGGGUGUUUCGGGCCUCCAUGGUUUGAAAUGCUCGUCACGACCAGGCCCUGGUUAGGGUCAUGGCAAAGUUGGUAUCAGAGCACGGUUCAUGGUCGCAGGGUGUCUGCAAAAUCGCGUCGGGUAGAGUCUUGUUUAUGGGUGUGUAGCGUGCUACACUUAUAAGUAGGAGGCUGCUAGGCAUUUAGUAAAUGUUUCCCAUCUUUGUGAUUUAGUUCAUGCUUCAGAGUCUGAACUGUCCCCUAAUCAAUGAUCACUUGUGUUUUAGAAACACAGUUAUGCCUCCACGUCGUAUCAUCGAUCAGAAUGCUUAGGCAGAUGAGGUCCUUACCACCCAUGGGAUACAGACCCGUAACGGAGCUCACGCUAAAGAAUUUGUCCCUACUCCGGGAGUCCCUCCAGUCUUGACCAGUCCACCUCGGUCUCUGCAGACUAAUGUCAACCGUCCCCCAACUGCUUAGAGAGAUAUUUCAAAUGCAGAAUUCAGACAUUCUAUUCAUAUGUUGACAUAGUUGGUAGCUAACUAUGCUUAACGAUCGGNNNNNNNNNNNNNNNNNNNNNNNNNNNNNNNNNNNNNNGGACAUUUCAUGAAGAUGAACCCACCUAAGUUCACUGGCACCAAGGUGGAGGAAGAUUCACAGGUGUUCAUGGAUGAGAUGGAAAAGAUCUUUAAGGUGAUGCAUGUGGAUGAGGUUGAAAGGGUGGAACUAGCAACCUAUCAGCUCAAGGACAUUGUAAAUCAGUGGUAUACUGACUGGGAAGAUGCAAAAGGUGAGAGUGCUGAGCCCACAGUUUGGUAAGAAUUUGUGGAAGCUUUCCUUGAUCGAUUCUUUCCUCUGGAAUUGAGAGAGACCAAAGUGGAAGAUUUUAUAAAUCUGAAGCAGGGCAGUAUGAGUGUCCAGGAGUACACUUUGAAGUUUAAUAAACUAGCCGGCUAUGCACCAGAGUUGACUAGUAAUAUGAGAGCCCGGAUGAGGAAAUUUGCAUCUGGCCUUGCUGAUAACCUGGUAGUUGAGUGCCAAGGGUCUAUUUUGAAUAAGGAGUUAGACUUUGCUUGACUGACCAUUCAUAUGCAGUAGGUAGAAGAGAAGAAGAAAAAGAUUGCUGAAUCUAGAGAGAAAGACAGAAAGGCUAAGAGAGCUAGAUCUGUGGACCAGCACCAGAGUCGGCUGCAGAGUGGUAACUAGGGUAAUAAGUGGUUGAAUAAGAAGAAGCUUUGGAAUAAUAAACAAUCAGCAGCCAGCGCCCCAGCACCCAGACCAUCGACAGACAGACAAACUCAGAGUUUUCAGACUCCUCAUGGAUCCAAAGCUCUAAGUACACAGUCCCAGGGCAGUGUGACCCAGCAGCAUCGUAAUUAUCCGCAGUGCAAGGUUUUUGGCAGGAAUUAUCUAGGGAAGUUCUGGUUUGAGGGGAGAAACUGUUAUAAUUGUGGCAAAGUGGGUCACCUUUAGAGAGAUUAUCCUUCUGCUGGAGGAAAUAUCAGGGGGAGGGGGGUUAAGUCCCAAGCCUCCUUCAUAGCUCCUUUUCCUAAGGGUGCCCCUUCAGCUGCUGAGAGUAGUCGUAACCGAUUAUAUUCUUUGACUAACCGCCAGGAGGCAGAAGCUUCACCAGAUGUUGUCACCGGUAUGUUACGAAUCUUUUCUCGUGAUGUUUAUGUACUGCUUGAUCUCGGGUCUACUUUAUCUUAUGUGACCCCUUAUGUGGCUGUUGGUUUUGGGUUUGAGCCCGAAGUUAUUGUAGAACCCUUCUCUGUUUCUACUCCUGUAGGUGAUUCUGUUGCUGCUAGAAGGGUGUAUAGAAAUUGUGCCGUGUCUAUUCAUAGUAGGGAAACUGUGGCAGACCUUAUAGAACUAGAUAUGAUAGAUUUUGAUGUCAUCCUUGGGAUGGACUGGCUCCAUUUGUGUUAUGCCACCCUUGAUUGCAGAACCCGAAAGGUCACUUUUUAUUUCCAGAAUGAGACACAAAUUGUAUGGGCAGGGAGUCCUGUGGAACCUAGAGGUCACUUUAUCUCUUAUCUUAGAGCCCGAAAGCUUAUCUCCAAAGGUUGUAUGUAUCAUCUAAUCUGAGUAAAAGAUUCAAAAGUUGAAAACUUUCCUCUGUAGUCAGUCCCUGUAGUGAAUGAAUUCCCAUAAGUCUUUCCCGAGGUUCUCCUAGAGAUACCCCUGAUAAAGAGAUAGAUUUUGGUAUUGAUGUGUUGCAGAUACUCGUCCUAUUUCUAUUUCACCAUAUAGAAUGGCUCCCGCGGAACUAAAGGAGCUAAAGGAACAGCUUGCAGACCUCCUAAACAAAGGUUUUAUUCGUCCUAGUGUUUCCCCAUGGGGUGCACCCGUGCUCUUCAUGCAAAAGAAGAAUGGGUCCCUUUGUAUGUGCAUAGACUACCGCCAGUUGAAUAAGGUCAUGAUUAAAAAUAAAUAUCCUCUUCCUAGGAUUGAUGAUCUUUUUGACCAGCUUCAGAAUGCCAAGUAUUUUUCAAAAGUAGACCUUCCUUCGGGUUACCAUCAGUUGAAAGUUAGAGAGUCAGGCAUACCCAAGACAGAAUUCUGAAUCCGAUAUGGUCACUAUGAAUUUCUAGUCAUGUACUUCGGGUUGACUAACGCCCCUGCAGCCUUCAUGGAUCUUAUGAAUAGAGUGUUUUGUCAAUUUCUUGUCUUGUUCGUCAUUGUAUUUAUUCUGAUCUAUUCUAAGAGUAAAGAGGAUCCCGCUAAUCACCUCCAAAUUAUUCUUCAGACCCUUAAGGAUCAUCAGCUGUAUGCCAAAUUUUCUAAGUGUGAAUUCUGGUUAGAUGCUAUUGCCUUCUUAGGGCAUAUUGAGCCCAGUGAUGGGAUAAUAGCGGGUCACCAGAAAGUUGAAGCAGUGAGAAAAUGGCCCAGACCCAUGACUCCAACCGAUAUUCGGAGCUUCUUGGGUUUGGCGGGGUAUUACAAAAUGUUUGUAAAGAGUUUUUCUUCCACAGUUGCUCUAUUUACUAAACUGACUCAGAAAAAGAUGAAGUUUGUGUGGUCUGACUUGUGUGAAAAUAGUUUUGAGAAAUUAAAGGACAAGCUGACUACUGCUACUAUUUUGACCCUUCCGAGGGUGUAGAUGAUUUUAUGAUUUAUUGUGAUGCGUCCCGUGUGGGACUUGGUUGUGUAUUAAUGCAGCGUGGUAAGGUGAUAGCUUAUGCAUCUAGGCAGUUAAAGUUGCAUGAGCACAAUUACCCUACUCAUGACUUGAAGUUAGAAGUGGUGGUGUUUGUACUUAGAAUCUGGAGGCACUAUCUCUAUGGAGUGCAUAUUGAUAUUUAUACUGACCAUAAGAGUUUGCAGUAUAUUUUCUCACAGAAAGAAUUGAACCUCAGGCAGAGGCAUUGGAUAGAGCUUUUGAAAGACUAUGCUAUGAGUCCGCAUUACCAUCCGGGCAAGGAAAAUGUUGUAGCCGACGCCUUCAGCAGGUUGUCUAUGGGCAGCCUCUCUCAUGUAGAAGAAGUAAAGAAAGAGAUGGUGAAGGAUAUUCACCGCCUUGAAAAUCUGGGAGUGCGACUCUUAGAUUUCAAAGAUGGAGGGGUGAUUGUUCAUGAGUUAGCUAAGUCAUCCCUUUGUGCUGAAGUUAAAGAAGCAGGUUGAAGAUCCCAUCUUGAUGAAAAUCAAGAGAGAUGUGGGUCAACAAAAGGUUAUGUCGUUUGAAAUUGGUGGUGAUGGUAUUCUAAGAUUUCAGGGUAGGUUGUGCAUUUCGGAUAUUAAUGGACUGCAGUAAAGAAUCUUUGAUGAGGCGCACACUUUAAGGUAUGUCGCUCACCCAUGCCUUACUAAGAUGUACCAUGAUCUGAAAACCUUGUAUUGGUGGAAUAACAUGAAACGUGAUGUAGCUAAUUUUGUGUCCAAGUGUUUGAACUAUCAGCAAGUGAAGGUAGAACACAUGAGGCCAGGUGGUACAUCCCAAGAGAUAGCCCUGCCUUUAUGGAAGUGGGAGAUGAUAAAUAUGGACUUCAUUAUAGGACUUCCAAGAUCUCGAAACCAGUAUGAUUCUAUAUGGAUGAUUGUAGAUCGGUUGACAAAGUCAGCCCACUUUUUGCCUGUGAGGACUAAUUAUUCGGGGAGAGUUUUAUGCUAAGAUUUACAUUGAGGAGAUAGUUCGAUUGCAUGGGGAACCAGUGUCCAUUAUAUCCGAUAGAGGUAUGCAGUUUUCAUCUUAGUUCUGGAGAUCUUUUCAGAAGGGUUUAGGUACACAAGUGAAUUUGAGCACAGCUUUCCACCCUCAGAUGAAUGGGAAAGCUGAGCGUACCAUUCAGACCCUUGAAGAUAUGUUGAGGGAAUGCGUCAUUGAUUUCAAAGGUAGUUGGGUAGAUCACCUGCUACUGGUUGAAUUCGCUUACAAUAAAAGCUACUAUGCCAGCAUUAAGAUGGCUUUUUUUGAGGGUUUGUAUGGUAGGAGAUAUAGGUCUCGGAUAGGAUGGUAUGAAGUAGGUGAGACUCAGUUUUAUGGGUCUGAUCUUGUUCAUCAGGUGGUGAAGAAAGUGAAAAUCAUUAGAGAAUGACUCAAGACUGCUCAGAGUCGUCAGAAGUCCUAUGCUGAUGUUCAGAGAAGAGAACUAGAGUUUGAAAUUGGUGAUUGGGUAUUUCUCAAGGUUUCUCCUAUGAAAGGAGUUAUACGGUUUGAAAAAAGGGGUAAAUUGAUCCCUCGUUAUGUAGGGCCAUAUCAAAUUUUGAAAAAGAUUGGUACAGUUGCUUUGGAAAAAGGGUAAAUUGAGCCCUUGCUACGUAGGGCCAUAUCAGAUUCUGAAAAAGAUUGGUACAGUUGCAUAUGAGCUAGAAUUUCCUACAAGUUUGGGUUCCAUUCAUCCGGUAUUCCAUAUAUCCAUGUUGAAGAAAUGCAUUGGAGAUCAUUCUAUGGUAUUGCCAGUAGAGGCUAUCAAAGUGACAGAGCCCUUGUCUUACGAAGAAGAGCUCGUUGAAAUUUUAUAUCACCAAGUUUGAAAGCUGAGGAGCAAAGAGAUAGCCUCUGUAAAGGUACUGUGGAGGAAUCAAAAAGUCAAAGAAGCAACUUGGGAGUCAGAAGAUGACAUGAGAAUUAGAUAUUCCAAUUUGUUUGCUUCGAUGGAGGAUGAGACAGAAGGUACUAUUCUUAUCUUAUCAUUCCUAGCCUUUUAUUAUGAUAGAAAUCGUGUCUGUCUGUGUCCCACAUCAUCAUUUGGGGAUGAAUGAUCCUAAGGGGGGAUAAUGUAAUGCCCUGCAUUUCGGGCUACAAUAUAGACCAUUAUUUCAAUGCAUUGAUAAUCCCGAAGCCAUAAAAUCCUAUGCCAAUACGGCAUGUUAAUGAUUUGUGUAGCAUGUGAAUCCAUUCAAUCUUGAAUUUAGACCAUAGAGGUCCUUCAACUCAUGGACGAGUUGAAACUAUUUCAAUCGACUAAGUUUUAGUGGACGUUGUAAAUUGUGUCAGCUUCCAUCGACCAUAACUCUCUGUAUAUAUCGAAUUAGGAACCCAACUAUGUGUCAAAUGAUAGGUUUUCGAGUUAGCUUUCCAACGAGCAAGAAGUUAUGACCUUUCGAAGUGAUAUGCGUCGCCUAACCAAUCGCCCAUGGCCACUGGAAAGCAUAGGCGAUAGCCUAGGCGAUGCCUAUGUAAACAUAGGUGAUAGCCUAGGCGGCGCCUACAUAAACAUAGGCAAUGGGAUGGGUGGCGCCUAUGUAAAGAAUUCAAGUGACUUAAACACUCCGUUUUGGGGACAAAGUGGUCCUUUUCCACCCUUACUUAGCCCUAAAACACGAAAUUCAGUUCCAAGGACCCCAAAAUACACCUUCAUUCAUCAAAAGUGCUCAAAGAUUCUCCUUAUGGUUUCAAAAUAAAAACCAAAAUAGUUUAAGAUUUGACCAUAGGUUUUCAAAGAUAAUUACGUAUUUGGGAUUACCAAUCCGCAAGAUUCAAGAAACAUCUAUUAUCCUUGGAAAUAGAGGUACGUGGGAUUAUCCUAAAAUCUCAUGGGUGUAGUUUUUAUGAACAUGCAUGCUUUUAAAGGGGGUUUUUCAAUCAAAUGCUAAUAACUUGCUAUCAAUAUGAUUUCUAAGUCAUUUUUCUUUAUGUCAUGGGAAUUGUUUGCCUAUAUACUUCAAUGGUUGAAACCGUGCAUAUGUGAUUUGAGAUUUUCCAUGGAAGUUUGAUAAAUAUGAAUGAUAAAUUGCUUUCAAAUUCCCAUGAUAAUGUCUUGAUAGCCCAUAUCAUAUUGUGAUCAACAAAAGAGAGCAUGAAUUUGAAAUAAAUAUUGUUCACCACUUGUAAAUGAUGAAGAACCUUAGUUUUUACUUGAUUAUGCAUAUGUGGAAUUGAUAUUGAGGACUUGCUAGUCGGGUAUGACGAUACCCUACAGAAUAUGAUAUGUGAUUGAAAUCAGAUAAAAUUUAAAUGCAUAGAUUUUACAUGAGAUAGGUGGAUGCCCGAAGAAGGCGUUUGAGUGUAAGGGCUCAUCAUUGGAAAAUUUGUUUGCCGACACGGAGAUUUGGUACCAGGCUAAGUGAUCUUGUGUACUUGACUUUAUGUCAUUCCCAAAUUGGGACUAUAGGUAGGAGCCCGGGCUAAGUGAUCUUGGCCACUACCAUUGGGUCGAGCCACCAUGCUAUGUGAUCUUGUGUGUUUCUCCCUCACUUAUACUCUAAUCUCAGCGGUAACUGAGGUUAGACAGUUGGUGUAAAUUAUAUAGGGUAUUCCACCUAGCUCGGUUACCUUUCAUUGUUGUUGAGAAACUAUUGCAUUACGCCCAUAUGUUUUCAAAUGAUUUGAUCUGAAAUUGCUUUAUAAUGGCUCUCAACUAUAUUUUGUUUUGAUAUCUCUGCAUGCUAGUUCUUUUGUGCUGACCCCCUCCCCUCUCCAACCUCUCAGGUUCAGAGGCCCAGUCUAGGGGUCAAGAGAAUCAGUAGAUCAUUCAGACAGAGUUGCAGAGACAAGUGGUGAGCCUUAUAUGUUUCAGAAGGUCUUAUGUCCUGCAAUCCUUUUAUCUUAUAUUCAGUUUUGGGGUCUACUAGGGGCCUUGUCCCAGUUUAUAUACAGUUAUUUGACUUAGUCAUUUGUUAGAGAUUUUCGCAGACAGUUGUUUAGAGGUUGAUUGAUAUUGGGGGAACCUUAUCUCCCUGUUAUUUUGUUUCUUUUCAUAUUUAUGACCAUGUUUCCGAAUUAUUGUGUUUCUUCCGCAUUACUUUGAUCAUAUGAAUUAGGUGCAUGAUUACCAGACAGAUAGGGGUGUUUCGGGCCUCGAUGGUUCGAAAUGCUCGUCACGGCCAGGCCUUGGUUCGGGUCGUGACACAACCUGAUGGUAGAAUUGAGGUUCUUGCAAGGAAGUCUCAAAAGGUAGAGGAAUAAUCCUAGAACUUGAAACAGAAUUGCACACAUAAUCAUUGAGGUAAACUGGAGGAUGAGAUGAUCUAGAAGACUUUCUUUGGGCAGAGACAGGAACAGAAGUUGGGAUAACAGUGGUAGAAAUUAGGACAAUUGAAGGAGAAGAGGGAUUAUGAGGUAUAGGGGGGAGAGAGAUCAGGAGGAAAAAGAUGAGGGGAAGUAGAAGAUGAAUAAGGGAAAACAUUUUCAUAGAAUAUGACAUCCCUGGAGUGAAAAAUGCUAUGAUCAGAUAGUCUCAAAAGUUAAUAACUUUUCUUGCCAUGACUAUACCCAAGAAAAACCGAGGGGUAUGACCUGGAUUGAAACUUAUCUCUAUGUGGUUUAGGUACAGCAGCAAAACAUAGAAAGCUUUCAAAUGUGUAAGAGAAGGUGAAAUACCAUGAAGUAACUCAAAAGGGGAUUUGUAAUUCAAAAGUGGAGUUGGACACCUAUUUAUCAGAUAAGCAACAGUAAGAACACAUUCUCCUCAAUAUUUGACUGGGAGUUUGGAUUGAAAUAAAAGGGCUCUAGCAGUUUCAAGAAGACGCUUGUGUUUCCUCUUCACCACACCAUUUGGUUGUGGUGUGUGAGGACAAGAGGUUUGAUGCAAGAUUCAUGUGUUGAAAAAAAAUAGAAUUUGCUGAACUACACCCCCAAUUCAAGGGCAUUGUUAGAUCUGAACAGUGGUGUUAAAUUGGGUUUUAACCAUAAAGAUGAAAGAUUGUAUGAGAGUGAAGGCAUUACCCUUGGUAUGGAAGAGAUGUGUCCAAGUAGCUCUAGUAAAGUCAUCUACUAUUGUCAAGAAAUAUUUAAAACCAUUAUAAGUUUGAGUAUGAUAAGGACCCUAAAGAUCCAAGUGAUUUAAUUGAAAAGGACAAGUGGAGUGAAUGGAACUCUUAGGGAGGGGGAGUCUUUGUUGCGUAGCCAUGGACAAAUAGGGCAUAAGCAGGAUUGUUUAUUAGGUAGGACAUCAAAUAAACAAGAAAUUUUAACAACAGAAAAAUCAAAGAAGAAAAUUCAACAUAUUAGAACAUAAGAACAACAACCAAUAACAUACCUAAUGUAAUUUCACAAGUCGAGUCUGAGAAGGUAAGAUGUAUACGGAUCUUACCUGUCUCUGUGGACAGAGGUUAUUUCAAAUAACUCAGAAGAAUUCUAUAUUUCAAUCUCCAAAAUAAUACCUCAUAUUUAUAGGUGUUAACCCAAAUGGUUAGUUAACGGUUAGUUUGAUUUCAUUAAUGGCAGAUAAAAUAAUUUAUUAAAUAANNNNNNNNNNNNNNNNNNNNNNNNNNNNNNNNNNNNNNNNNNNNNNNNNNNNNNNNNNNNNNNNNNNNNNNNNNNNNNNNNNNNNNNNNNNNNNNNNNNNNNNNNNNNNNNNNNNNNNNNNNNNNNNNNNNNNNNNNNNNNNNNNNNNNNNNNNNNNNNNNNNNNNNNNNNNNNNNNNNNNNNNNNNNNNNNNNNNNNNNNNNNNNNNNNNNNNNNNNNNNNNNNNNNNNNNNNNNCCUUAUAUUGACUAACCAUUAACUAGCUGUUGGGGUAACACGAAAAUUAAUAAUUUGGAAAAGCAUUCUUUCUCUAAUCUUAUAUUGACUAACCGUUAACUAGCCGUUGGAGUAACACAGGAAUGCUCAUUAACAUUGUGAGAGAACUUUCUCUAAUCUUAAAUCAAACUAACCAUUAACAAGCCGUUGGUAACAUAUGAAUGCUUAUUAUUGAUUUAGAUAAUCUUUCUUACUCUAAUAUUGUUAUGUUUACUUACUAUUUGAUAAAAUUGACAUUAAUGAAAUCAAACUAGCCGUUAACUAACCGUUUGGGUUAACAGCGAUAAUUAGAAGGCAUUAUUUUGGAGAUUGAAAUAUAGAAUUCUUCAGAGUUAUUUGAAACACCCUCUACCAACAAAGACAGGUAAGAUUUUUAUACAUCCUACCUUCUCCAACUCUACUUGUGAAAUUAUAUUAGGUUUAUUAUUGGUUGUUCUUAUCUUCUAAUAUGCUGAAUUUUCUUUCUUGAUUUGUUUCUGUCCCAAUUUAUAACUGAACAUGUUUUAGUGAAUCUUGAGCACAAGUCUAAUUUUCUUAUUCAUUAUUGAGACACCUUAAGCUAAUAGUGAUCCAUAGGAAGUACUACUUUCACAACAAUCUAUACUACUCUAUAAAGAGAUGUAUUUCCAUGAAACUACACUGAAUGUAUUAUCGCUUAUACUACAAAUAAGUAGUAACCUUUUGAAGUUUGUCUGUUAAUAGAAACACAUGAUAAAGUGAACUCUGGGUACUUCUUUUAAACUGUUUUAAUUGCUUACUAUCUAUAACAAGUAUAAAUUCAUUAAGUGUUCAUUAAGAAUAGACAUUUUGGACUCCACUCAUGAAAUUACACUAUAUAGAUUAUUGUUAUAUAGAUUCGCCAUGGAAAACAUGUUCAGCAAAUGUAAAUUAUGAAUUGCAUUCAGAGAGUAAUUUAUAAACUAAUUUUUUGUACAUUUUUGCUAGAGAAAUUGCAGGUAAUUGAGGAAUUAAGUUUUGUUUUCUAUUUCCAUCCAUGGACGAAACUGCGAAGCGACACUGUACCGGAGAAGUUGGUGGCGGCAGCGGCGGUAAAAAAGGAGGAGGAGGAAGAUCCGAUGGCGAUUUUGAGCCGUCAAUGGGUAGAUUUACAAAUCAUAUAAUAAUUGAUGUGUUGGAAAAAAUGGAUUUGGCAUCUCUUUGCACCUCUGCUUGUGUCUCUCCAACCUUCAAUUCUGCCGUUGCAUAUCAUCUUCCUUUUGUUUCGUCUUCUUGUGCUUCUUCUUUUGUUUUGUAAUUAAAUGCCCUAAUUUUAUUGUGUAUGAUUUACUAGUAGACUAUCCAAAACUACUGGAGGCAUUUUAUGGGCUUCACUUUGCUAAUGCGUAUGUGGGCAUUAGCAAGUGUAGCUGGUUCAAACAUUCAUGAUAAGAUAGUGUGAUGAAUCCUCUUAUUAUUGAAUAGAGUAAAAUGCAUGUGGAGAAUGUAGCAUAAACGACUGUCCAUUUGACCAUCUUUAGUUUUGCUAAAUGCGAUUCUUACUUCUGGGAUGAACUUUUCAUACUAGUAUCUUUGAUUUACAGGGAUUCUAUCUGGAUGAAGAGACUCUAAAACAUAUUUUGCGUAGGGUCCCAGGAGCCAAGAGUUUAACUAUUGAGUGCCUCCGAAUGAGGAAUGAUUCCUCCAUCAUCAAUAUUCUCGGUGAGCAUAUCGAAGAUUUGAGUUUGCUCAAAUGUACCUGUCUGUCUUACGACAUUCUGCGUGCACUUGGAGAAUGGUGCCCCAACUUAAGGUAUUCUCCUAUGUCAACAUAUUGGUAAAUUGUUAUUAAAUGCUUCGUUGAUUAUAGUUUCCCAUCUUUGAUAAUAAGAGCUUUAGAAGUGGUUGCAAAUUGCAAUCAAUUUAUCAGGGCUUAGAAGGCGUUCAUCGCCUCCAUUGAUAGAUUUCAGACUGUUAUUAUCCUGAAAUUCUCUCUGCAUAAAUGGAUUUUAUUUAGAUCUAAUGGUUCACUGGAGCCAUUAUCUUUCCACUUGCUGAAGCUGAUUUGUAAUUUUAUUCACGAUAUAUCUGAAGCAGAUUUGUUGAUUUAAAUAACUCGUUUGGGAACCAAUUCAUUUAAAUUUGAAUUUUUUUUUCUUUGCUGCCCUUGAUGAUAUCUGAACUUCUUUAGGCUGCUUGGGCAUAGAAAACUUGAACUGCAUUAUCUUUUGCACUUGGAUUGAUUAAUUUCACUCUAUAUCUCCACCUUCGGAAGAUGGAACAGUCGAGCUAUAAUAAUGUUCAUUGUGGUUACACCUACAAUAUCUUUCUUUCAUACUUUUGUCACUUCUUCCUGGAUUUGUUUCCAAUGUAUGUUUUCUUAUUUCACCUUUUUCUUUUUCUGAAUCAGGUCCUUGCUUAUAGAAUUUGCUGGGUGUGAUGCACCAGAACUUUUCAAAAGGAAACUUGCAGAAAUGCUCCAAAAGGUGCCCUUGUUAGAGGUAAAGUAUUCUCAUCUUUCACAUAUUUUUCCUCUCUUUCUUCUUCAAAUCGUCCCUGAUGCCUCUUCAAGCUAAUUACUCUUUAGAACAAGAGUUUUCCUUUGAUGUUCAAUUUCAUGAGUACUUUUCUUUCCUGCAGUCGCUGUCCAUAACAAUCCGAGGGACCUCACGUGAUGUAUUUGAUGUACGACCUCUUGGACAAUUUCUUCCCCCAAGUUUAAAAAAUUGAAGUUACAGCAAAUGGAUGCACGCCUCUUUGUCUUGUGGUUAGAUGCAAUCAGGAAAAUCCCUCUGUUCAACUUGCGAAGCUUGUCGCUUGUCUUGGACCUUAUAUCAGAUGAUCUUCUCAUCACAGUUGUGCAUCCUCUUCCUCAUUGGUAGAGCUGGAUCUUGAAGACAGACCUUUUACAUUGUCAUCGGUAGGGGACUUGACCAACAUUGGACUACAGGCUCUGAAGUUCUGCGAGUGUCUAAUUGCCCUCUCAAUUGUUCGAAGUAAAAUGAAUUGUCCUGCUUCAUUUACAAGAGUGGACAAUAAAGGCAUGUUCCAUGUUUCUGCAGGUUGUAAAAGGUUGGAAUCAGUGAAACUUGGUGGGUUUGCAAAGGUUACUAAAGCUGGAUAUUUGUCAAUUCUGUAUUCAUGCCGGAAUCUGAAGAAAUUUGAAGUGUUUACUUCACCUCUAUUAUCAGACUCGGUGAUUGAUAAUAUGACAGGAGUUGCAAGGUCCGUAGUUGAAUUAANNNNNNNNNNNNNNNNNNNNNNNNNNNNNNNNNNNNNNNNNNNNNNNNNNNNNNNNNNNNNNNNNNNNNNNNNNNNNNNNNNNNNNNNNNNNNNNNNNNNNNNNNNNNNNNNNNNNNNNNNNNNNNNNNNNNNNNNNNNNNNNNNNNNNNNNNNNNNNNNNNNNNNNNNNNNGGAAAAUUUGCAAGACGUUAUCGGUGUUGGAUGUUGGUUACAUUCCCAAAAUAACUGAUGCAACUAUUUUUACCAUUGCAACUGCUGCUAAGGCAUUAACUGAUUUAUCUUUAAGGUUCUGUAAUGGAGUCACUGAUGCUGCGGUGCAGAUGCUGAUGGAUCGACCAAACCACAACAGUAGUCAACUACAAAUGCUUGAUAUUUGCAGCUGUCAAGGUCUGUCUGCUGAGGCCAUAAUGCUACCUCUGCACCUGUAUGCUUUCCAUCGUUUGCGCUGGCUCGGUAUUGGACUUACUGACAUAGUUGCUAAGAGAGGCAUUUUCACCGCAAUCUGCGAGGCGCGACCCAGGCUUGUUGUGUGCAGUGUUUGCUGCGACUUUGGGUGCUGUGAUGGCUGGCAAUGAAACAAAGUCCGAUGACUGAAACUUAGCUUUUUUCCCUUUUUUUAGGCAUUAUUGUGCUUUAUUUGCUCUGUAUUGUAAUCAACCUUUUGAAUUACAAUGAAUAUCAAAUGCUUUUUUUUUUUGGACCUGCGAUUGUAAUUGCUCAUUAAGUAUCAAUUCAUUGCUACUAGCAUCAAUUGGCAUUACCACUUGGACACACCAUUGCUAGCUAUAUGUGAAACAAACACCUAAUUUUGUUAUUUUCACUCUCUUACCCUACUAUGGAUUACCACCUACUUCAAUGGCAGGUGCAUUAACUACUUAUCUGCCCCAACUCCUUAGGUUUCUGUUGAUCACAUUCUCAAUAGCAGGCCCUCUUAUCUCUUCCUUCUCCGAGCUCUAGUUAUGAAAGAGGGAACUGACUAUCCUCAAGCUCAAGCCAUCUGCUCCACCACAACCCCCGUCUUGUGCCCCCAAAAUUUCUUUUAUAGUUCUCAAAUUUCAUGUUUUGCAUCAUCUUUUUUACAACAUUAAUAAUGAGCUUGUGGUUAUGCCGAUUAAUUCCUUGCCAGUUUCUACCAUGGAAAACAUCUAUCCACUGCCACUUAACAAGAGAUCGUUUGUUACCAACACCAGCAGCAUGAUGUAAACAUUCUAGUCAACCUACACCACCGUUAGGGAUAUACCCAACCACCAGUUAUGGAAGUUAACCUACCAUGCACCCGCACCAGCACUAACUGAAGAAGACUUGCAGAGAGUACAUUUGUAAUUCAGCCUUUUACUGGAGAAAGAAUGGUGGUCAGAAAAAGAUCGCAAUAUCUCAAAAUGUUUUGGGCUUUUACCAUUAUGCUGGACAGUUGUUGAUAUAGCUAUGAUCAAACCAUUUCUAUCUGUAGUAUUUUGUUCAAAUUUGACUUUAUAUAUAUCGUAGAAGCCCAAAGCGAACGCACUUCCAUUUCAUUGCCAAACUGUAGCUGGUCUAAAACUAGAUAUGAUUCGGGAGCCCGAAAAGAUGGUCAUGCCCUAAAAAGUAGACAACAGCCUCAUAUAUAUCAAAGCCAAAAUCCAUAUCUCAAAAUAACUGCAAGAACCAAACUACAACUACAUAUUUCAGUGUAAUCUUACAAAGUGGGUCUGUUGAGGGAAGAGUAUGUGCAAACCUUACCCCUACUGCAGAAGUAGAGAGACUGUUUCCGAUAGACAAAAUUGUAAUUGGAUAAAAAGAUAAGAACCAUACUCAGUUGUGAUGUGAAUUACAUUUUCUGAUAGCCGUCUAAGCAGCACGCCCGGACCCCGGGCCCACCCCCAAAAUCGUGGGUUAUAGCACACCGAUUUGGCCUGAAAAUGCCCCGUUCGCGCCGUUUCAUCUGUUUGUCCACCCAAAUAGGCAUGAAAAUUUAAACAGACCACACUGAGACGAUACCUAACUUCCUUGGCAUGGCCCAGUCGAUUUUUGGCCUACAGCACUCUUGGACCCCAGGCCCACCCCCGAAACUGUGGGCUAUAGCACACUAAUUUGGCCCGAAAACUCUCUGUUCGCACCGUUUCGCCCGUUUGUCCACCCAAAUGGCCACAAAAAUUUAAACGGACCACAAUGGAAUGAUUCCCAACCUUCCUGGCAUGCCCCGGUUGAUUUUCCGUCCACAACACGCCGGGACCCCAGGCCACCCUCGAAACCGUAGGCUAUAGCUCAUCGAUUUGGCCCAAAAACACCUGGUUCGCGCCAUUUCGCCCGUUUGUCAACCCAAAUGGCUACAAAAAUAUAAACGGACCACACUGGGAUGAUCCCCAACCUCCCUGGCAUGCCUCAGGUGAUUUUCGGCCCACAGCAUGCCCGGAUCCCAGGGCCACCCCCAAAUCCGUGGGACAUAGCACACCGAUUUGGCCCAAAAUUGCCCCGUUCACACCAUUUCGACGUUUGUCCAUCCAAACUUUCAAGGUUAUUACUAUUUAUACUUUUUAUAGAUAGAAACCAAUUAAAGCAGUUUAAAGAAGUACCUAGAGUUCACUUUAUUAUGUGUUUCUAUUAACGGACAAACUUUCAAGGUUAUUACUUAUUUGUAGUAUAAACGAAAUACAUUCAGUGCAAUUUCAUGGACAUACAUCUCUUUAUAGAGUUGUACAGAUUGUUGUGAAAAUAGUACUUUCUGUGGAAUAGAAUUAACUUAAGGAGUGUCAAUAAUGCAUAAGAUAGUUAGACUUAUGUUCAAGAUUCAAUAAACUCGUUCAUUUAUAAAUUGGGACAAAAAUAACAGAAAAAUCAAGGAAGAAAAUUCAACAUAUUAGAAGAUAAGACAACAACCAAUAACAUACUUAGUGUAAUUUCACAAGUAAAUUUUAAGAAUGUAGGAUGUAUACAAAUCUUACCUGUCUCUGUGGGUAGGGGUGGUUUCAAAUAACUCUGAAGAAUUCUAUAUUUCAAUCUCCAAAAUAAUACCUUGAAUUUAUAGGUGUUAACCCAAACGGUUAGUGAAUGGCUAGUUUGAUUUAAUUAAUGUUAAAUGAAAUAAUUUAUCAAACAGUAUGUAAACUUACCAAUAUUAGAGUAAGAAAGAUUUCCCAAAUCAAUAAUAAACAUUCAUAUGUUACUCCAACAGCUAAUUAAUGGUUAGUUUGAUGUAACAACCUUCAAUGGGUAGAUUUAUAGAUCAUAUAAUAAUUAAUGUGUUGGAAAAAAUGAAUUUGACAUCUCUUUGCACCGUCGAUUGUGUCUCUCCAACCUUCAAUUCUGCCUUCACAUAUCGUCUUCCUUUUGUUUCGCCUUCCGAUCUUUUUGUAAGUUAAUUUCACUGUUUUUUUCUAAUUAAAUGCCCUAAUCUUUUUGUUGUAAUAGAUAAAAUGAGUUAUAUUGUAUGUGAUACCAGGCAAAAACACUAGGUGAUUUCUUUCCAAGUGUCUUGACCUUGGUGGAUCGGCUUCCCGCUGAUGAGUGAGAGGUGGCAAGUAUUCUGUGGAAUUAGUCGAGGUGUGCAAAAGUUGGCAGGACACCACAAUUAUAAAAAUAAAAUAAAAUUUGACACCACAUCCUCUUAGCCUCAUUGAGCAUAAUAAAUAUGAAAUUAGUAAUUUGUUUUGUUUAAAAUUCCAAUCCAAUUGUCUCAAGUUUAUGUUAAGUGAAAUAUGUUGUUCCUAGAUAAUCUAAAGCUUUUGUUAGAUUUGAUUGAUGCUUCUUGAUCACUACGAAAUGAAAAUGAAUGUGAAUAGAGUGGAGUGGGACUCCAAGGACUUAUUUAGGAUUGAGACCUAGUUGAAUUAUUGGUUGAGUGUCUUGAGAUUGAUUUGGCAGUUUGAACUAUUUUGAGUUUAUUGCUGGUUGAUUUGGAUUAACCUAUUUAUGUAAGGUUUACUAGUAGACUAGCUAAAACUGCUUGAGGCAUUUCCCUGGGCUUCACUUUACUAAUGCCUAUGUGGGCAUUAGCAAGUGCAACUGGUCCAAACAUUCAUGGUAAAAUAGUCUGAUGAAUCAUUUGAUUAUUGAAUAGAGUAAAAUGCAUAUGGAGAAUGUGGUGUAAAUGACUGUCCAUUUGACCAUCUUUAGUUUUGCUAAUGUAAUUCUUACUUUUGGGAUGAACGUUUAAUACUAGUAUCUUUGAUUUAUGGAGAUUUUAUCUGAAUGAAGAGACUCUAAAACAUGUCGUGCGUAGUGUCCCUGGGGACAAGAGUUUAACUAUCGAGUGCCUCCAAAUGAAGAAUGAUUUCUCCAUUAUCAAUAUUCUCAUUGAACAUAUCGAAGACUUGAGUUUGCUCAAAUGUUCCCAUCUGUCUUAUGACAUUCUUCGUGCAAUUGGAGAAAGGUGCCCAAACUAAAGGUAUUCUCCUAUGUCAACAUAUCGGUAAACUGUUAUGACAUGCUUCAUUGAUUAUGGUUUCACAUCUUUGAUGGUAAGAACUUUACAAGUGGUUGUAAUCAAUUUAUCAGGGCUUAGAAGGCGUUCGUCGCCUCCAUUGAUGGAUUUUCAGACUGUUAUUAUCAUGAAACUAGUAUGUGUACCCGCGCGAUGCACGAGCAAUAUUAAAGAAUGUAAUUACAUUAUACAUUAUGUGAAACUUAUAUUAUACACUUGUAUAUUUGAAAUAAAAAAAUCAAGUGAGUAUAUUAAUGAGUGAUAUUACUGGGUAUGAUGUUGUUGUUAGAGGUAUUUGUAGUUGAAUUGAACUUUCUUGAGUAAGAGAUAGAAUCAUUGUUUUUAAAAAAUAAGCUAAUAACCAAAUAUAGUACUAUAAAUUUAACAUGCAUUGUGUCAACUCUUAACAAAGAUAAACUUAGAAAAUGCACCUUAUGGUUAAAAAAAUAUAUAUACAAUUAAAGGAAAUAAAUCAUACACUCGAUAAUUUUUCGAGAGAUACAUCAAAAAUAUAAAAUGAGGUUAUAAAAUAAAUUUUGAUUAGAAUUGGAUUCUUCACAUGUUAUGUAUAGUUUUUCCUCUAUCCUUUGUCACAUGAAACAUAAAAAACUAAUACAUCAAAAAUAUAAGCAAAUCAAGUAGAUAUUAACACGAACUAAUAUCAUUAACACAGAAGCACAUAGUAAGUAAAACAAAUCAUAUAAAUAUACUUUUGGAUUGUUCCCUAUCCAACUAUUCCUUUAUGAAUCAUUUCCUUUGCAAAUCCAACAAUAGCAAUAACAUAUUCAAUAUAUUUUCACAAAGUGGAGUUAGGGGAUCUUUACGAAUCCAAACCUGUAGCAUGCUUUAAUUAUCUAAACUAAAGAGGGAUUAUUAUCUAACUACACUGAUUUAUUAGCUCUUUGAUCAAGUAGAAAGGAAAUUCAUAUUGAGAAAAAUAAUUGAUUCUAAUCCACUAAUGUAUCAAUUUGAAUGCUCAGUCCUGCAACUUUGAAACCCAUCCAUUAGUUGUAUGGCAACAACCGAUACUCCAACCAGUUUAUUCCAGUUCCCAUCACUUCUGAGGUAUCAAUCUUUUAAUUCCAAAGACUCACUUGUUGCAAUUUGAAAUCAGUCAAAAUAGUUUUAGUUUGAUGUUGUUGAAAGAAGGAAAAUUACACGUCCCGUCAUAUAGUUGAUUACCAACCACCAGCUUCAUAGGACUUUUACAAUUUUGAACUGAUUGGCCUGUACAUAGACACCACAAUCGUUGAUUAAGUCACUUGUAAAGAAGCAUGAAAUACUAUUAUAAGCGUAAAGAGCCUAGUAUUUAAACCUAUUGAAAUAUAUCAUCUCCUAGUGCAUUACAUGCGCUAUGCACGAACAUCGAUAAAAAAAUAUCAAUAACAAUAACAUAUCUUUCAACGGAUCAUUUCUCCUCUUUAAAUAUAAAUAUUUGAUCAAAUAAUGUCUAUAAUGUGAUGAAACUUAAAAGUAUCUAUCUCGUUAAAAUAAUUAAUCCAUUCAAAUGGCCAUGAAUUUGUAAUAACAUUCUUAUACAAUACACAAAAAAUGUGCAGCGGGUAAGUUAACUAAUCUAAAUGAACAAAAUAAUUUAUUUUCUAGCUAAAAGUAAAAAUAUAUAAUAAAAAGCAUUUGACAAAAAUUAAGCUUAUACGACAUCACAUUACAAGGAAGUGAUCAUUUAACUUCUACUAUAAGCCUAUAACUACAUUGUAUCAUAUAUAUCCUUUGAAAUAUUAUCUUCUUUUACAUACAAUGUGUUUUGCAGAAUCCAUUAUCAGCGAGUGAAGUAAUGGACUUCAAAAUUCACUAUGAUACUUCACCCAUGAUAUGCAAAGGUGUUUUGAGAAUGAUUUAUCUAGAUUAUAUAUGAAUAAACCUAACAUUUUGGGCAUAAGAUCAUUCUGAAGAUAUCCACAUGCUACUUUCACCGUUUUCUUUGUUUUCCAAACUUAUCAGUGUUUAGUAUGUGUCUUAACUUUUCUCCUAAAUCUUGUUUCAAUCUAUAAUUCAAGCAAGUAAUUUAAAACAUAGAGUAGGGCCCUUCCACGUCCGAUUUAUCUAUAUUGAUCUUACUAUAAUAAAUGAGCAUACUUCUGUGAGGGUUCAAUGAUCAUACAAUAAAUCGCAACAAUAUAUCCAAUGUAAUUUCACAAGAGAGAAGGUAGAUCAUACUAAACUUACCCCUACCUCGUAGAUAUAGAGGGGUUGUAUUUUAUAGACACUCAGUUUGUAUAAGGCAAAAGUCUUCAUACAUGAGAAAAAUUAUCACAUUUGAAACCAAUGGAACUCAACAUAUGAGAAGGCUUCAAUAGAUAGCAUCAUUCAAAUAUCAAUUCUUAAUUGGCAAUCAUCAUGCUUUAGAUAAAAAAAAAAUGUAUACUAUAUAUUCAUAAAGUAGAAUUCCCAAGAGAUCUCUUAGAGCAAUUUGCAUAGGAUUAGAACUUCAAAAGUAAAGAUGCAACAUUCUCAAAGCUAAGGAUCACGCUGACACUGAAAGUUCUAUUGUUCUUUUAGGUUAUCCUUUCACUAAAUCAUGGCUAAAGCAUAACAAUUUCUGUUAUGAAAUGCUUCAUUGAUUAUGGUUUCACAUCUUUGAUGGUAAGAACUUUACAAGUGGUUGUAAUCAAUUUAUCAGGGCUUAGAAGGUGUUUGUCGCCUCCAUUGAUGGAUUUUCAGACAAUUAUUAUCCUGAAAUUCUCGGCAUAAAUGUAUUUUAUUUAGAUCCACUCGCUGAAGCUGAUUAGUAAUUUUUAAGCAGAUUUGUUAAUUUAAAUAACUCAUUUGGGAAUCAAUUCAUUUAAAUUUGAUUUUUUUCUUUGCUGACCCUUGAUGAUAUCUGAUUUCUAGGCUGUUUGGGUAUAGAAAACCUCAAACUGCAUUAGCUUUUGCACUUGGCAUGCAUUAAUUUCACUCUAUAUCUCCACCUUCGGAAGAUGGAACAGUCGAGAUAUAAUUAAGUCCAUUGUGGUUACACCAACAAUAUCUUGCUUUCAUACUCUUGCCACUUCUUCCUGGAUUUGAUUCCAAUGUGUGUUUUCUUAUUUCCCCUGCGUAUAGAAUUUGCUGAGUGUGAAGCACCAAAACUUUUCAAAGAGAAACUUGCAGAAAUGCUCCAAAAGGUGCCCUUGUUAGAGGUAAAGUAUUCUCAUCUUUCACUUAUUUGUCCUCUCUUUCUUCUUCUAAUUUUCCAUGAUGCCUCUUGUCACGACCCGAACCGGGGCCCUGGCCGUGACGAGCAUUCCGAACCAUAAAGGCCCGAAACACCCCUAUUUGUCUGAUAAUCACGCACAUAAUUCAUGGUAAACGAAAUGCGGAAGAUACACAAUAUAACGGAAACAUGGUCAAGAAUCAUAUGAAAACGAAAAUGGGUAAUAGUGUCCUACAAUCUAAAUCAACAUCUCUAAAACCGUCUGCGAAAUCGCUACUACAUGACUGAAACAAUGUCUAUCUGAAAACUGGGACAAGGCCCCCAGCAGACCCAAAACUAAUAAAUGAUAAAUGAAAUAGCAUACGUCAGGCCUUCCGAAAUAUAGAAGGCUCACCACUUGAUUCUGCGAUCUGUCUGAAGAAAUUUACUAGUUAUCUGGACCCCUAGACUGUGCCUCCGAACCAGGGAGGGAACGGGGUCAAUACAAAAGUACUGGUACGCAGAGAAAUCAAAACAGAAGUAUAAUAUUUUUACACAAUAUAGGUGAGAGCCAUUAUAAAGCAGUUUCAUAUCAAAUCAUUUGAAAACACAAGGGCAUAAUGUAAUUUGUUUUAAUAACAAUGAAAUGCAACUGAGCUAGGUGGAAUACCCUACAUAAUUUACACCAACUGUCAAACCCGGGUUGCCGCUGAGAUUAGAGUAUACGUGAGGGGAAGACACACAAGAUCACACAGCAUGGUGUCUCGACCCAAUGGUAGCGCCCAAGAUCUCUUAGUCCGGGCUCCUACCUAUAAUCCCAAUUUGGGAAUGACAUAAAGUCAAGUACUCAAGAUCAUUUAGCCUGGUACCAAAUUUCCGUGUCGGCAAACACGGUUUCCAGCGAUGAUACCUUACACUCGAACUCCUUCUUCGGGCAUCCAUCUAUCUCAUGUAAAAUCAAUGCAUUCAAAUUUCAUUUGAUUCAAUCACAUAUCAUAUUUUGUUGGGUAACGUCAUACCCGACUUGAAAGCCAUCAAUAUCACAUUAUUCUUCUCAUUCAACCAUUGUAUUCAACAUGUUUCAACACAAAUAACCCUCUAGUUUUCAAGUCAAAAUAAUAUCAAUUCUCAAAACAUUUCAUGUCAUGCUUUUCAUGAUGUUUUCAAACAAUUUACAUCAUAUGGACAUUCAAAACAAAUUCAUAUCAAGAGAGGGAUUUCAUAUAAUUCAUGCUCUCAAAAUAUCAUCUUUUCGAAACACACGCAUAUACAUAUAUAAUAUGUCAAAUCGUUCGAAAGUAAGCCUAAAGACCAAAUUCAAUAUUAUAGAAACGUUCAAAACAUAAUUAUAUUCGAAGUUUCAAAACCCCCAUUUGUAAAACAUGAAUUUAAAGACCCAUGAGAUUUUUCAAUAACCCCACGUACCUCUAUAUGCGAAUAUGAUAGGUUCUUCUUGAAGCCUACGUUGCGGAGAUUCCAAAACUUCAAUUUGUUUAGAAAACCCAUGGUUGAAUCUUGAACUAUUUGGGUUUUUAUUUUGAAACCCUAGAGAGAGUUCUUGAACAAUUUGGAUGAAUGAAGGUGUAUUUUGGGGUCUUUGCGAACUGAAUUUCGUGUUUAUGGCUAAAUAAGGGUGGAAAAGGACCAUUUUGCCCCAAAAACAGUUUUUAAGUCACCUAAAACCUUUACAUAGGCGGUGCCUAUGCUAUCGCCUAUGUUUACAUAGGCGCCGCCUACUACUUUGAAAGGUCAUAACUUCUUGCUCAGGUGCCGGAUUUUAGCAAAAUUAGUAACGUUGGAAAGAUAACUCGAAGACCUAUCAUUUGACACAUAGUAGGCUCUCUAAUUUGUCAUAUAUAGAGAGUUAUGGACAAUGGAAUCUGAAACAAAUUACACGUCCACUAAAACUUAACCGAUCGAAAUAGUUUCAACUCGUCCUUGAGUUGAAAGACCUCUAUGGUCUAAAUUCAAGCUUGAAUGGAUUCACAUACUACUCAAAUAAUUAACAUGCCAUAUUGGCAUAGGAUUUAUGGCUUCGGGAUUAUCAACGCAUCGAAAUCAUGGUCUAUAUUGUAGCCCAAAAUACAGGACGUUACAUUAUCUCCCCCUUGAGAUCAUUCAUCCUCGAAUGAUGGGUAGGAACAUAUUGAAGCUUAGAGGUAUGGAAUAAAGCGGACACGACAUGACCUCUAGUAAGAAUACACUGAUCUAAAACAUAACCAUAUGGCUGGAACUACUGAUGUUCUGAAUUCUUAUACCGGACAUGCAUAUCUAAUCCAUGGAAUACACGACUGAAGCUACUCAUAAGCUGAAUUCUCAUAAUGAACAUGCAUACCUGAUGCAUGGAUUCGUUACUGAGUUGUUCUCAUGAAUGCAGAACUGAAUACACUGCUAAGCUGAACUUUUCUAUUGUACAUGCAUUUCUAAUGCAUGCAUAUCUGACUGAACUGAUGUAUGACGUAUGACUGAAUACGCAAUGAUAACUAGUGCAAAGCUUGCAAUAAGUAUCUAUGCAUGCAGCUGAAUGAGGUAUCUCGUCCUUGGGAUCCUAUGUCCCUCUAUGAAUGCUCAAUUCACUAAGAUAUUCGGGGAACUGAGGCGAUGCACAGGCACCUACGAAUUGAAUCAUAACUGAACCCCUGGAAUCUUAAUCUAAUGCAUGACGCAUGAACUGAUCUAUACUCGCAAUUACUAGUAUACUCUAUCUUGGAAUAGUAGCAUGUCUAAUAUUUUGGGUAGCAUGAAUAAAUGAAAAGAUGAGAAAACAAGCCAUGCGAAUCUGCUUGUUAAACUGACUUACUGACCAUACAGACUAAAUUAUGCUGGACCUUCAUACUUAACUGGAGUAUUCUCUUCAACACUCUCUCUAAGGAAGUUCUAGAAGUAAUAGGGAUCCAUGAAUCUUGGGUAUGGAUUACACAAGACAUCCAACUGAGGAGAUCACAACAUUGACACUACCCUGCAGUAUGGAAUAUAGACAUAUAACUCCUAAAUUAGGAUAUAAUUUUCAGACCUUUGGUAAUACGACUUCUUACUUUCAGGCUUUGAGCACUCCCCGAAUAUCCCUUAAACUAUACUAUUCCCUAUAAAUAUCAUAUUCAUUCAACUCAACUUAAAAUUCUCAUAUGAGCAUUGAAAAAUCUUUCUACUAAUGUCAAAAAUAAAUUAAUCCCUUCGCCGUGAUCAAGCCUAACUCUAAGUCACCAAAAAAAAUACAACAUGCCAGACCACGCUAUUAUUCUAAACCAUAUGAUGCCACCUUCUAUACCUCUUUUAAAAAUCACAUCCUAAGCAUAACAUGCCUUACCACUUCAAUGACUACUCUGAACUCUUAAUAUGAAGUCGCUAAUGCAUAUAGCGACCUUCCACUACAAUCCUAAAAUGUCAUUCAAGCCUAAUUUGUAACCACAUGUUAACUCCAAGGAAAUCACCCAUAAAUGCAUACUUCACAUAGUUUCUAAACUAUUAUCAAUAUAACUCCCACGUGCUAUCCUAAAAACAUACACACACCAACUUUUCCACUAACCAUCACAUGUAUCAAACUUAGCCCCAAAUCUUACUUCAUACUUAUGGCCUUAUCUAAAAAGCAUACUAUGAUCUUCCAUCUACAAAAACAUUUACAUCAUCACCACUAUCAUUGCAUUGGAAGGGUCACUAAAAGGUUAAAACAUAAGACCCUCAAGCAUGAAAAGAUCUUUAUACGGGACUGAGCACACUAUAAAGAGUGAGUACAUGCGUCAAGAGUUGCAUGACCUCAACUAGAGUUCAUAACAUAAGGAAUGUGACUUAUUUCUAUCGGUUCAACCUUCAAAACUCAAACUUAGAUUCUAACACUUAACAUGGAUAUCACCAAGCAUUUGAUAAACCAAACCACUUUCGACAUAGCUUACUAAUAUCGCGACUCCCAACUUAUGCCUAAUUACUAUGAGAAUCAAGAUCAUAUAAAAGGCUCAACACUAUCAAUCAAAACUCUUUAACCUAACUAUUUAGAACCCAUAUAACAUCUACUAGUCUUUCCCCAUCUAGCAACUCAACAGUACUAAUAGCCAUACACAAUAGGUAAUUGCCCUAGAAAGAAUGCCGCAACCUCAUGUAACCUUAGGCAUACUUCUACAUCACACAUACAAUAUCAUACAUCACUACAAAUCAAAUAAACUUAAUCUAUUUCAUGCACCGUUCAAGCCUAUUAGAUCACUUCUAUACAAAUAGUAUUCAUUAACCAAGAAAUUUUCACAUCCACCUUCAUGGACAUCAACUAUUCAAACUUAAUAUCUAGUGCUAUGCAUGAUUUACAACCCAACCUUACACAAAAUUUUCACUUGGAAACUAUAAAUAAACAUCACAAAACACUAGUGCACNNNNNNNNNNNNNNNNNNNNNNNNNNNNNNNNNNNNNNNNNNNNNNNNNNNNNNNNNNNNNNNNNNNNNNNNNNNNNNNNNNNNNNNNNNNNNNNNNNNNNNNNNNNNNNNNNNNNNNNNNNNNNNNNNNNNNNNNNNNNNNNNNNNNNNNNNNNNNNNNNNNNNNNNNNNNNNNNNNNNNNNNNNNNNNNNNNNNNNNNNNNNNNNNNNNNNNNNNNNNNNNNNNNNNNNNNNNNNNNNNNNNNNNNNNNNNNNNNNNNNNNNNNNNNNNNNNNNNNNNNNNNNNNNNNNNNNNNNNNNACCCCAUACGAUCUUAUCUACUUAUGCGGAUUUCUCACCUCAUACUUACUUACUCAAGCAUACAUUUAGAUUGUCUUCAAAUUCCUCAAACAACCACGAGUCUAUAAUCAUAACUUACUCACUAAUAUAGCCAUUUUUCAUAUUCAAGAAACCAACAAAUCACCCUGACUAACAACUCCUUCUCUACCUUAUACUAAACUAACUCACAAGGACGAAUUACCUCUUUACCAACUCAAUCUCAUGCAAACAGAUUCAGCCAUACAUAUAUUAAACCAACGAAAGAACAACAAGUUGCUAGUGAAUCAAAACAGGCCUCACACGGCUUCACUAGACUUUGGUUUUGUAUUUUGAACAAGAAAAUGAGAUGGAUGACAAUGCAACUAUGCUAGUGAAUCGAAAGAGCCCACACGGCUUCACUAGACUUUUUAAUUUCAUCAACACAAUGAUAAAAUAUUUUCAAGAGAUAGAAACUUGUCACACAAUAUUCCAUUAUCUGAGAAUACACAUCUUACUUUGUAUAGAUAAAAAUCUGAGUCAAAUAUUUCCCCCACAGAUUAUCAUACAAUCCACACACGCUACUAGCUACCAACAGAUCAUGACACUGACACUUUAGUUUAUACUACUAUUUGGGUGGAAAUAUAAUUCCGACACUUCUACUACACAUCUUUUCCCUUAAGCAUGAUAUCUACAACAUAAAUUUUUGAAAAAGGCCGAAUAUACUCAAUACAGAAGGCUGAAAAGCACGAUUUCAUCAAGAUCAAGGUUCACACUAGAACCCAUACACUCUAAAGCAAUAACGGACUCUUCUCGAGUCCUUGCAUAAUUUUAACACCUUAUAUGAUGCGAUCCAAAGGGAUAAUACCAUUUAGACUCUAUACUUCUGUACUUGAAUUGGCCCAAUAAUGAGGCAUGUCUGAGAAUGUCCGAGUAAGGAAAGAAUUUUGGAUGAUUUUACUUUCGUAUGGAUGUCACCAUAGCAUGAAUUAGAGUAUGAAGGAGGAAUUGACUCUGUUGCAGGAGCUAGAACAUGAAGAAAGAGAGACAUUCCUAAAUGCCUUGUAGCUUCCUGCUUAUAAGUGUGGUUGACUACACACCCAUAAACAAGACUCUACUCGAUGUGAUUUCGUACACACCCUGGGAAUAUGAACCACGCUUUGAUACAAAGUUUAUCACGACUCGAACCGGGGCCUGACGAGCAUACCAAACCAUAAAGGCCUAAAACACCCCUAUCUUUCUGAUAAUCCUGCACAUAAUUCAUGACAAAAGAAAUGCAGAAGAUACACAAUAUAAUGGAAACAUGGUUAAGAAUCAUUUGAAAACGAAAAUGGGGAAUAGUGUCCUACAAUCUAAAUCAACAUCUCUAAAAUCGUAUGCGAAAUCUCUACUACAUGACUGAAACAAUGUCUAUCUGAAAACUGGGACAAAGCCCCCAGCAGACCCAAAACUAAUAAAUGAUAAAUGAAAUAGCAGACGUCAAGCCUUCCGAAAUAUAGAAGGCUCACCACUUGAUUCUGCAAUCUUUCGGAAGAAAUUUACUAGUUAUCUGGACCCCUAGACUGUGCCUCCGAACCUGGGAGGGAAGGGGGUCAAUACAAAAAUACUGGUAAGCAGAGAAAUCAAAAUAGAAGUAUAAUAUUUUUAUACAAUAUAGGUGAGAGACAUUAUAAUGCAGUUUCAUAUCAAAUCAUUUGAAAAAACAUGGUCAUAAUGUAAUUGUUUUCAAUAACAAUGAAAUGCAACUGAGCUAGGUUGAAUACCCUACAUAAUUUACAUCAACUGUCAAACCUCGAUUGCCACUGAGAUUAGAGUAUACGUGAGGGGAAGACACACAAGAUCACACAGCAUGGUGUCUCGACCCAAUGGUAGUGCACAAGAUCUCUUAGUCCGGGCUCUUACCUAUAAUCCCAGUUUGGGAAUGACAUAAAGUCAAGUACUCAAGAUCACUUAGCCUGGUACCAAAUUCCCAUGUCGGCAAACAUGGUUUCCACCGAUGAGCCCUUACACUCAAACGCCUUCUUCGGGCAUCCACCUAUCUCAUGUAUAAUCAAUGCAUUCAAAUUUUAUCUGAUUCAAUCACAUAUCAUAUUUUGUAGGGUAACAUCAUACCCAACUUGCAAGCCAUCAAUAUCACAUUAUCCUUAUCAUUCAACCAUUGUAUUCAACAUGUUUCAACACAAAUAACCUUCUCGUUUUCAAGUCAAAAUCAUAGCAAUUCACAAAACAUUUCAUGUCAUGCUUUUCAAGAUGUUUUCAAACAAUUUACAUCAUAUGCACAUUCAAAAUAAAUAAAUUCACAUCAAGAGAGGGAUUUUAUAUAAUUCAUGCUCUCAAAAUAUCACCUUUUUGAAACACACGCAUAUACAUAUAUACUAUGUCAAAUCGUUCGAAAGUAGGCCUAAAGACCAAAUUCAAUAUUAUAGAAACAUUCAAAACAUAAUUAUAUUCGUAGUUUCAAAACCCCCAUUUGUAAAACAUGAAUUUAAAGACCCAUAAGAUUUUUUGAUAACCCCACGUACCUCUAUAUGCGAAUAUGAUAGGUGCUUCUUGAAGCCUACGUUACGGAGAUUCCAAAUCUUCAAUUUGUUUUGAAAACCCAUGGUUGAAUCUUGAACUAUUUGGGUUUUUAUUUUAAAACCCUAGAGAGAGUUCUUGAACAAUUUGGAUGAAUGAAGGUGUAUUUUGGGGUCUUUGGGAAUUGAAUUUCGUGUUUAUGGCUAAAUAAGGGUGGAAAAGGACCAUUUUGCCCCAAAAAUAGAGUUUUUAAGUCACCUGAAACCUUUACAUAGGCGGUGCCUAUGCUAUAGCCUAUGUUUAUAUAGGCGCCGCCUACUACUUUGAAAGGUCAUAACUUCUUCCUCAGGUGCCGGAUUUUAGCAAAAUUAGUAACGUUGGAAAGCUAACUCAAAGACCUAUCAUUUGACACAUAGUAGGCUCUCUAAUUCAUCAUAUAUAGAGAGUUAUGGACAAUGUAAUCUGACACAAAUUACAACGUCCACUAAAACUUAAUCGAUCGAAAUAGUUUCAACUCGUCCUUGAGUUGAAGGACCUCUAUGGUCUAAAUUCAAGCUUGAAUGGAAUCACAUACUACGCAAAUAAUUAACAUGCCAUAUUGGCAUAGGAUUUAUGGCUUCGGGAUUAUCAACGCAUCGAAAUCAUGGUCUAUAUUGUCGCCCGAAAUGCGGGACAUUACACCUCUUCAAGCUAAUUACUCUUUAGAACAAGAGUUCUCCUUUGAUGGUCAAUUUCAGGAGUACUUUUCUUUCCUCCACAGUUGAUGUCCACAAAAAUCCGAGGUACCUCACGUGAUGUCUUUGAUGUAUGACCGACCACUUGGACAAUUUCUGCCCAAGAGUUUAAAAAAAUUGAAGUUACAGCAAACGGAUGUACCCCUCUUUGUCUCCUGGUUAGAUGCAGUCAAGAAGAUGCCUUGUUUCAACUUGCGAAGCUUGUCUCUUGUCAUGGACGAUAUAUCAGAUGAUCUUCUCAUCACAGUUGUUCAUUCUCUUCCUCGUUUAGUAGAGCUGGAUCUUGAGGGACAGACAUUUUAUGGAGCCAUCGGUACGGGACUUGACCAACAUUGGACUGCCGGCUCUGAAGUUCUGCGAAUGUCUAAUUGGCCUCUCAAUUGUUCUAAGUGAAAGUAAUUAUCCUUCAUUUAAGAGAGUCAAAAAUAUAGGCAUGUUCCAUGUUUCUGAAGGUUGUAGAAUGUUGGAAUUAGUGAAACUUGGCAGGUUUGCAAAGGUUACUGAAGCUGGAUAUUCGUCAAUUCUGCACUCAUGCCGGAAUCUGAAGAAAUUUGAAGUGUUGACUUCACCUCUAUUAUCAGACUUGGUGUUUGAUAGUAUGAUAGGAGUUGCAAGGUCCGUAAUUGAAUUAAGGCUGUCAGCAUGCAGUCUUCUAACUAUGCUCUUCUCAAUUCUGCCCAAAUUUUAUUGUCUUCUCUUCUCUUUAUAUUUGUUUUUUGUAUUUUAAUUCCAUGUUGUACCUCUCUUGUUUCUUAAUAUGUGUUAAUAUAUUUCAUGUAAAUCUCUCUACAGCCACUUGGAGAGAUGGAAACUAUUGUUUUCCUCUAUAUGUACAAUUUUUACAAGGUAUUCUUUUGUUUACUUCUAUUUUUCGUAAAUUCUAAUUCUCUGUUUUACUCUUUCUAGUUCUAAUAGUGUUGCUUUCUAUUGUAUCUUAUUCUUUUACUAUUCCUUAUUUUAGAUUGUUUCAUUUUGAGCCGGGGGUCUAUUGGAAACAACUUUUCUAUCUCACAUUUGAGGUAGUGGUAUGGACUGCAUACACUUACCCUCCCCAGACCUCACUUGGUGGGAAUAUACUGGGUAUGUUGCUGUUGUAGUUCUUAUAGUGUUGCCUUUAAUUUACGUAGGGGUUGUUUAGUUGGGAAACUAGUUAUCCCAAGGAUUAAUUAUUCCGGGAUUAGCUAUCUCAGAAUUAGUUGUCCUACUCUCAAGGGGUGAUAAAAAUAACACUACAAGAGAAAACUAAUUACUGUAUGUGUUAUUCCAUGCAUUUUAUCGCAACCAAACAUGGAUUAGCUCGUCCUAAAGUUAAUUUUAGAAUUAGUUAUCCCUCGUACCAAAUGAGUCUUGAAGGUUGGAUAAAAAUAAUACUAUAAUUCAGAAUAACUAAUCCCGGUAUGAGCUAUCCCAUGCAUUUAUCCCAACCAAACAUGGCAAAUGCCUAUCGUAAAUUAAUUCCAACAUUAGUUAUCCCUUAUUCCUAGUAUCAAACGAGCCCUUGUAAUUGCAUGUGUGUAGUUUUUCUUUCAUUCCCCUUAUUAACUCUUAAUUUAAGGAGAAGUAAUAGUUAAAUUUAUGUUACCAUUUUAUUUGAUUUGCAGGAAUGGUUUACUCUUGCUUGUGGCAUCUUCUCUAAUACCAUACCUACCUACCAUUAGAAAGAAAGGGAACAAAUAAAAAUAGUGAAUACACAACUUUUUUGAAUAACCGUGGUGUUCGGGUCAGCUUACGUGCACCUUGGCUAAUUCCACGGAAUAUGUAGCACCUCCCACCAGCAACAAUGGUGAAUACACAGCUAAAGACAAGUAAACCAUUUAGGCGCAUGUGUAUCAUUAAUAGCUAACUCUAAUCCUUUUUCUUUUCUUUUGCUGAAUUAGUGGUCAUGUUAGACAACACCUCUCAUAAUUACAAUUCUUUGGAAAAACGAAGUUGUACAAAAUGGCUAUUGAAGUAGUUACUGCACCUGCUAUUGAAGUAGGUGGUAAUCCAUUGUUGGAUAAGAGAGUGAAAGUAACAACAUUAGGUGUUUGUGUUUCACAUAGAGCUAGUAGUGGUGUGUGUCCAACUAGUGAUGCCACUUAAUGAUAGUAGCAAUGAAUUGCUACUUAAUGAGUAAUUACAAUGGCAGGUCCAAAAAAAGGCAUUUGAUAUUCAAAAGGUUCAUUACAACAGAGGACAAAUAAAGCACAUAAUGCCUAAAAAGGAAAAAAAAGCUAAGUUUCAGUCAUCGGAUUUUGUGCCAUUGCCAGCCAUCACAGCACCCAAAUUCGCAGCCAACACCGUACAUAGCAAGCCUGUGUCUCGCCUUGUAGAUUGCGUGGAGGAUGUCUCUCUUAGCAACUAUGCUAGUAAGUUCAAUACCGAGCCAGCGCAAACGACAGAAAGCAUACUGGGGCAGAGGUAGCAUUAUGGCAUCAGCAGUCAAACCUCGACAGCUGCAAAGAUCAAGUAUUUACAGUUGACUACUAUUGUGGUUUGGUCUAUCCAUUAGCAUCUGCACUGCAGCAUCAGUGACCUCAUCACAGAACCCUAUACAUAAAUUAGUUAAUGCCUUAGCAACAAAUGUAAUGGUAAAAAUAGUUGCAUUAGUUAUUUUAGGAACGUAAUCAACAUCCAACACUACUAACGUCUUACAAAUUUUCCUAUCAGCAUGAAAUAAAGAAUUAAUUCCCUUGUCAAUAACUCUCUCACAGCUUCUGAUCCACAACUGCACAAUUGAUAAGUCUCCCGCACCAAGAAGAGCAAGGUCCGUUAUUGAAUUAAGGUUGUCCAUGCAGUCUUCUAACUAGUGAAGCUUUGGAGCAUUUGUCCUCAUUUAGUAAGUUGGAGGUACUUGACACAAGUGGGUGCGAACGCAUUGGAGACCUGGCUCCCUUUACAUAUCAAAAGUUACUACCCUCACAAUACUAGACUCAAGACCCACAUGGGUGAUGCAAGCUUUUGCAAAGUUUAGUAUUAUAAGGUUAGUAACUUUUGAUAUGUAAAUGGGAGCCUGGUUUCCAAUGCAUUCUCACCCACUUGUGUCGAGUACCUCCAACAUACUAAAUGAGGACAAAUGCUCCAAAGCUUCACUAGUUAGAAGACUGCAUGAGGACAACCUUAAUUCAAUUACGGACCUUGCUCUUCUAGGUACGGGAGACUUACCGAUUGUGCAGUUGUGCAUCAGAGGCUUUGAGAGAGUAACUGACAAGGGAAUUAAGUCUUUAUUUCAUACUGGUAGGAAAAUUUGAAAGGUGUUAUCAGUAUUGGAUAUUGGUUACAUUUCCAAAAAUAACUGAUGCAGUUAUUUUUACAGGCAUUAUCUGAUUUAUCUUCAAGAUUCUGUGAUGAGGUCACUGAUGCUGCAAUACAGAUGCUGAUGGAUAGACCAAACCACAACAGUAGUCAACAGCAAUGACUUGUUCUUUGCAACUGUCGAGGUCUAUCUGCUGAUGCCAUAAUGCUACCUCUGCCCUAGCACGCUUUCCGUGGUUUGCUCUGGCUCUGUGUUGGACUUUAUCGCAUAGUCGAUAAGAGAGACAAUCUCUAUGAAAUCAGCAAGGCACUACCCAGGCUUGUUGGCUGCGAAGUUAGGUGCUGUGAUGGCUGGCAAUGGCACAAAAUCCGAUGAUUGAAACUUAUCUUUUUUCCUUUUUUAAGGCAUUAUCGUGCUUUAUUUGCUCUCUGUUGUAAUAAACCUUUUGAAUAUCUAAUGCCUUUUUUUUGGACCUGUCAUUGUAAUUACUCAUUAAGUGUCAAUUCAUUGCUACUAGCAUCAAGUGGCAUCAACACCUGGACGCACACCACUACUAACUAUAUGUGAAACACAAAACACCUAAUGUUGUUAUUUUCACUCUCUUACCCUACUAUGGGCUACCACCAAUUUCAAUUACCAGGUGCAUUAGCUACUUAUCUGCCCCAACUCUUUUUCCUCCUCCUUAGGUUUCUGUUCACCACAUUCUCCAUCGGGCCUUUUUAUCUCUUCCUUCUCUGAGCUCUGGUUAUGGAAGAAAGAACCGAUCAUCCUCAAUCUCAAGCAAUUCCUUUCCCGAUCAAGCCAUCUGCUCCACAUGACAUAUUUAAGACCAUAAGAUUAAAUGAUAUUUUUGUACAUUUGACAUAACUUUAUUUUAAGACUACAAGAUUCAAAAGGCUUCUUUAUUUUCUUAAAUUCCAUGUCAAGUUAAUUUUUUCGUAAAUGGGGGGGUAGAAGAAUGAGUUAAGAUUAGGUAUCGACAUGUGUGAUUCAUUGUGAUUAAAAUAAAACAAAUAAUGGCAUUUUGAUAUUUUGCACUCGGUCUUUCAUCACCAUCGCAACGAGCAACAACAAUUUACUUAGAUUAACUUGAGAAUUUGUGUUACCGUUGUAGAAGCAUUACUAAUGACAUGUUGUGCUUUUAAAUGCGAAAAGACACUGCAAGCUUUAUUACGCCAACACCUAAAUGGUAAGUCCACAACACUUCCAAAGGUCAUUUUGAAUUAACUUUUAACGUUUGACUUAUGUCAAAAGUCAUUAGUUAGAAAAACAAACUUCUUUUAUUUAUUUAUUUAUUUAUUUAUUUAUUUAUUUUUGUUUUUGUCGUCCCAAAAUAAUGCUAUUUUACUAUAAUUAAAAGUUAAUUUUAAUUUUUUUUUACUCUUAAUAAAAUAAUUUUGAUGAUAAAUUUCAAAAUUAUUUUUUAAACACCACGUCACAUUAAAGUAUGUGACGUAAAAUGAGACGUCGAUAACACUAAUUAGAAUCUAAUGCAAAGUGAGUCCUUACACUCUUCCUCUUCUAGGUUUCUACUACUUUGCUAUUCUCAAUUCUGCCCACAUUUUACUGUCCUCUUCUCUUUUUAUUUGCUUUUUGUAUUUUAAUUCCACUAUUGUACCUCCCUUUUUUUCCUUAGUACUAUGUGUUGAUAUCUUUCAUCUAAAUACUCUCUACAGCAACUCGGAGAGAUGGAGGCUAUUUUUUUCCUCUAUAUGUCGAAAUUUUACAAGGUAUUCUUUUGUUUACUUCCCUUUUUCUUUAAUUAUAAUUCUCUACUUUACUCUUUUUAGUUCUAAUAUUGUUGCCUUUAAUUACUUAGGGGUUGUUUUGUUGGGUAACAAGUUAUUCAAGGAUUAAUUAUGUUUAGUUGGUCAACACGUUAUUCAAGGAUUAUCCCGGUAUUAGUUAUCCUACCCUCAAGUGUGAUAAAAAUUACACUUACAAUCCUGGAUUAACUAAUUAUUAAAUGAGUUAUCCAUACAUUUUAUCGUAGCCAGACAUGGAUAAGCUCAUCCUAAAGUUAAUUUUAGGAUUAGUUAUGGUAACACCCUAACUCAGGAUAAGGAGUUCCACGUCGGCAAACACAGGAGAGAUGCUGGAUAUAUAAGUAAACAGGUCUUUCACUCUAGUGAUCUGUUUUAAAGUCGUGCGGAUCUAAGCCUAUAGAGCGGACAUUAUCACUAGUGGGCUGGGCUGUUACAAUUAAGGAGUUCCACAUCGGCAAAACACGGGAGAAAUGCUGGGUAUAUAAGUAAACAAACCUUUCACACUAGUAACGCAUUUUAAAGUGGUACGCGUCUAAGCCAAGCAGCCCAUAACGAACAAUAUCACUAGUGGGCCGGCCCGUUACAGUUAUCCUUUAUUCCUUGUACCAAAUGAGCCUCGAAGGUGGGAUAAAAAUAAUACUACUAUUCGGGAUAAUUAAUCUUAGUAUGAGCUAUCCCAUGCAUUUCUCCAAACCGAACAUGGCAAAAGCUCAUCAUAAAGUUAAUUCCAACAUUAGUUAUCCCUUAUCCCUGGUAUCAAAUAAGCCCUUGUAGUUGUAUGUGUGUAGUUUUUAUUUCAUUCCCUCUAUUACCUAAGGAGAAGUAAUAGUUCAAUUUAUGUUGCCAUUUUAUUUGAUUUGCAGGAAUGGAUUACUCUUUGUUGUGGCAUUCGCUCCGACCUGAUUUUGUGAGUAAAUAUAAUAAUUGUUGAUUCUUCUUAAACAUUUUGUUUGUAUUCUUUUUCUUAAAUCUUUUGUUAUUUUAGUUUUCUUGGUUUUGAAGUGGUACUUAGUCCUCAGUGGUAGGUUGUUUGACCUAUAUUGCUCGGACUCUUCAAAAAUGUCAACUGGUGCUACAUCGAAAGUGAAGAGUUCUCGUAACAUAGUGUCAGAUAGUUCAUCUGAUCCAAUGAUAGCUAUAAUGUCCUGAAGUUCUUUGUAAUGUUGUAAAGUUUGCUUAACUCGUUGGGAGGUUUCAUAAUUUUCCUCACCAACGAUCCAAGGUUGAAGUGCUGGCGAGUUGCACCCUGCAAUCCGAGCUGAGGACGGGUUUUUGGGGUUAGCUAAUCUUCGCGGGAUCGCGACCCUUUGUCCCAGCCAUUGUAGCACGUAUGUCGCUGUAUUGGUGAUUAACUGAUUAAUAUCUUCCAGUUUCUUAUUUCAAGUGUACUCUUAGACUAAUUAGUCAAUGGGACAAUUUGUCUUCGGAUUUUUAGACCACUAUUCGAAAAUUUUUGAUGUGGAAAUUCAUAAUGGCUAAUACCGAGUGGCGAGAUGUAGUUUAGAAUCACCUUUGUACUCUUAAAUUUUUCGAAUUUGGGUGGAUAAUGAGUGAGAAUAAAAUCUAUAGGUGUGUUAAUGGAGGCAUGAGAUGCAUCUUACGUUGGAAUUCUGUGAAAUAUGAGAUGCAUAUAAUGAUGAGCUAGUGUGAUGAAAUAAAUCAUCUACAUUUGAUUUAGCGAGUAAUACCAUACCUACCAUUAGAAAGAAAGGGAACAAAAAAAAAAUAGUGAAUACACAACUUUUUUUGAUAAUCGUGGUGUUCGGGUCAGCUUACAUGCACCUCGACUAAUUCCCCGGAAUAUCUAGAAUCUCCUACCAACAACAAUAGUAAAUACACAGCUAAAGACAAGUAAACUCUAAUCCUUAGUAGCUAACUCUAAUCCUUUUUCUGUUCUUUUGCUUAAUUAGUGGUCAUGUUAGUCAAUACCUCUCAUAAUCUAUUGAUUUUUACCUUUCUUUUGAAAAAUAAAGUUGUACAAAAUGUCUAUUGAAGUAGUUACUGCACCUGUUAUUAAAGUAGGUGGUAAUCCAUAGUUGGAUAAGAGAGUGAAAUUAACAUUAGGUGUUUUUUCACAUAUAGCUAGUAGUGGUGUGUGCCCAACUGGUGAUGCCACUUAAUGCUAGUAGCAAUGAAUUGGCACUCAAUGAAUAAUCACAAUGGCAGGUCCAAAAAAAAGGCAUUUGAUAUUCAUUGUAAUUCAAAAGAUUCCUUACAACAGAGAGCAAAUAAAACACAAUAAUGCCAAAAAAAAAAAGGAAAAAAGCAAAGUUUCAGUCAUCGGAUUUUGUGCCAUUGCCAACCAUCACAGCACCCAAAUUCGCAGCCAACACCGCACACAACAAGCCUUGGUUGAACCUUGCAGAUUGGGUGGAGAUUGUCUCUCUUAGCAACUAUGCUAGUAAGUUCAAUACCGAGCCAGCGCAAACGACAGAAAGCAUACUGGGGCAGACGUAGCAUUAUGGCAUCAGCAGGCAAAGCUCGACAGCUGCAAAGAUCAAGUAUUUACAGUUGACUACUGUUGUGGUUUUGUCUAUCCAUCAACAUCUACACGCAGCAUCAGUAACCUCAUCACAGAACCCUAUAGAUAAAUCAGUUAAUGCUUUAGCAGCAGAUGUAAUGGUAAAAAUAGCUGCAUUAGUUAUUUUGGGAAUGUAACCAACAUCCAACACUGAUAACGUCUUGCAAAUUUUCCUAUCAGCAUGAAAUAAAAACUUAAUUCCCUUGUCAAUUACUCUCUCACAACUUCUGAUCCACGACUGCACAAUCGGUAAGUCUCCCGCACCAAGAAGAGCAAGGUCCGUUAUUGAAUUAAGGUUGUCCUCAUGCAGUCUUCUAACUAGUGAAACUUUGGAGCAUUUGUCCUUAUUUAGUAAGUUGGAUGUACUCGACACAAGUGGGUGCGAAUGCAUUGGAGACCAGGCUCCCUUCUACAUAUGAAAAGUUACUACCCUCACAAUACUAAACUCAAGACCCACAUGGGUGAUGAAAGUUUUUGCAAAGUUUAGUAUUGUGAGGGUAGUAACUUUUGAUAUGUAGAAGGGAGCCCGUUCUCCUAUGCGUUCACACCCACUUGUGUCGAGUACCUCCAACUUACUUAAUAAGGACAAAUGCUCCAAAGCUUCACUAGUUGGAAGACUGCAUGAGGACAAUCUUAAUUCAAUUACGGACCUUUCUCUUCUUGGUACGGGAGACUUACCGAUUGUGUAGUUGUGCAUCAGAGGCUAGGGGAGAGUAACUCACAAGGGAAUUAAGUCUUUAUAUCAUACUGGUAGGAAAAUUUGCAAGGCGUUAUCAAUGCUGGUUGCAUUCCCAAAAUAGCUGAUGCUGCUAUUUUUACCAUUACAUCUGCUGCUAAGGCAUUAUCUGAUUUAUCUAUAAGAUUUUGUGAUGAGGUCACUGAUGCUGUAGUACACAUGCUGAUGGAUGACCAAACCACAACAGUAGUGAACUGCAAAGACUUGUUCUUUGCAGCUGUCGAGGUCUGUCUACUGAUGCUACCUCUGCCCCAGCACUCUUUUCGUGGUAUGCUCUGGCUCUGUGUUGGACUUUCUCGCAUAAUCGAUAAGAGAGAUAAUCUCUACGCAAGGUGCUUCCCAGGCUUGUUGUUGCGGUGUUGGCUAUGAAUUUGGGUGCUGUGAUGGCUGGCAAUGGAACAAAAUCCGAUGACGGAAACUUAUCUUUUUUCCUUUUUUUAGACAUUAUCGUAUUUUAUUUGCUCUCUGUUGUAAUGAACCUUUUGAAUAUCAAAUGCCUUUUUUUUGGACCUGCCAUUGUAAUUACUUAUUAAGUAUCAAUUCAUUGCUACUAGUAUCUAGUGGCAUCACCACUUGGACACACACCACUACUAGCUAUAUGUGAAACACCUAAUGUUGUUAUUUUCACUCUCUUACCCUACUAUGGAUUACCACCAAUUUCAAUUACCAGGUGCAUUAGCUACUUAUCUGCCCCAACUCUUUUUCCUCCUCCUUAGGUUUCUGUUCACCACAUUCUCCAUCGGGCCCUUUUAUCUCUUCCUUCUCUGAGCUCAGGUUAUGGAAGAAGGAACCGAUUAUCCUCAAUCUCAAGCAAUUCCUUUCCCGAUCAAGCCAUCUGCUCCACAUGACAUAUUUAAGACCAUAAGAUUAAAUGAUAUUUUUGUACAUUUGACGUAACUUUAUUUUAAGACUACAAGAUUCAAAAGACUUCUUUAUUUUCUUAAAUUCCGUUUCAAGUUAUUUUUUUUUUGUAAAUAGGGGGAGUAGAAGAAUGAGUUAAGAUUUGGUAUCAACAUGUGUGCUUCAUUGUGAUUACAGUAAAAUAAAUAAUGGCAUUUUGAUAUUUUACAUUCUGUCUUUCAUCUCCAUCCCAACGAGCAACAACAAUUUACUUAGAUUAACUUGAGAAUUUGUGUUGCCGUUGUAGAAGCAUUACUAAUGACACGUUGUGCUCUUAAAUGCGAAAAGACAUUGCAAGCUUUAUUACACCGACACCUCAAUGGUAAGUCCGCAACACUUCCAAAGGUCGUUCUAAAUUAACUUUUAACGUUUGACUUAUGUCAAAAGUCAUUAGUUAGAAAAACAAAGUUCUUUUAUUUAUUUAUUUUUGUUUUUGGUCGUCCCAAAAUAAUGCUAUUUUACUAGAAUUAAAAAAAAGUUAAUUUUAGUUUUGUUUUACUCUUAAAAAAAUAAUUUUGAUAAUAAAUUUCAAAAGUAUUCUUUUAAACAGCAUGUCACAUUAAAGUAUGUGACGUGAAAUGAGACGUCGAUAACACUAAUUAGAAUCGAAUGCAAAGUGAGUCCUUACACUCUUCCUCUUCUAGGUUUCUACUACUUUGCUAUUCUCAAUUCUGCCCACAUUUUAUUGUCCUCUUCUCUUUUUAUUUACUUUUUGUAUUUUAAUUCCACUGUUGUACCUCCCUUUUUUCCCUUGGUACUAUGUGUAGAUAUCUUUCAUCUAAAUACUCUCUGCAGCCACUUGGAGAGAUGAAGGCUAUUUUUUCCUCUAUAUGUCUAAUUUUUACAAGGUAUUCUUUGGUUUACUUCUUUUUUUCUCUAAUUAUGAUUCUCUAUUUCUCUUUUUAGUUCUAAUAUUGUUGCCUUUAAUUACUUAGGGUUGGUUUUGUCUGUUAACAAGUUAUUCAAGGAUUAAUUUUGUUUAGUUGGUCAACAAGUUACUCAAGGAUUAAUUAUCCAGUAUUAGUUAUCCUACCCUCAAGUGAUAAAAAUAACACUUACAAUCCCGGAUUAACUAAUUAUUGUAUGAGUUAUCCAUGCAUUUUAUCGCAACCAGACAUGGAUAAGCUCAUCCUAAAGUUAAUUUUAGGAUUAGUUAUGGUAACACCCUAACUCAGGAUAAGGAGUUUCACAUCGGCAAUACACAAGAAAGAUGUUGGAUAUAUAAGUAAACAGGUCUUUCACUUUAGUGAUCUGUUUUAAAGUCGUGGGGAUCUAAGCCUAGAGCGGAAAAUAUCACUAUUGCGCUGGGCAGUUACAAAUAAGGAGUUCCACAUCGGCAAAACACGGGAGAAAUGCUUGGUAUAUAAGUAAACAAACCUUUCACACUAAUAACGCAUUUUAAAACGGUACGUGUCUAUGCCAAGAAGCCCAGAACGGACUACAUCACUAGUGGGCUGGGUUGUUACAGUUAUCCCUUAUUCCUUGUUCCAAACGAUCCCCGAAGGUGGGCUACAAUUCGGGAUAACUAAUCUCGGUAUGAGCUAUCCCAUGCAUUUAUCCCAACCAAACAUGGCAAAAUCUCGUCGUAAAAUUAAUUCCAACAUUAGUUAUCCCUUAUCUGUGGUAUCAAACGAGCCCUUUUAGUUGCAUGUGUGUAGUUUUUUUUCAUUCCCUCUAUUAACUCUUAAUUUCAUGAGAAGUAAUAGUUAAAUUUAUAUUACCAUUUUAUUUGAUUUGUAGGAAUGGAUUACUCUUUGUUGUGGCAACCGCUCCGACCUGAUUUUGUGAGUGAAUAUAAUAAUUGUUGAUUCUUCUUUAACAUUUUGUUCGUAUUCUUUUGCUUAAAUCUUUUGUUAUUUUAGUUUACUUGGUUUUGAAGUGGUAAUUUCUAAAUCAAUAAAGUGUUAAAGUACAUUCUUUAUGUUUUGCUGCCACUUUUUGUCACUUGCUAUGAAACUGCAUUUGAUGUACAGUAUUCAUUAUGGAUGUGUAGUGUGUCAUCCUCUGGAGAUCCACUUUGGAGUGGAGGACUUCAUAGAAAUAACUCUUUUCUUUUUAUGAGGGCCUUUCAUUUUUCAAUUCAAUAUAUAUUUUAGAAAAGAAGACAAAUUGAUAUAAACACCAAAUAGAGGACAAGAGGUGGGCUUACACAAUUGCUGGAUUAAGCCAUUGGUCUAGAAAUUGAAAUUUCAAUUUAGAGACUUUUAGAUACCCUAUAAUAUAUUUUGAUAUUUUUGAUAAUUCUUUAGUUCAAAGCAUCAUCCCGUUUGUACAUCUUCUUUAGGUAAUUUUUAAUUACUUUAGAAUGAAAUUUGGCCCUUUCUCCAAUUACACUAAGAAUGUCUUAAGAUAGAAGGGAACAUUUGAGCAAACUCAAAUCUUUGAUAUGUUCACCGAGAAUGUUGAUAAUGAAGGAAUCAUUCUUCAUUUGGAAGCACCCGAUAGUUAAACUCUUGACUCCUGGGACCCACGCACAGCAUGCUUUAGAGUCUCUUCAUCUAGAUAAUAUCCCUGUAAAUCAAAGAUACUAGUCUUAUAAGUUCAUCCCAGAAGUAAGAAUGGCAUUAGCAAAACUAAAGAUGGUCAAAUGGACAUUCAUUUAUGCCACAUUCUCCAUAUGCAUUCUAUUCAAUAAUUAGAAGAUUAAUCAGACCAUCUUACCAUGAAUGUUUGGACCAGCUUGAUGCCUACAUAGGCAUUAGCAAAGUGAAGCUUAGGAAAUGCCUCCAACGGUUUUAGCUAGUCUACUAGUAAACCAUACAUAAAUAGGUUAAUCCAAAUUAACCAGAAAUAAACUCGAAAAAGUUCUAGCUACCAAACCAAUCUUAAGACACUCUAUCAAUCAGUCAUUCAACUACGGCUCAAUCCUAAGUCAAGUCCUGGAUUUUCACUCCACUCUAUUCACACUCAUUUUCAUUUCAUAAUGAUCAAGUAUCAAGCAAAUCUAACAGAAGUUUUAGAUUAUCUAAGAACAACAUAUUUCAGUUUAUAUGAAUUCGAGAUAGUUGAAUUGGAAUUUUAAACAUACAACAACAACAUACCCAGCCCACCAAGUGGUGUCUAGGGAAGGUAAGUGUACGUAGUCCAUACCACUACCUCAAUGUGAGAUAGAGAGACUUUUUUCAAUAGACUCCCGUCUCAAAAUAAAACAAUCUAAAUGAUGAAUAGUAAAAGAACAAGAUACAAUAGAUUUCAACAUAUCCAAUAAUACCAUAAACAAGAUACGCCAAGUAAUACAAUAAAAGAUACAACAUCCUAAAUUCAUACUAACCUUCUACCCUAAUCUUCCUCCUCCUCAACUUCCGAUCCAGGGUUAUGUCCUCGGUAAGUUGGAGCUGCUCCAUGUCAUGUGUAAUCACCUCCCUCCAAUGGUGAGGGAGGUUAUGACGAUGUGCAUGAGGUUUUGUUUUCAGUGAUAGAAAUGGUGAGGGGGAUACUCUGUUGGAUUUUGCGAGGGCCUUUGGGCUGGUGGUAGUGAAUUUGAUCUUUUCAAAGAAGAAGGAUCAUCUGAUUACCUUCCAAGCACGUUAGCCAAGACUGAGAUUGAAUUUUUGUUGAUUAGGAAAGGGGAUAGGGUUUUAUGUAAAGGCUGUAAAGUUAUUCCAAGUGAGCACCUUUCGACCCAGUACAGGCUUUUGGUGGUGGACUUGAUUAUCAAGAAGAGAAGGAAGAGUAGGGCCAGUGAGGGUCGACCCAAAAUUAAGUGGGGUGGCUUGGCGCCAGUUAGUGCACGAGGGAUAGGGAAGAAGGUGGCGGGAUUGGGGGUGUGGGAGUGAAGGGGUGACGUGGAUAUGUGGGAUAAGGUUGCCAGCUGCAUCAUGGAGAUGGCUAGAGAGGUGUUGGGUAUUUUGAGGUGUCGGUAUAAGGGGGACUGGUGGUGGAAUGAAGAAGUUAAGAGGAAAGUAGAGAUUAAGAAGGGGGUAUAUGUUAAGUUGAUUGAGAGUAAAGAUAAAGAGGAGAAGCAGGUGAAUAAGGAGGUUUAUAAAGUAGCAACGAAAGAGGCUAAGUUAGCAGUUACGGCUGCUAAGACAACAAUGUUUGAGAACUUGUAAGCGGGGUUAGAGGAGAAAAAUGGGAAAUAAAAGGUUGUAUAGGCUGGCUAAGGCUAGGGAGAGGAAGGGUUGUGACCUCAAUCAAGUAAAGUGCAUUAAGGGGGAGGAUAGUAGAGUUUUGGUGGAGGAUGUUCGCAUUAAGAAAAUAUGGCAGGAGUAUUUUCAUAGACUUUUGAACGGGGGAGGGGGGGACAGAGUCAUCGAGUUAGGGGAGCUGGAGUGCUCGGAGGAGAGCCAUGAUUUCAGUUACUGCAGAUAUUUUAAGGUUAAGGAGGUCAGAGAGGCUAUUCGUAAAAUGUGGAGGGGUAGGGCGACGGGGCUUGACGAGAUUUUAGUGGAUUUUUGGAAGUAUACUGGUAAAGCAGGUUGAAGGUGGUUGAUUGAUUUGUUUAACGACAUUUUCAAGACUACAAGGAUGCCUAAGGCUUGGAGAUGGAGUACGAUGAUUCCGUUAUAUAAAAACAAGGGUGACAUUCAGAGCUGCAACAACUAUAGGGGUAUUAAGCUAUUAAAUUAUAUUAUAAAGAUUUGGGAGAGGGUGGUUGAGCAAAGAUUGAGGAGGGUCGUGUCCAUUUUGGAGAAUCAGUUUGGUUUUAUGCCUGGUCACUCGACGACAGAGGCAAUUCACCUGGUAAGGAGAUUGGUAGAGCAGUAUAGGUAAAGGAAGAGGGAUUUACAUAUGAUGUUCAUCGACCUGGAGAAGGCGUAUGACAAAGUCCCUAAGAAGGUUCUUUGGAGAUGCUUGGGGGUGAGAGAGGUUUUGGUAGCAUACAUCAGAGCUAUUAAGGACAUGUACGAUGGAGGAAAGACUCGGGUGAGGAUGGUGAGAGGAUACUUAAGGCAUUUUUCAAUCGAGAUAGGGUUGCAUCAGGGAUCAACUUUUAGCCCAUUUUUGUUUGCGUUGGUGAUGGACGUGUUGACGUGGAGUAUUCAAGGUGAGGUGCCUUGGUGUAUGUUAUUUGCGGAUGAUGUAGUGUUGAUUGAUGAGACGCGGGAGGGUGUGAAUGAAAGAUGGGAGGUUUGGAGACAAACCCUUCAAUCUAAGGGGUUCAGGUUGAGUAGGUCCAAGACAGAGUAUAUGGAAUGCACGUUUAGUGACUUGAGUUAGGAGGACGAAGUGGUAGUGAGGUUAGAUUCCCAGGAUGUUUGUAAGAGUGAUAGUUUUAAGUAUCUUGAAUCUAUGAUUCAGGAGAAUGACAAGAGUAAUGAAGAUGUCCGUAAACGUAUUGGAGCAGGUUGGAUGAAGUGGAGGCUCGCCUCGGGAGUAUUGUGUGAUAAGAAUGUGCCCCUUAAGCUUAAAGGCAAAUUAUACAGAGUGGCAUUCUGUCCGGCCAUGUUGUAUGGAGUGGAGUGUUGGCCAGUCAAGAAAUUUUAUAGUCAGAGAUUGAAGGUGGCGAAAAUGAGCAUGUUGUGUUGGAUGUGUGGACUUACUAUAGGGGAUUGAGUUAGGAAUGAGACUAUCAGGGAGAAGAUGAGAGUGACUUUGGUAGAGGAAAAGUUGCAAAAAGAAAGACUGAGAUGGUUUAGGCAUGUGAUGAGGAGGCUCACGGUUGCACUAGUUCGUAGGUGUGAGAGGCUAGCUUUGGAUGUCUUUAGAAGGAGUAGAAGUAGGCCGAAGAAAUACUGAAGGAAGGUGAUUAGACAUGACAUGGAGUAGCUACAGCUUACUAGGACAUGACCCUAGAUAGGAAGGUAGAUAGGAAGGUGUGGAGGUCGUGGAUAAGGGUAGAAGACUAGUGUGAGUGAGUGGGUUGUAGCAAGGUGUUAGGAGAGCUCUUGCGUAGCCGGGUUAGUAAUCCUAGGAUUGUGUCCUUUAGUAGGAGCCUCUAUUCAGGAGAGUUUGGGUGUGGUGGGUGUCUUUGGUCUGUGAGUGUAUGUUACUACUAGGUGGGUGUCCUAUCUCUUAUUUCUUAUUUUCAAUUGCUCGAAUUUCUCUUAUUUCCUAUUUAUCUGAUAUCUAUUUUAUUAUUUCUUAUUUCUUAUUUCUAUUAUGUCAUCCAUCCUUCAUCAUGUUUCACUACGACCUUGUGUACUAUUCUCUAUUCUGAGUGGGGUCUAUCGGAAACAACCUCUCUACUUCCUCGGAGAUAGCGGUAUGGACUACAUUUUACCCUCCCCAGACCUCACUUUGUGGGAAUACACUGGGUUUUUUGUUGUUGUUGUACCUCUACCUCGCUUGAAACUAUCUCUAGCCAACUGCUCACACCUCCACACUGGGGCAUCCGCGUCCCUCCUCAUCACAUGACCGAACCAUCCCAGCCUCGCUUCCCUCAUCGGGUGGAUCUUCCACCGAAGCCACUCCUACCUUAUCUCUAAUUUUACACAAAAAAAAUUACUAAUUUCAUAUGUAUUAUGCUCAAUAAGGCUAUGAGGGAUGUGGUGUCAAAUUUUAUUUUAUUUUUAUAAUCAUGGUGUCCUAGCCAACUUUCGGACACCUCGACUAAUUCCAUGAAAUGCUUGCCACCUCUCACUCAUUAGCAGACAGCUAGUAACUCUGUUCACCAAGGCCAGGACGUUGGAAAGAAAUCACCCAGUAUUUUUUGUCCAAUAUCACAUUCAAUAUAACUCAUUUUAUCUAUUACAGCAAUAAAAUUAGGGCAUUUAAUUAGAAAAAAAAGGGCUAAGUUAACUUACAGAAAAAUCGAAAGAUGAAACAGAAGGAAGAGGAUGUGUGAAGGCAGAAUUGAAGAUUGGAGAGACACAAGUGGCGGUGCAAAGAGAUAACAAAUCCAUUUUUUCCAACGCAUUAAUUAUUAUAUGCUCUGGAAAUCUAUCCAUUGAUGCCUCAAAAUUGCCUUCGGAGUUUCCACCUCCUCCUUUAUUGCCGCCGCUACCACCACCGACUUCUUCUCCAGUACGGUGUCGCUUGGAAUUUCUGUCCAUGAAUGGAAAUAGAAACAAAACCUAAUUCCUAUUUCCUGCAAUUCUCCAGCAAAAAAAGUACAAAAAUUAGUUUGUAAAUUACUAUUUGAAUGCAAUUCAUAAUUUGCAUUUGCGGAACACAUUUUCCAUGGUGAAUCUAUAUAACGAUAAUGUAUACAGUGUAAUUUGAUGAGUGGAGUUCUAAAUGACUAUUAUUAAUGAAAACUUAAUGAAUUUAUACUUGUUAGCGAUAGUAAACAAUUAAAACAGUCUAAAAGAAGUACCCGGAGUUUACUUUAUUAUGUGUUUCUGUUAACAGACAAACUUUAAAGGUUAUUACUUAUUUGGUUGUAUAAACGAUAAUAUAUCCAGUGUAAUUUCAUGGAUAUACAUCUCUUUAUAGAGUUGUAUAGAUUAUUGUGAAAAUAGUACUUUCUAUGGAAUAGAAUGUUGAACCUCAUGUAAAUAGAUUCAAGAUUGACUACUCCUUAGUAAAGCCACCUUGAUUUUAGUAAAGCCACCUUGAUUUUGGUCAUAGAUGUAUUUAGGCCUGUUAUUGUUUUGUAUAGAUAAUUAUGUACCUAGCCCAGUUGUAAUAGAAAUAUAUACUUUCUAGUAUAUGUAUGUAAAUAUCGUACACUGACCGGACAGUUAUCAUUUUUCAAGAAGAAGAAAUAUUUCUCUCCAUACCUUUACCUUUCUAAGAUCAGUGAAGCUUCUAAAGUAAUUCAAAAAUAGAGAUUUAUCUCCCUUACAUUCUCGUUGUUAAUAUGGUAUCAGAGCCUUUAGCUCAUCAUUCAUCUAUAUUUCGGAUCUGUGUGCUGAAUUUUCUCACAUUUCGGAGCUUUGAGCUGAUUUUUUUGGCAACAUUCUACACCUUUUAGGGUUCCAGUGUCCAUACGGUCGGAAUCCACUUCAGUUUCCGCCGCAAAUCUGUGUAAUUUGAGGUGGUUAUCAGCUUGAUUUGAAGUUUGGUUUUUGUCUUCGAAGUGCGGUCACAACGGCAUUUGUUUUUUAUUUUUCAUUUUGGCUUUUACAACGAGGUUUAGCUACUCUUUCAGCCGAGAAAAAAUCUGGUAUUGUUUCCUCAACCUUAUUAAACAUUUUCGUGUUGUGUCUUUGUUGUUUGGUACGCCUUGAUUUUGUGUAGUUAUGGCUCCGAAUGUUGCAAAUUCUACUACUUCUAGUGUAGAUGCUGAUGUGGUUUCUGUUGUUAACCCUUCAUCUCCAUUAUACCUCCUAUCAUCUGAUUCUUCUGGCACAAUUUUUGUUACCACGCCCUUUAAUGGGACGGGUUAUGGAAGUUGGCAUCGAGGAAUGUUGUUACGGUUAUCCUGUAAAAACAAACUAGGUAUGAUCAGUGGUUCCAUUCCUAAGCCUUUUGCUACUGAUCCACAUUUUCAAGCAUGUAUUAGGUGUAAUGAUAUGGUGGUAGCACGGAUUCUAAACAGUCUAGAUAAGGAAAUUAGGAAAAUUGUGAUGUACACUGAAUCUGUGGAGAUUUUAUGGAAGGAAGUUGAAUGUAGAUUUGGUCAGGCUAGUGGUACCAAAAUUUUCCAAAUCAGGAAAGAACUUUCUUCAAUUUUCCAAGGAUCCUCGAGUGUUGCUUCCUACUUCAAAAGAAUUAAGAAAUUCUGGGAUCAAUUGUCUUUCUCCAUUACCUAUCCUGAUUGUACUUAUGGGUGUAAGGAUGGUUUUCUCAAGUUAGAAGAGGAGCAGAGAGUUCAUUAGGCAUCAGAAGGAACAUCCUCAUGUUAAAACCCCUUCCUGACAUUGAUAAUGUGUAUUCAAUGUUGAUAACUGAUGAGUGUCAAUCUGAGGUGCACAAUAAUCUCCCUUCCUUCAAUUCCGACUCUGUUUCUUUCUGCACUGGUAACCAAAGACCAUAUAAUCAAAAGCCAAGUUCAGAAUCUGGUGGUUUAUCUACUACUAUUUCCAGAUCCUACAAUUCCAGGAUCACUUUUGACUAUUUCUUCCAAAAGAAACACUAUGAUUUGUAGAUAUUGCAUGAAACCUGGGCAUCAAAUUUAGAGAUGCUACAAGUUGCAUGGAUUUCCUUCUGCCACAUCUAUUGGACAACCUAAAUUCAAGAAAUCUGCAGCUUUUGCCCAGGUCUCAGAGUCCCAGCAAUUAAGCACCUCUGAUUCCCCUACUUGCAAUACUUCCCCAGCUAAUUCUAGCAUUUCCAAGGAACAAUUUGAGUAGCUCUUAAGUCUGUUUCAGCAGGCUAAAAUUACUAGUCCAUCUUCUCAAGAGAUCACUGUUGGUUCUGUUAACUUUGCACGUUUGCUUAAUAGUUCUGAUUCUAGACUUUGUAGUUUGCUUGCUUGUAACGUCUCUAAGGUAGACAAUAGUACAUGGAUCAUAGACUCGGGUGCCACUAAUCACAUGAUACCACAUUCUUCAUUUCCUUCCAAUAUCACACCUCUCACAAUUCCUUAUCUUGUGACUUUACCCACUGGGUACAAAGUUGAAGUCACAAGUACUGGUACUCUUACUCUUUCUCCUGAUAUCUCCUUAACCAAUGUGUUACUAGUUCCUUCAUUUCAGUGAACUCUGAUUUCUCUUGCUCAGCUAAUUCUCCAAUUACAUUGUUCAGCCUACUUUACUUCCACUGCAUGCAUUUUGUAGGGCCUUCUCUGAAGAGAGGCCAGUGGAUCUGUGUAGCCUUCAAGCUGGGCUUUACAUCCUCAAUCCUCUUUCACUUACAUCAACUACUUGUUCUUCUACUUCUUUACAUGAUUCAUUUGUAAAUACCAUUACUGCCACUCUAUUUAAUGACAUAAAUAAGAGCAAGUCUUCUACAUCUGACUCUACUGUUACUGUUUCUUCUUCUGUUCUUAAUGCGGCACUGACUACUUCUACUUUACCUACUUUGUCAAUAAAUAAGAUUUGGCAUUUGUGAUUAGGACAUAUGCUGUUUACCAAGAUGCUUAACUGUUCCAAUUUAUAACUGAACGAGUUUAUUGAAUUUUGAACAUAAGUCUAAUUAUCUUAUUCAUUAUUGACACACCUUAAGCUAAUUUCAUGUUAACAACGAGAAUAUAAGGGAGAUAAAUCUCCAUUUCUAAAUUACUCUAGAAGCUUCAGUGAGCUUAGAAAGGUAAAGGUAGAGAGAGAAAUAUUUCUUCUUCUAGAAAAUGGUAACUGUCCAGUCAAUGUACCAUACUAGGCCGGGUACAUAAUUAUCUGUACAAAACAAUAACAUCUAUGACCCAAAAUCAAGGUGGCUUUACUAAGGAGUAGUCAAUCUUGAAUCUAUUUACAUGAGGUUCAACAGCCCCCCUCAAGUUGGAAGGGCUUGCCAUUCCAAGCUUGGAAAUGAAGUGUUGAUAAGCAACACCAAGAAGGGACUUUGUAAAUAUAUCAGCAAGUUGAGCAUUGGUGGAGAUGGAAUGAAGCGAAAUGAGACCAUCAGUUAGAGCUUGCCCGAUGAAGUAGCAAUCCACUUCAAUAUGUUUGGUACGCUCGUGAAAAACAGGAUUCUUGGUAAUGUGGACAGCUGCAUGACUGUCACAGAACACAUGUACAGGAGUGAGAUCAUGAACACCCAAUUGAGCAAAUAAACGGACCAGCCAAGUAAUUUCACCAACUACGAGCCUUACGGCUUUGUAUUCUGCCUCAGCUGUUGAUAAAGCAAUAGUGGGCUACUUCUUGGACUUCCAAGAGAUAUGACAGUGUCCAAGGAAUAGAACAAAUCCUGAAACAGAUCAACAGGUAGCAGCACAGCUGGCCCAAUCAGAAUCAAAAUAGCCUUUGAGAGAAAAAUCGGAGGAGUUAUUGAGCAGAAGUCCCAAACGAGGAGUACCAGCCAAAUAUUCCAAAACACGAUGAGCAGCAGUGAGAUAAGUAGUUCGGGGAGAAGCCAUGAACUGGCUAAGAUGUUGAACUGUAAAAGACAAUUCUGUUGAACUGUAAAAGACAAUUCUGGUCUCGUGUGUUGAAGGAAAUUUAGCUUUCCACCAAACUUUAUGUACACAGAAGGAUCAGGUAACAAAUACCCAGAAUCAGAAGAUAGCUUCACGUGAGGGUCAAGUGGUGAAACAACAGAAUUAACAUUAGUAUAGUGAAAUUCGGACAAUAGAUCCAAUGCAAACUUAUGUUGGCUGACCAAGAACCUCGUCGAAGUAUGGAUAAUUUCCAGACCAAGGAAAUAAUGUAUAAGGCCAAGGUCCUUAAUUCUGAACUUAUCAUCCAGCAAAAGCUUGAGAGAAGAAAUUUCAGAUUCAUCAUCACCAGCCAAGAGAAUAUCAUCCACAUAAACAACCACAAUAGUAAGACUAGUGCCAACUAAUUUUCUGAACAAAGAGUAGUCAUUCAUGCUAGGGAUGAAACCCCUAGACUCUAAAGCAGAAGAUAGUUUGGCAUACUAUUGUCUCGAGGCUUGUCUAAGACCAUAGAGGGACUUAUUAAGGCGACAUACCAACAUAGUAAAUGAAGAAGNNNNNNNNNNNNNNNNNNNNNNNNNNNNNNNNNNNNNNNNNNNNNNNNNNNNNNNNNNNNNNNNNNNNNNNNNNNNNNNNNNNNNNNNNNNNNNNNNNNNNNNNAAACAUUUAAUGGUGGUCAUUUUGACCACUUUAGAAAAAGUUUCAGUAAAAUCUAUACCCUCUUGCUGGGCAUCCCCUCAAAUGACCAACCUAGCAUUGUAUCUUUCAAUAGUGCCAUUAGACCUCUGUUUGAUUUUAUAAACCCAUUUACGUGGAAUGGCCUUCUUACCAGCAGGUAAAGGGACAAUAUCCCAUGUAUGAGUGUCUUUCAAACCCUUAAAUUCUUUCAUCAUGGCUUCCUGCCAGGCAAGAUUGGAAACAACCUGAUGGUAGAAUUGAGGUUCUUGCAAGGAAGUCUCAAAAGAUAGAGAAAUAAUCCUAGAACUUGAAACAGAGAUGCACACAUAAUCAUUGAGGUAAGCUGGAGGAUGAGAUGAUCUAGAAGACUUUCUUUGGGCAGAGAUAGGAACAGAAGUUGGGAUAACAGUGGUAGAAAUAAGGACAACUGAAGGAGAAGAGGGAUUAUGAGGUAUAGGGAGAGAGAGAUCAGGAGGAAAAAGAUGAGGUGAAGUAGAAGAUUAAUAAAGGAAAACAUUUUCAUGGAAUAUGACAUCCCUGGAGUGAAAAAUGCUAUGAUUAGAUAGUCUGAAAAGUUCAUAACUUUUCCUGCCAUGACUAUACCCAAGAAAAACCGAGGGGUAUGGCAUGGAUUGAAACUUAUCUCUAUGUGGUUUAGGUACAGCAGCAAAACAUAGGCAACCAAAAGCUUUCAAAUGUGUAAAAGAAGGUGAAAUACCAUGAAGUAACUCAAAAGGGGAUUUGUAAUUCAAAAGUGUUGUGGGAAACCUAUUUAUCAUAUAAGUAAGAACACAUUCUCCUCAAUACUUGACUGGGAGUUUGGAUUGACAUAAAAGGGCUCUAGCAGUUUCAAGAAGACGCUUGUGUUUCCUCUUCACCACACCAUUUUGUUGUGGUGUGUGAGGACAAGAGGUUUGAUGCAAGGUUCAUGUGUUGAAAAAAAAUAGAAGCUGCUGAACUACACCCCCAAUUCAAGGGCAUUGUUAGAUCUGACCAUCUGAACAGUGGUGUUAAAUUGGGUUUUAACCAUAAAGAUGAAAGAUUGUAUGAGAGUGAAGGAAUUACCCUUCGUAUGUAAGAGAUGUGUACAAGUAGCUCUAGUAAAGUCAUCUACUAUUGUCAAGAAAUAUUUAAAACCAUUAUAAGUUUGAGUAUGAUAAGGACCCCAAAGAUCCAAGUGAAUUAAUUGAAAAGGAGAAGUGGAGUGAAUGGAACUCCUAGGGAGGGGGAGUCUUUGUUGCGUAGCCAUGGACAAAUAGGGCAUAAGAAGGAUUGUUUCUUAGGUAGGACAUCAAAUAAACAAGAAAGUUUAACAACAGAAAAAUCAGAGAAGAAAAUUCAACAUAUUAGAAGAUAAGAACAACAACCAAUAACAUACCUAAUGUAAUUUCACAUGUAGAGUCAAAGAAGGUAGGAUGUAUAAGGAUCUUACCUGUCUCUGUGGAUAGGGGCUGUUUCAAAUAACUCACAAGAAUUCUAUAUUUCAGUCUCCAAAAUAAUACCUCAUAUUUAUAGGUGUUAACCCAAAUGGUUAGUUAAAGGUUAGUUUGAUUUCAUUAAUGGAAGAUAAAAUAAUUUAUUAAAUAAUAAGUAAAUGUAACUAUAUUAGAGUAAGAAAGAUUUUUCAAAUCAAUAAUAAGCAUUCAUAUGUUACUCCAACGGCUAGUUAACGGCUAGUUAAUGGUUAGUUUGUUGUAAUAUUAGAGUUGGAAACUUGGAGUAACACAAGAAUACUCAUUGUUGAUUUUGAAAAAACUUUCUUUCUCUAAUCUUAUUUUAAACUAACCAUUAACUAGUCGUUGGAGUAACACAAAAAUACUCAUUAUUGAUUUGGAAACGCUUUCUCUUAUCUUAUAUUGACUAACCAUUAACUAGCUGUUGGAGUAAUACAAAAAUUAAUAAUUUGGAAAAGCAUUCUUUCUCUAAUUUUAUAUUUACUAACCGUUAACUAGCCGUUGGAGUAACACAGGAAUACUCAUUAAUAUUGUGAGAGAACUUUCUCUUAUCUUACAUCAAACUAGUUGUUGGAGUAAUACAAAAAUUAAUAAUUUGGAAAAGCAUUCUUUCUCUAAUAUUAUAUUUACUAACCGUUAACUAGCCGUUGGAGUAACACAGGAAUGCUCAUUAAUAUUGUGAGAGAACUUUCUCUAAUCUUACAUCAAACUAACCGUUAACAAGCCGUUGGUAAUAUAUGAAUGCUUAUUAUUGAUUUGGAUAAUCUUUCGUACUCUAAUAUUGUUAUUUUUACUUACUAUUUGAUAAAAUUGACAUUAAUGAAAUCAAACUAGCCGUUAACUAACCGUUUGGGUUAACACCUAUAAAUAGAAGGCAUUAUUUUGGAGAUUGAAAUAUAGAAUUCUUCAGAGUUAUUUGAGACAACCUUUACGAACAAAGACAGGUAAGAUCUGUAUACAUCCUACCUUCUCAAACUCUACUUGUGAAAUUACAUUAGGUUUAUUAUUGGUUGUUCUUAUCUUCUAAUAUGCUGAAUUUUCUUUCUUGAUUUGUUUUUGUCCCAAUUUAUAACUGAACAUGUUUAGUGAAUCUUGAGCACAAGUCUAAUUAUCUUAUUCAUUAUUGAGACACCUUAAGUGUAACGCCCCGCAUUUUGGGCUAGAAUAAAAACCAUGAUUUUGAUGCGUUGUUAAUCCCGAAGUCAUAAAAUCCUAUGCCAAUACGGCAUGUUAAUUAUUGUAUAGCAUUUGAAUCCUCUAAAUCUUGAAUUUAGACCAUAGAGGUCCUUCAACUCAAGGACGAGUUAAAACAAUUUCGGUCGACUAAGUUUUAGUGGACGUUGUAAAGUGUGCCAGCUUCCAUCGACCAUAAUUCUCUAUAUAUGUCGAAUUAGGAAGCCUACUAUGUGUCAAAUGAUAAGUAUUCGAGUUAGCUUUCCAACGAUACCAAUUUGGAUAAAAUUCAACACCCGAGCAAGAACUUAUGACCUUUCAAAGUGAUAAGCGACGCCUAACCAAUCGCCCAUGGCCACUGGAAAGCAUAGGCGAUAGCCUAGGCGGCGCCUACGUGAAGAUAGGCGAUGGGAUGGGCGGGAUUUAGCCCUAAAACACGAGACUUAGUUCCAAGGACCCCAAAAUACAUAUUCUUUCAUCAAAAGUGCUCAAGAUUUUCCUUAGGGUUUCAAAAUAAAAUAAAAAAACCCAAAUAGUUCAAGAUUUGACCGUAGGUUUUCAAAGAUAAUUACAUAUUUGGAAUCACCAAUCCGCAAGCUUCAAGAAACAUAUAUUAUCUUUGGAAAUAGAGGAACGUGGGGUUAUCCAAAAAUCUCAUGGGUGUAAUCUUUAUGAACAUGCAUGCUUUUAAAUGGGGGUUUUCAAUGAAAUGCUAAUAUGUUGCUUUCAAUAUGAUUUCUAAGUCAUUUAAUUUAUGUCAUGGGAAUUGUUUGCCUAUAUACUUCAAUGGUUGAAACCAUGCAUAUGUGAUUUGAGAUUUUCCAUGGAAGUUUGAUAAAUAUGAAUGAUAAAUUGUUUUUUUCAAAUUCCCAUGAUAAUGUUUUGAUACUUCAUAUCAUAUUGAGAUCAACAAAAGAGAGCAUGAAUUUGAAAUAAAUAUUGUUCACUACUUGUAAAUGAUGAAGCACCUUGGCUUUUACAUGAUUAUGCAUAUGUGGAUGUGAUAUUGAUGACUUGCAAGUCGGGUAUAAUGAUACCCUACAAAAUGUGAUAUGCGAUUGAAUAAGAUGAAAUUUGAAUGCAUUGAUUUUAUAUGAGAAAGGUGGACGCCCGAAGAAGGCGUUUGAGACACAAGCGGCUCAUCGCUGGAAGAACGUGUUUGCCGACACGGAAUAUCGGUACCAUGCUUUAUGGUCUUGUGUACCUGAUAUUAUAUUAUCCCAAAUUAGGAUUAUGGUUAGUAUCCAUGCUUUGUGGUCUUGUACACUACCAUAUUUGAUUUGGGUCGAGACACCAUGCUUUGUGGUCUUGUGCGUCUCUCCCUCACUUAUACUCUAAUCUCGGCGGCAACCGAGGUUUGACAGUUGGUGUAAAUUAUGUAGGGUAUUCCACCUAGCUCAGUUGAAUUUCAUUAUUGUUGAGAAAAAAACUAUUGCAUUACACCCAUGUGUUUUCAAAUGAUUUGAUACGAAAUUGCUUUAUAAUGGCUCUUAACUAUAUUUUGUAAAAAUAUUAUAUUUUGCUUUGAUAUCUCUGCGUGCCAGUACUUUUGUGCUGACCCCCUCCCCUCUCCAACCUCUCAGGUUUAGAGGUCCAGUCUAGGGGUCAAGAGAAUCAGUAGAACUUUCAGACAGAGCUGUAAAGACAAGUGAUGAGCCUUUUAUGUUUUGGAAGGUCUUAUGUCCUGCAGUACUUUUACCUUUUAUUCAAUUUUUGGGUUUGCUGGGGCCUUGUCCCAGUUUUCAGAUAGACAUUGUUUCAGUCAUAUAGUAGAGAUUUCGCAGACGAUUUUAGAAAUGUUGAUUUAGAUUGUGGGACACUAUUCCCCAUUGUCGUUUUCAUAUGAUUCUUGACCAUGUUUCCGUUAUAUUAUGUUUCUUUCGUAUUACUUUGACCAUAUGAAUUAUGUGCAUGAUUAUCAGAAAGAUAGAGGUGUUUCGGGCCUCCAUGGUUUGAAAUGCUCGUCACGGCCAGGCCCUGGUUCGGGUCAUGACAAACUUGGUAUCAAAGCACGGUUCAUGGUCCCAGGGUGCCUGCAAAAUCGCGUCAGGUAGAGUCUUGUUUAUGGGUGUGUAGUGCGCCACACUUAUAAGAAGGAGGCUACUUGGCGUUUAGGAAAUUUUUUCCUUCUUUUUGAUUUAGUUCAUGCUUUAGAGUCUGAACUGUACCCUAAUCAAUGAUCACUUGUGUUUUAGAAACACAGUUAUGCCUCCAUGUCGUAUCGUCGAUCAGAAUGCUCAGGCAGAUGAGGUCCGUCCCACCCAGGGGAUGCAGACCCAUAACAGGGCUCACACUCCAUAAUUUGUCCCUUCUCCAGGAGUCCCUCUAGUUCUGACCAGUCCACCUCAGGCUCUGCGGACUAAUGCCAACCAUCCCCCAAUUGCUCAGGGAGAUAUUUCAAAUGCAAAAUUUAGACGGUCUAUUCAUAUGCUGACACAGUUAGUAGCUAACCAGGAUCAACAAUCGGAAUAUGUUGGGUCUGCAUCUGUUACAUCUGAGGCUACUAGAGUCGGAUAUUUCAUGAAGAUGAACCCACCUAAGUUCAUUGGCACCAAGGUGGAGGAAGAUCCACAGGAGUUCAUGGAUGAUAUGGAAAAGAUCUUUAAGGUGAUGUAUGUGGAUGAGGUUAAAGGGGUGGAGCUAGCAACCUAUCAGCUCAAGGACGUUGUGAAUCAUUGGUAUGCCGACUGGGAAGAUGAAAAGGGUGAAAGUGUUGAGCCUAAGUUUGGGGCGAAUUUGUGGAAGCUUUCCUUGAUUGAUUCUUUCCACUGGAGUUGAGGGAGGCCAAAGCGGAAGAGUUUAUGAAUCUGAAGAAAGGCAGUAUGAGUGUCCAGGAGUAAACUUUGAAGUUUAAUAAACUAGCCCGCUAUGCACCAGAGUUGACUAGUAAUAUGAGGGCCCGAAUGAGAAAAUUUGCAUUCGGCCUUACUGAUGACCUAGUACUUGAGUGCCAGGGGGCUAUGUCGAAUAAGGAGUUAGACUUUGCUCGACUGACCGUUCAUAUGCAUCAAGUGGAAGAGAAGAAGAAAAAGAUUGCUGAUAUAAAGAGAAAGAUAGACAGGAUAAAAGAGCUAGAUCUGUGGAUCAGCACCAGAGUCAGCCGCAGAGUGGUAACUGGGAUAAUAAGUGGUCGAACAAGAAGAAGUUUUGGAAUAAUGUACAGUCAGCAGCCAGCUCCCCAGCACCCAGACCACCGACAGACAGACAAACUCAGAGUUUUCAGACUCCUCAUGGGUCCAAAGCUCUAGGUACACAGUCUCAAGGUAGCUUGGCCCAGCAGCGGCGUACUCGUCUACAGUGUGAGGUUUGUGGAAGGAAUCAUCUAAGGAAGUGCUGGUUUGAGGGGAGAAACUGCUAUACUUGUGGCAAAGUGGGUCACCUUCAGAGAGAUUGUCCAUCUUCUUGAAUAAAUGUGAGGGGGGCUAAGUCCCAAGCCACCUCUACAGCUCUUUUUUCUAAGGAUGCCCCUUCAGCUGCCGGAAGCGUUCGCAACCGGUUAUAUUCUUUGACUAACCGCCAGGAGGCGGAAGCUUCACUAGAUGUUUUCACCGGUAUGUUAUGAAUCUUUUCUCUUGAUGUUUAUGUAUUGCUUGAACCCGGGUCUACUUUAUCCUAUGUGACCCCUUAUGUGGCUAUUGGUUUUGGGUUUGAACCCGAAGUUAUUAUAGAACCCUUCUCUUUUUCUACUCCUAUAGGUAAUUUUGUUGUUGUUAGAAGGGUAUAUAGAAAUUGUGUCGUGUCUGGUCAUAGUAGAAAAACUGUGGCAGACCUUAUAGAACAGGAUAUGAUAGAUUUUGAUGCCAUCCUUGGGAUGGACUGGCUCCAUUCUUGUUAUGCCACCCUUGAUUGCAGAACCCGAAAGGUCAUUUUUUCUUUCCUGAAUGAGACCAGUUAUAUGGGCAGGGAGUUCUGUGGAACAUAGAGGUCACUUUAUCUCUUAUCCUAUAGCCCGAAAGCUUAUCUCCAAAGGGUUUAUGUAUCAUCUAAUCCGAGUGAAAGAUUCAAAAGUUGGAAACCUUUCUCUACAGUCAGUCCCUGUAGUGAAUGAAUUCCUAGAAGUCUUUCCCGAAGAUAUAUCCUCUCACAGGGAGAUAGAUUUUGGCAUUGAUGCGUUGCCAGACACUCGUCCUAUUUCUAUUCCGCCAUACAGAAUGGCUCCCGCGGAACUAAAGGAGUUAAAGGAACAGCUUGCAGACCUCCUAGACAAAGGCUUUAUUCUUCCUAGUGUUACCGGUGCUCUUCGGUGUAAAUAAGGUUGGGACCCUUCGGAUGUGCAUAGACUACCGUCAGUUGAAUAAGGUCACAAUUAAAAAUAAAUAUCCUCUUCCUAGUAUUGACGAACUUUUUGACCAGCUUCAGGGUGCCAAGUACUUUUCAAAAAUAGACCUUCAUUCGGGUUAUCAUCAGUUGAAAGUUAGGGAGUCAUACAUACUCAAGACAGCCUUCCGAACCUGAUAUGGUCACUACGAAUUUCUAGUCAUGUCCUUCGGGUUAACUAACGCCCCUGCAGCCUUCAUGGAUCUUAUGAAUGGAUUGUUCCAUCAGUUUCUUGACUUGUUCGUCAUUGUAUUUAUUGAUGAUAUUCUGAUCUAUUCUAAGAAUAAAGAGGAUCACGCCAAUCACCUCCGAAUUAUCCUCCAGACCCUUAAGGAUCAUCAGUUGUAUGCCAAAUUUUCUAAGUGUGAAUUCUGGUUAGACGCUAUUGCCUUCGUAGGGCAUAUUCUGUCUAGUGACGGGAUAAGAGUGGAUCCCUAAAAAGUUGAAGCAGUGAUAAAAUGGCCUAAACCCAUGACUCCAACUGAUAUUCGGAGCUUCUUGGGUUUGGCGGGGUAUUACAGAAGGUUCGUAGAGAAUUUUUCUUCCAUAGCUGCUCCGCUUACUAAACUAACUCAGGAAAAGAUGAAGUUUGUAAGGUUUGACUUGUGUGAAAACAGUUUUGAGAAAUUGAAGGACAAGCUGACUACUGCUACUAUUUUGACCCUUCCGAGGGUGUAGAUGAUUUUAUGAUUUAUUGUGAUGCGUCCCGUGUGGGACUUGGUUGUGUAUUAAUGCAGCGUGGUAAGGUGAUAGCUUAUGCAUCUAGGCAGUUGAAGGUGCAUGAGCGCAAUCACCCCACUCAUGACUUGGAGUUAGCAGCUGUGGUGUUUGCACUUUGAAUUUGGAAGCACUAUCUCUAUGGAGUGCAUGUUGAUAUUUAUACUGACCAUAAGAGUUUACAGUAUGUUUUCUNNNNNNNNNNNNNNNNNNNNNNNNNNNNNNNNNNNNNNNNNNNNNNNNNNNNNNNNNNNNNNNNNNNNNNNNNNNNNNNNNNNNNNNNNNNNNNNNNNNNNNNNNNNNNNNNNNNNNNNNNNNNNNNNNNNNNNNNNNNNNNNNNNNNNNNNNNNNNNNNNNNNNNNNNNNNNNNNNNNNNNNNNNNNNNNNNNNNNNNNNNNNNNNNNNNNNNNNNNNNNNNNNNNNNNNNNNNNNNNNNNNNNNNNNNNNNNNNNNNNNNNNNNNNNNNNNNNNNNNNNNNNNNNNNNNNNNNNNNNNNNNNNNNNNNNNNNNNNNNNNNNNNNNNNNNNNNNNNNNNNNNNNNNNNNNNNNNNNNNNNNNNNNNNNNNNNNNNNNNNNNNNNNNNNNNNNNNNNNNNNNNNNNNNNNNNNNNNNNNNNNNNNNNNNNNNNNNNNNNNNNNNNNNNNNNNNNNNNNNNNNNNNNNNNNCACACUUCGAGGUAUAUCAUUCACCCAGGCUCUACUAAGAUGUACCAUGAUCUGAAAACCUUGUAUUGGUGGAAUAACAUGAAACGUGAUGUAGCUGAUUUUGUGUCCAAGUGUUUGAACUGUCAACAAGUGAAGGUAGAACACAUGAGGCCGAGUGGUACUUCCCAAGAGAUAGCCCUGACUUUAUGGAAGCGGGAGAUGAUAAACAUGGACUUUAUUACAGGACUUCUGAGAUCCCAAAACCAGUAUGAUUCUAUAUGGGUUAUUGUAGAUCGGUUGACCAAGUCAGCCCACUUUUUCGUGUGAGGACUAAUUAUUCGGGAGAGGUUUAUGCUAAGAUUUACAUUGAGGAGAUAGUUUGAUUGCAUGGGGCACCAGUGUCCAUUAUAUCCGAUAGAGGUACGUAUUUUUCAUAUUAGUUUUGGAGAUUCUUUCAGAAGGGUUUAGGUACACAAGUGAAUUUGAGCACAGCUUUCCACCCUCAGAUGGAUGGGCAAGCUGAGCAUACCAUUCAAGCCCUCAAAGAUAUGUUGAGGGCAUGUGUCAUUGAUUUCAAAGGUAGUUGGGUAGAUCACCUGCCACUGGUUGAAUUCACUUACAAUAAUAGCUACCAUGCCAGCAUCAAGAUGGCUCCUUUUGAGGCUUUGUAUGGGAGGAGAUGUAGGUCUCUGAUAGUAUGGUAUGAAGUAAGUGAGACUCAGUUGUAUGGGCCUGAGCGAUGGAAAAAGUAAAAAUCAUUAGAGAAUGACUCAAGACUGCUCAGAAUCAUUAGAAUUCCUAUGCCGAUGUUUGGAGAAGAGAACUAGAGUUUGAAAUUGGUGAUUGGGCAUUUCUCAAGGUUUCUCCUAUGGAAGGAGUUAUGUGGUUUGGAAAAAAAGGGUAAAUUGAGCCUUUGUUAUGUAGGGCCAUAUCAGAUUUUGAAGAAGAUUGGUACAGUUGUAUAUGAGUUAGAAUUGCCUACAAGUUUGGGUUUCGUUCAUCCGGUAUUCCAUGUAUCCAUGUUGAAGAAAUGCAUUAGAGAUCAUUCUAUGGUAUUUCCAGUAGAGGGUAUAAAAGUGACAGACUCCUUGUCUUACGAAGAAGAGCCCGUUGAAAUUUUAGAUCGCCAAGUUCGAAAUCUGAGGAGCAAAGAAAUAGCCUCAAUAAAGAUACUGUGGAGGAAUCAGAAGGUCGAAGAAGCAACUUGGGAGACAGAAGAUGAUAUGAGAAUUAGAUAUCCCAAUUUGUUUGCUUCGAUGGAGGAGGAGACAAAAGGUACUAUUCCUAUCUUAUCUUUUCUAGUCCAUUAUUAUGAUUGAAAUCGUGUCUGUCUGUGUCCCGCAUCAUCAUUCAGGGACAAAUGAUCCUAAGUGGGGGAUAAUGUAACGCCCCGCAUUUUGGGCUAGAAUAAAAACCAUGAUUUCGAUGCGUUGCUAAUCCCGAAGCAAUAAAAUCCCAUGCCAAUAUGGCAUGUUAAUUAUUGUGUAGCAUGUGAAUCCGCUCAAUCUUGAAUUUAGACCAUAGAGGUCCUUCAACUCAAGGACGAGUUGAAACUAUUUCGGUCGACUAAGUUUUAGUGGACGUUGUAAAGUGUGCCAGUUUCCAUCGACCAUAAUUCUCUGCAUAUGUCGAAUUAGGAAGCCUACUAUGUGUCAAAUGAUAAGUAUUCAAGUUAGCUUUCCAACUAUACCAAUUUGGCUAAAAUCCAACACCCGAGCAAGAAGUUAUGACCUUUUAAAGUGAUAAGCGAUGCCUAACCAAUCGCCCAUGGCCACUGGAAAGCAUAGGCGAUAGCCUAGGUGGCGCCUAUGUAAACAUAGGCGAUAGCCUAGGCGGAGCCUAAGUGAAGAUAGGCGAUGGGAUGGGCGGCGCCUAUGUAAGGAAUUUUGAAAAUUUAAACACUCCGUGUUGAGGCAAAGUGGUCCUUUUCCACCCUUACUUAGCCCUAAAACACGAGAUUUAGUUCCAAGGACCCCAAAAUACAUAUUCUUUCAUCAAAAGUGCUCAAGAUUUUCCUUAGAGUUUCAAAAUUAAAAAAAAAAAAACAAAUAGUUCAAGAUUUGAUCGUAGCUUUUCAAAGAUAAUAACAUAUUUGGAAUCACCAAUCCGCAAGCUUGAAGAAACAUCUAUUAUCUUUGGAAAGAGAGGUACGUGGGGUUUAUCCAAAAAUCUCAUGGGUAUAGUCUUCAUGAACAUGCAUGCUUUUAAAUGGGGGUUUUCAAUCAAAUGCUAAUAUGUUGUUUUCAAUAUGAUUUCUAAGUCAUUUACUUUAUGUCAUGAGAAUUGUUUGCCUAUAUACUUCAAUGGUUGAAACCAUGCAUAUGUGAUUUGAGAUUUUCCAUGGAAGUUUGAUAAAUAUGAAUGAUAAAUUAUUUUUUUCAAAUUCCCAUGAUAAGGUUUCGAUACUCCAUAUCAUAUUGUGAUCAACAGAAGAGAGCAUAAAUUUGAAAUAAAUAUUGUUCACUACUUGUAAAUGAUGAAGCACCUUGGCUUUUACAUGAUUAUGCAUAUAUGGAUGUGAUAUUGAUGACUUGCAAGUUAGGUAUGACGAUACCCUACAGAAUGCGAUUGCGAUUGAAUAAGAUGAAAUUUGAAUGCAUUGAUUUUACAAGAGAAAGGUGGAUGCCCGAAGAAGGCAUUUGAGACACAAGCGACUCAUCGCUGGAAGAACGUGUUUGCCGACACGGAAUAUUGGUACCAUGCUUUGUGGUCUUGCGUACCUGAUAUUAUAAUGGCUCUCAACUAUAUUUUAUAAAAAUAUUAUGUUUUGCUUUGAUAUCUCUGUGUGCCAGUACUUUUGUGCUGAACCCCUCACCUCUCCAACCUCUCAGAUUCAGAGGCCUAGUCUAGGGGUCAAGAGAAUCAGUAGAACUUUCAGACAGAGCUAUAGAGACAAGUGGUGAGCCUUCUAUGUUUCGGAAGAUCUUAUGUCUUGCAGUCCUUUUACCUUAUAUUUAGUUUUUGGGUCUGCUGGGAGCCUUGUCCCAGUUUUCAGAUAGACAUUGUUUCAGUCAUGUAGUAGAGAUUUCGCAGACGGUUUUAGAGAUGUUGAUUUAGAUUGUGGGACACUAUUCCCCAUUGUCGUUUUCAUAUGAUUCUUGACCAUGUUUCUGUUAUCUUGUGUUUCUUCCACAUUACUUUGAUCAUAUGAAUUAUGUGCAUGAUUAUCAGACAGAUAGGGGUGUUUCGGGCCUCCAUGGUUUGAAAUGCUCGUCACGGCCAGGCCCUGGUUCGGGUCGUGACAUUAAGCUAAUUGUGAUCCAUAGGCAGUACUAUUUUCAUAAAAAUCUAUACUACUCUAUAAAGAGAUGUAUGUCCAUGAAACUACACUGAAUGUAUUAUUGCUUUUACUACAAAUAAGUAAUAACCUUUUGAAGUUUGUUCGUUAAUAGAAACACAUUAUACAGUGAACUCUGGGUACUUCUUUUAAACUGUUUUAAUUGCUUACUAUCUAUAACAAGUAUAAAUUCAUUAAGUGUUCAUUAAUAAUAGACAUUUUGAACUCCACUCAUGAAAUUACACUAUAUAGAUUAUUGUUAUAUAGAUUAGCCAUGGAAAACGUGCUCAGCAAAUGUAAAUUAUGAAUUGCAUUCAAAGAGUAAUUUAUAAACUAAUUUUUUGUACUUUUUUGCUAGAGAAAUUGCAGGUAAUUGAGGAAUUAAGUUUUGUUUUCUAUUUCCAUCCAUGGACGAAACUGCCAAGCGACACUGUACCAGAGAAGUUGGUGGCGGCAACGGCGGCGAGAAAGGAGGAGGAGGAAGCUCCGAUGGCGAUUUUGAGCCGUCAAUGGGUAGAUUUACGGAUCAUAUAAUAAUUAAUGUGUUGGAAAAAAUGGAUUUGGCAUCUCUUUGCACCGCUGCCUGUGUCUCUCCAACCUUCAAUUCUGCCAUUGCAUAUCGUCUUACUUUUGUUUAGUCCUUCCGAUCUUUCUGUAAGUUGAUUUUGCUUUUUUUUUCCUAAUUAAAUGCCCUAAUUUUAUUGUGUAUGAUUUACUAGUAGACUAGCUAAACCUACUGAAGGCAUUUUCUGGGCAUCACUUUGCUAAUGCGUAUGUGGGCUUUAGCAAGUGUACUGGUUCAAACAUUCGUCAUAAGAUAGUGUGAUGAAUCCUCUUAUUAUUGAAUAGAGUAAAAUGCAUGUGGAGAAUGUAGCGUAAACGACUUUCCAUUUGACCAUCUUUAGUUUUGCUAAAUGCGAUUCUUACUUCUGGGAUGAACUUUUAAUACUAGUAUCUUUGAUUUACGGGGAUUUUAUCUAAAUUAAGAGACUCUAAAACAUGUCGUGUGUAGAGUCCCAGGAGCCAAGAGUUUAACUAUGGAGUGCCUCCAGAUGAGGAAUGAUUCCUCCAUUACAUAUCGAAGAUUUGGGUUUUCUCAAAUGUUCCCAUCUGUCUUACGACAUUCUUCGUGCAAUUGGAGAAAGGUGCCUGAACUUAAGGUAUUCUCCUAUGUCAACAUAUCGGUAAACUGUUAUGAAAUGCUUCAUUGAUUAUGGUUUCACAUCUUUGAUGGUAAGAACUUUACAAGUGGUUGUAAUCAAUUUAACAGGGCUUAGAAGGCGUUCAUUGCCUCCAUUGAUGGAUUUUCAGACUGUUAUUAUCCUGAAAUUCUCUGCAUAAAUGUAUUUUAUUUAGAUCCACUCGCUGAAGCUCAUUUGUAAUUUUUAAGCAGAUUUUUUAAUUUAAAUAACUCGUUUGGGGAACCAAUUCAUUUAAAUUUGAUUUUUUUCUUUGCUGACCCUCGAUGAUAGCUGAUUUCUUAGGCUGUUCGGGUAUAGAAAACCUCAAACUGCAUUAGCUUUUGCACCUGGCAUGCAUUAAUUUCACUCUAUAUCUCCACCUCCGGAAGAUGGAACAGUCGAGAUAUAAUUAAGUCCAUUGUGGUUACACCAACAAUAUCUUGCUUUCAUACUCUUGUGUGACUUCCUGGAUUUGUUUCCAACGUGUGCUUUCUUAUUUCCCCUGCUUAUAGAAUUUGCUGCGUGUGAAGCACCAGAACUUUUCAAAGAGAAACUUGCAGAAAUGCUCCAAAAGGUGCCCUUGUUAGAGGUAAAGUAUUUUCAUCUUUCACUUAUUUGUCCUCUCUUUCUUCUUCUAAUUGUCCAUGAUGCCUCUUCAAGCUAAUUACUCUUUAGAACAAGAGUUCUCCUUUGAUGGUCAAUUUCAUGAGUACUUUUCUUUCCUCCAGUUGCUGUCCAUAAAAAUCCGAGGUACCUCACGUGAUGUAUUUGAUGUACGACCGACCUCUUGGACAAUUUCUGCCCAAGAGUUUAAAAAAAUUGAAGUUACAGCAAACGGAUGUACCCCUCUUUGUCUCCUGGUUAGAUGCAGUCAGGAAGAUCCCUUGUUUCAACUUGCGAAGCUUGUCUCUUGUCGUGGAUGUUAUAUCAGAUGAUCUUCUCAUCACAGUUAUGCAUUCUCUUCCUCGUUUAGAGNNNNNNNNNNNNNNNNNNNNNNNNNNNNNNNNNNNNNNNNNNNNNNNNNNNNNNNNNNNNNNNNNNNNNNNNNNNNNNNNNNNNNNNNNNNNNNNNNNNNNNNNNNNNNNNNNNNNNNNNNNNNNNNNNNNNNNNNNNNNNNNNNNNNNNNNNNNNNNNNNNNNNNNNNNNNNNNNNNNNNNNNNNNNNNNNNNNNNNNNNNNNNNNNNNNNNNNNNNNNNNNNNNNNNNNNNNNNNNNNNNNNNNNNNNNNNNNNNNNNNNNNNNNNNNNNNNNNNNNNNNNNNNNNNNNNNNNNNNNNNNNNNNNNNNNNNNNNNNNNNAUCAUGCAGUCUUCUAACUAUGCUCUUCUCAAUUCUGCCCAAAUUUUAUUGUCUUCUCUUCUCUUUAUAUUUGUUUUUUGUAUUUUAAUUCCAUGUUGUACCUCUCUUGUUUCUUAAUAUGUGUUAAUAUCUUUCAUGUAAAUCUCUCUAGAGCCACUUGGAGAGAUGGAAACUAUUGUUUUCCUCUAUAUGUACAAUUUUUACAAGGUAUUCUUUUGUUUACUUCUAUUUUUCGUUAAAUUCUCUGUUUUACUCUUUCUAGUUCUAAUAGUGUUGCUUUCUCUUGUAUCUUAUUCUUUUACUAUUCCUUAUCUUAGAUUGUUUUAUUUUGAGCCGAGGGUCUAUCGAAAACAACCUUUCUAUCUCACAUUUGAGGUAGUGGUAUGGACUGCAUGCACUUACCCUCCCCAGACCUUGCUUGGUGGGAAUAUACUUGGUAUGUUGUUGUCGUAAAUCUAAUAGUGUUGCCAUUAAUUUACUUAGGGGUUGUUUAGUUGGGAAAAUAGUUAUCCCGAGGAUUAAUUAUUCCGGGAUUAGUUAUCUCAUGAUUAGUUGUCCUACCCUCAAGGGGUGAUAAAAAUAACACUACAAGAGAUAACUAAGUACUGUAUGAGUUGUUCCAUGCAUUUUAUCGCAACCAAACAUGGAUUAGCUCAUCCUGAAGUUAAUUUUAGGAUUAGUUAUCCCUCGUACCAAAUGAGUCUUGAAAGUUGGAUAAAAAUAAUACUAUAAUUUGGAAUAAUUAAUCUCGGUAUGAGCUAUCCCAUGCAUUUAUCCCAACCAAACAUGGCAAAAGACCAUCGUAAAAUUAAUUCCAGCAUUAGUUAUCCCUUAUUCCUAGUAUCAAAUGAGCCCUUGUAGUUGCAUGUGCAUAGUUUUUCUUUCAUUCCUUCUAUUAACUAAGGAGAAGUAAUAGUUAAAUUUAUGUUACCAUUUUAUUUGAUUUGCAGAAAUGGAUUACUCUUGCUUGUGGCAUCUGCUCUAACCUACCUGAUUUUGNNNNNNNNNNNNNNNNNNNNNNNNNNNNNNNNNNNNNNNNNNNNNNNNNNNNNNNNNNNNNNNNNNNNNNNNNNNNNNNNNNNNNNNNNNNNNNNNNNNNNNNNNNNNNNNNNNNNAACUUAGUGUUCGACUGUAUUGGUGAUUAACUAAUUAAUAUCUUCCUGUUUCUUAUUUCAAAUGAACUCUCAGGCUAAUUUGUCAAUGGGCCGUCUUUGGAUUUUUAUACCACUUUGAUGUGGAAUUCAUAAUGGCUAAUACCGAGAGGCGAGAUGUAGUUUAGAAUCACCUUUGUACUCUUAAGUUUUUUGAAUUUGUGUCGAUAAUGAAAGUGAAUAAAAUCGAUAGGUGUGUUGACGGAGGUAUGAGAUGCAUCUUACAUUGAAAUUCUGUGAAACCAGGGGACUGGCUAUGAUACAAUGAUGAGCUAGUGUGAUGAAAUAAAUCAUCCACAUUUGAUUUAGCGAUUAAUACCAUACCUACCAUUAGAAAGAAAGGGAACAAAUAAAAAUAGUGAAUACACAACUUCUUUUUCUUGAUAGCCAUGGUGUUCGGGUCAGCUUACGUGCACCUCGACUACUUCCACGGGAUAUCUAGCACCUCCCACUAGCAACAAUAGUGAAUACAUAGCUAAAGACAAGUAAACCAUUUAGGCGCAUGUGUAUCAUUAAUAGCUAACUCUAAUCCUUUUUCUUUUCUUUUGCUGAAUUAGUGGUCAUGUUAGUCUAUACCUCUCAUAAUCUACUGAUUUUUACCAUUCUUUUGAAAAACAAAGUUCUACAAAAUGGCUAUUGAAGUAGUUACUGCACCUGCUGUUGAAGUAGGUGGUAAUCCAUAGUUGGAUAAGUGAGUGAAAAUAACAACACUAGGUGUUUGUGUUUCACAUAUAGCUAGUAGGGGUGUGUGUCCAACUGGUGAUGCCACUUAAUGAUUGUUGCAAUGAAUUGGUACUUAAUGAGUAAUUACAAUGGAAGGUCCAAAAAAAAAUGCAUUUGAUAUUCAAAAGGUUCAUUACAACCGAGAGCAAAUAAAGCACAAUAAUGCCUAAAAAAGGGAAAAAAGCUAAGUUUCAGUCAGCAGAUUUUGUGCCACAAUCAAGUAUUUACAGUUGACUACUAUUGUGGUUUGGUCUAUCCAUUAGCAUCUGCACUGCAGCAUCAGUGACCUCAUCACAGAACCCUAUAGAUAAAUCAGUUAAUGCCUUAGCAGCAGAUGUAAUGGUAAAAAUAGCUGCAUUAGUUAUUUUGGGAAUGUAACCAACAUUCAACACUGAUAACGUCUUGCAAAUUUUCCUAUCAGCAUGAAAUAAAGACUUAAUUCCCUUGUCAAUUACUCUUUCACAGCUUCUGAUCCACAACUGCACAAUCAGUAAGUCUCCCGCACCAAGAAGAGCAAGGUCCGUUAUUAAAUUAAGGUUGUCCUCAUGCAGUCUUCUAACUAGUGAAACUUUGUAGCAUUUGUCAGUAUUUAGUAAGUUGGAGGUACCCGACACAAGUGGGUGCGAACGCAUUGGAGACCAGACUCUCUUCUACAUAUCAAAUGUUACUACCCUCACAAUACUAAACUCAAGACCCACAUGGGUGAUGCAAGCUUUUGCAAAGUUUAGUAUUGUGAGGGUAGUAAUUUUUGAUAUGUAGAAAGGAGCCUGUUCUCCAAUGCGUUCGCACCCACUUGUGUUGAGUACCUCCAACUUACUAAAUGAGGACAAAUGCUCCAAAGCUUCACUAGUUAGAAGACGGCAUGAGGACAACCUUAAUUCAAUUACGAACCUUGCUCUUCUUGGUACGGGAGACUUAUCGAUUGUGCAGUUGUGCAUCAGAGGCUGCAGAAAGUAACUGACAGGGGAAUUAAGUCUUUAUUCAUACUGGUAGGAAAAUUUGCAAGACGUUAUCAAUGUUGGAUGUUGGUUACAUUCCCAAAAUAACUGAUGCAACUAUUUUUACCAUUAUAUCUGCUGCUAAGGCAAAUUCUGAUUUAUCUUUACGAUUCUGUGACACUGAUGCUGCAAUACAGAUACUGAUGGAUAGACCAAACCACAACAGUAGUCAGCUACAAAGACUUGUUCUUUGCAACUGUCGAGGUCUGUCUGCUGAUGCCAUGAUGCUACCUUUGCCCCAUCACGCUUUUCGUGGUUUGCUCUGGCUCUGUGUUGGACUUUAUCGCAUAGUCGAUAAGAGAGACAAUCUCUAUGCAAUCAGCAAGGCGCUACCUAGGCUUGUUGUGUGCGGUGUUGGCUCUCUGUUGUAAUGAACCUUUUGAAUAUCAAAUGCCUUUUUUUUUACCUGCCAUUGUAAUUACUCAUUAAGUAUCAAUUUAUUGCUACUAGCAUCAAGUGGCAUCACCAGGUGAACACACACCACUACUAGCUAUAUGUGAAACACAAAACACCUAAUGUUGUUAUUUUCACUCUCUUACCCUACUUUGGAUUACCACCAAUUUCAAUUAGCAGGGGCAUUAGCUACUUAUCUGCCCCAACUCCUUUUCUUUCUCUUUAGGCUUUUGUUCGCCACAUUCUCCAUCGGGCCCUCUUAUCUCUUCCUUCUCUGAGCUCUAGUUAUGGAAGAAGGAACCGAUCAUCCUCAAGCUCAAGCAAUUCCUUUCCCGAUCAAUCCAUCUGCUCCACAUGACAUAUUUAAGACCAUAAGAUUAAAUGAUAUUUUUGUACAUUUGACAUAACUUUUUUUUAAGACUACAAGAUUCAACAGGCCUCUUUAUUUUCUUAGAUUCCGUGUCAAGUUAAUUUUUUUGUAAAUAGGGGGAGUAGAAGAAUGAGUUAAGAUUUGGUAUCAACAUGUGUGCUUCAUUGUAAUUAAAAUAAAACAAAUAAUGGCAUUUUGAUAUUUUGCAUUCUGUCUUUCAUCACCAUCGCAAUGAGCAACAACAAUUUACUUAGAUUAACUUGAGAAUUUGUGUUGCCGUUGUAGAAGCAUUACUAAUGACACGUUGUGCUCUUAAAUGCGAAAAGACACUGCAAGUUUUAUUACGCCGACACCAAAAUGGUAAGUCCGCAACACUUCCAAAGGUCAUUUUGAAUCAACUUUUAACGUUUGACUUAUGUCAAAAGUCAUUAGUUAGAAAAACAAACUUCUUUUAUUUAUUUUUCUUUGUUUUUUGUCGUCCCAAAAUAAUGCUAUUUUACUAUAAUUAAAAAAGUUAAUUUUAAUUUUGUUUUACUCUUAAUAAAAUAAUUUUGAUAAUAAAUUUCAAAAGUAUUCUUUUAAACACCACGUCACAUUAAAGUAUGUGACGUACUACAUUGCUAUCUCAAUUCUGCCCACAUUUUAUUGUCCUCUUCUCUUUUUAUUUGCUUUUUGUAUUUUAAAUCCACUAUUGUACCUCCCUUUUUUUCCUUAGUACUAUGUGUUGAUAUCUUUCAUCUAAAUACUCUCUACAGCCACUCGGAGAGAUGGAGGCUAUUUUUUUCCUCUAUAUGUCGAAUUGUUACAAGGUAUUCUUUUGUUUACUU